GCCAAAUAAAGAAAGUUUUCCGAGAAUUAACAGCAGGACAAUGGUCCGCUUGUUGUAUAUAAUAAAUAUCACACUGGUGUUGUAUAUGUGUAGCCGUGCAUGCUCCACAACCUAUGUUCGUACAAACACAGAUCAUAUGGAACGAGAAAUAUGCUCUGGUCGGAAAGCAGAGUCGUGGACAAAAGUGAAGUUCACAAAUGACCAUCAUACAUAGGCCAUUGUUUCAACUUGUAGUUUAGGCCUUGCCGGACUCCUCGCAACCUGGUGGCCUGAAGGCGAUGAAGCUGACGCACUGCACCUGGCGCAGGUUGUCGAAGCCGAUGACACGGACAUAGGCAUCAGGGUACUCCUUCUUGACCUCCUCCACCUCGUUGAGCACUUGCGUGGCGUCGGUGCACCCGAACAUAGGCAGCUUCCACAUUGUCCAGUAUCGACCGUCGUAGUACCCGGGAGAGCUGUUGUGCUCACGGAAGACGAAGCCAACCUUGCUAAACUCGAGGCAGGGCACCCACUUGGAGCGGAUCAGGUAGUCUACCUGCUUUAGGAGGGCCUCUGUGGAGAGGGGUGGCAAGUAAGACAGGGUCUCGAACUUCUUGAUACCCUCAAUCGGCCACACCUGAAUGGAUGGAAAUUAUGGAAUGCACACAACUGCUUAACACUUGGUGCUAGUAAAUUGUACGUACUGAGGAAGAAACUCAUAUCAGUUUUGUGCCUCUGACAUACCUGCAUGCACCUGAUCCUUCCGCCAUUGCUGACGCGGCCGAGGCUGCCGCUGGAGCGGCGGCUGACGGGCAGACCGGCUGUGGACUUGAGCCCCUGGAAGGGUGCGACGGUGGUAGCCGACGAAGCCAUCACGGCGGGGGCCAUGGUAUUGUAUUAUCGGAGGAGAGGAGGAUGCCGGCUACAGGUGAGGCCCCCAUUGCCGGGUCACUACGGUAUAUAUAGCCAGACACUUAGCGCCGUUUCUUUGGUACAGAUGUGGUUGGGGUGGCUGACGUUCUCUGGUUGCCUCGUUUCCUUAUCUUCUCCGGAUCAGUGGAAGAAGCAUGGCCGUCGGAUGCAUUGUGUGUGCUGGAAAUUUCAGUCCUUCAUGUCAUUGGGUGGCUGCCACACAACCUUUUUCCAGCUUUUCUUGUUUUUGGUUUCAUUUGAAGCCAAAAGUUUCUUGAGUACAAAUUUUCUGAGAUGCGACUUGAGUGGUGGUGUGGGCAAAAUAUUUUACAUUUUAUCAUAAGAUCUGAUGGCUCACUCCCUUGAAAGUAUGCCUAUAGGCAUAGAGUGUGCGUGUGUGCAUUUAUAGGGGGUGUUAUACAUGCGGGUAUGCGAAUGUCUACUUUUGUACACCGUUUCUCAAAAUAAAAUAUAUGUUUUGUUGGUACAAUUAAUUGACCUAGCAUAGUAACCUCCACACGUAGAACAAGUUCUUUCCCCUCCCGCAAGGUAACUAUUGAAAGCUUUCCACCCCUCUAUAUCCGCCAGUGAGCCUAUGGAUCCGCCUCCCCUCUGCGGGAAGGGGGAUUCCUGGUGCCUCAGCUCUGGCUAAUAGACAAGUAGGAUUUUAGUCCUCAUGGGUGAGGUGCUUGGACGGACGGCGGUCUUUCUUCUUCGAGCCAAUCUUUCGGGAUCCGAUCCUCUUUAAGUUCCUCUGUCUGGGGAGCUCCGACGUAGACUCCUGCCAGUUCCACAGGCGAUGAGGUUAGGAUUUCUCAUCAUGCGUACGCACAAUGAGAUUUGGUGUCAGGUUCUUUAGAUCGAUUCACGGAUUCAACAGCGAUGACUGCGGCUCCAGAGCACUGGUCCUUAGGGGCAUGUGCAUGAAGACUUCCUGACUGUCAUCGACAAAGUCAAUGUAGCUCUAGAGUGGGAGCAUCGACAAUGGUGCGUUAGUGGCUCAUCUCUGUGCGUAGGAACGAAAAGAAAGGCCUAUAUCUCAAAUUUUUGACAACUCUCCGGCCGUGACAAUGGGCAUAACUUGUUUUAAACAUCAAUGGGUAGGAACGAAAAGCUCUAUAUGUCAACUAUUAACACGUAUGGCUAAAUAUGUACCUUGCAUUAUAGGAUAUAUGGCAAUCGAUCAAAAAGUUAGGCAGUCUCUCACAUAACAUUGUCUCUCAAGUACGGCUGCAAAUGAGUCGAGUUCGAGCGAGUUGGACUUGCCUCAGCUCAACUCAUAUUAAAAUUCAAGCGAGCUCAAACUGAGUGAAGCUCAAAAUCAAGUUGUAGAACAUGACUCAUUUUUAGUUUGUAACAAUCUUGAGCUAGUUUCAAGCUAAAUAAGACGAUAAAAAUUACAAAAUUUAUGACUAUUAUUCCAACUAGAUAAGGCAUAACACGACAUAAAAAGCACAAAAAAAUUUAUUCCAAACAGAAUGAUAAUAAUACUUUUUUUCGAAAUGAUACAAAUUUUGUUAGAAGUAGCUUGACUUAUUCUCUUACAACCGAAAGUCUAGUAUCAANNNNNNNNNNNNNNNNNNNNNNNNNNNNNNNNNNNNNNNNNNNNNNNNNNNNNNNNNNNNNNNNNNNNNNNNNNNNNNNNNNNNNNNNNNNNNNNNNNNNNNNNNNNNNNNNNNNNNNNNNNNNNNNNNNNNNNNNNNNNNNNNNNNNNNNNNNNNNNNNNNNNNNNNNNNNNNNNNNNNNNNNNNNNNNNNNNNNNNNNNNNNNNNNNNNNNNNNNNNNNNNNNNNNNNNNNNNNNNNNNNNNNNNNNNNNNNNNNNNNNNNNNNNNNNNNNNNNNNNNNNNNNNNNNNNNNNNNNNNNNNNNNNNNNNNNNNNNNNNNNNNNNNNNNNNNNNNNNNNNNNNNNNNNNNNNNNNNNNNNNNNNNNNNNNNNNNNNNNNNNNNNNNNNNNNNNNNNNNNNNNNNNNNNNNNNNNNNNNNNNNNNNNNNNNNNNNNNNNNNNNNNNNNNNNNNNNNNNNNNNNNNNNNNNNNNNNNNNNCCAGAAACAACAUAAUAUUUAAGACACGUCCGACCACGUACCAUAAUAAGGCCUAAAUUUUAUCAACAACUAAUUAAGUUUCCAUGUUUGUUUGUAAAUAAAAUGGAGAAAAAUCCUGGAUGACAUAUGUGGCACUAAAUUAUCUUAUUAUUAUUUAAUAUAUGGCAUUAUCAUUUAACAUAAUUAUAUUAUGCCGAGCUAUCGAGCUAAAAUCAAGCGAGUUAAUAUCGGCUCAAGAUCGGCUCGUUUCUUGACCGAGCUACAGGAAGUGUUUGUACUCAACUCGGUUCUUUUCGAGUUGAGUCAAAAAACGAGUCGAUCUCGAGCGGCUCACAAGCCUCAAACUUUUCUUCCAGCCCUACUCUCAAGCAGCAUCAUAUUGAGACAACUUAAUCGGCCUACUUCCAAUCACAUAUCAGCGGCGGAUAACGGAAAGACAUUAAUAUCACAAGGCCUGGACCGAAGGCAAUAAGUUCUAUGGACAACCGUGAUCCCUAGAAUAACAAUGUUCCCCUCAAGAUAUCGACAACCGUGAUCCCUAGAAUAACGGUGUUCCCCUCAAGGAAAUUUAAAGAAAAGAUAUAAGCAAUAGCAGCAGCGCAUUUUCACGGAAGCACUAUAGCUACUUUAGCUAUAGCGCGUGUUCGCGAACAAGCGCUAUAGCUAACUUAUCUAUAGCAGUAGCGCGUUCCGUCAGAAAGCGCUAUAGUUAAGUAGCUAUAGCGCUUGUGUGGAAAAAGCGCUACUACUAAGUUUGACUUGCCACUGCGCAGGCGUUCCUCCUUCCUGCAAUUCCCCAUUCUUCUCGCGUCUCCCCUACCUCUCCCUUGCCACCCCUACUCCCUCGCCGUCCCUGCCUUCGGAGCCGCCAUCGGAGCUGCGCGCCAUCGCCGCCACCGGAGCCACACGCCAUCGACGCCACCAAAGUCAUCCUCGUCUGCUCCUCGCUGCCCCUGCCUCCCUUGACGCCCCUGCCUCCCUCGACACCCCUGCCUCCCUUGCCAUCACCGAAGCCGCCGUAGACACAACCGGAGCCACCCUCGGCGCCCUUUGCACCAUCGUCUCCCCCGAGCACCUCCCGGCAACUGUUCCCGCGAGCACCCACCCCUCCUCUCUAGGUUAAUUUAUUUAGGUGAAUUUAGUUAUGAACCCUAGGAAUUAGCUAGGUUAAGUAGGUUAACUAGGUAGGUUAAGUAACUAAGUGAACUAACUAGGUUAAUUUGGUUCAUUAGGUUAACUUGUUAGGUAAACUAGGUUGGCUAGGUUAGAACAAAAAAUUAGUUUAGAGCAAAAAUAUAGUUGGGGCAGUAGGGUUUAACUAGGGCAGUAGGGUUUAGAACAAAAUUUUAGUUAGGGAAGUAGGGUUUAAUUAUAGUUUUUGUUUUCAUAGAUGUUUUUCUAAAAGAACAAAAUGAAGGAAAUGUUACAGCAGUGCUGCUAGUAGUAUAUAUAGUGGUACUAGUAGAUGUUAAUUAGGUUAGGGCAGUAGUGGUACCUGUAGAUGUUAAUUAGUUGUCUUUUAGUUAGGGCAGUAGGGUUUUACUAGGUUAAUUAGGUUAGUAGUGCUGCUGGUAGUAGUGGUACAGUAGGUUAAUUAGGUGAAGUUAAAUGAAUGGCCUAAAUAAAUGAAAUUAGUAGUUAAUUGAAUUUUUAGGACAAAUUUGUAUAUGCUUAAGUACUUAACUAAAUAGUAUUUUUAGGACAAACUUGUAUAUGCUUAACUAGUUAACUAAAUAUAUUAUAGGGUUGUAAAUAUAGUUGCUUAAGUACUUGUAUAGUUGUUCUCCCAAUGUAUGCUUAAGUAGUUGUAUAAUCCCUAGGGUUCAUCAAUGGGUGCUUAAGUAGUUGUAGAUGCUUAAGUAGCUAGCUAGGGUUCAUCUAAUUAGUUAGUACUUGUAGAUGCUUAAGUACUAGGGUAUUAGGGUUAGGGCAGUAGGGUUUAAUUAAAUGUUAAUUAGGGCAGUAGGUAUUCAGUAUAAAAAUAUAUAUUUCUAUCAGUGCUGCAAGCGUACUAGGUUAUUACUUUUUACAGAAUUUUUAUUAUGUCAGAAAUUUAGGACAUAAUUUAAAUUGAGUUCUAGGGUUCAUAAUUUGAAAUUUGUGUAGAUUUUCUUGAAGUGUCAAACACUAGGAGAUGCAAAUUUGAAGUGGUCAUGUUAUAUGCAAAUUCCCCAAUAGUGUUUGCUCAUGUUUAUCUACUGUUGUAGUUGCUCAUGUACAUGUUCUUAAGUGUUUGAGCUGUGCGUUGAGGCAAAAAAGGCUAUCAAGUCCCAAGCAAUCGCAGACUUUCUUGCCGGAUUGAGCAGCAGUUGCCGACUCAAGUUCACACGGAACAUUGGACUAUGUUCUUUGAUGGCUCCAAGAUGCUGAAUGGUUCAGGUGCUGGGGUAGUAUUGGUAUCCCCCCAUGGAGACAAGCUUAGUUAUGUUCUCCAGAUUCAUUUUGAUUCCUCUAAUAAUGAAGCCGAAUAUGAAGCACUUUUAUACGGGUUGCGUAUGGCCAUUUCACUCGGCCUCCGUCGCCUUAUGGUCUACGGCGACUAAGAUUUGGUGGUUAAUCAAGUGAUGAAGGAAUGGGAUGUCAGGAGCCCAGCCAUGAAUGGUUAUUGCAAUGUAGUAAGAAAGCUGGAAAAGAGGUUUGAAGGUUUGGAGCUUCACCAUAUACCCUGACUGAAAAAUCAAGCUGCAGAUGAGUUGGCAAAGAUAGGCUCAAAGAGAGAGGCCAUUCCCCGAAAUGUGUUUUUGGAACAUAUUAAUUCACCUUCAGUUCAGGAAGAUUGUCGGUGUCAAAACCGGCGGAUCUCGGGUAGGGGGUCCCGAACUGUGCGUCUAGGCGGAUGGUAACAGGAGACACGGGACACGAUGUUUUUACCCAGGUUCGGGCCCUCUCGAUGGAGGUAAAACCCUACUCCUGCUUGAUUAAUAUUGAUGAUAUGGAUAGUACAAGAGUAGAUCUACCACAAUAUCAGAGAGGCUAAACCCUAGAAGCUAGCCUAUGGUAUGAUUGUUGUUCGUCCUACAGACUAAAACCCUCUGGUUUAUAUAGACACCGGAGAGGGCUAGGGUUACACAGAGUCGGUUACAAUGGGAGGAGAUCUACACAUCCGUAUCGCCAAGCUUGCCUUCCACGCCAAGGAAAGUCCCAUCCGGACACGGGACGAAGUCUUCAAUCUUGUAUCUUCAUAUUCCAGGAGUCCGGCCAAAGGUCAUAGUCCGGUCAUCCAGACACCCCCUAGUCCGGGACUCCCUCAGUAGCCCCUGAACCAGGCUUCAAUGAUGAUGAGUCCGGCGCGCAAAUUGUCUUCGGCAUUGCAUGGCGGGUUCCUCCUCCGAAUACUUCAUAGAAGAUGUUUGAACACAAGGAUAGUGUCCGGCUCUGCAAAAUAAGUUCCACAUACCACCGUAGAGAGAAUAAUAUUUGUACAAAUCUAAUCUGCUGACGUAUCCCGCAGCGUGACAUCAUGCCACGGCCAAGCCUUUAUUUGAAUCAUUUUACUAUCCCACCUCAGCGCGUUUAGUGAGGCGGUUUCCUUGGCACGUCUUGUCAAAGCAGAGAUCGUGUCCCCUUAUUCCGGGAUUCUCGUCAAUACGGGCGUGGGUAUGUUGGGGAACGUAGCAAUAAUUCAAAAUUUUCCUACGUGUCACCAAGAUCUAUCUAUGGAGAAACCAACAACGAGGGAAAGGAGAGUGCAUCUACAUACCCUUGUAGAUCGCUAAGCGGAAGCGUUCAAGAGAACGGGGUUGAAGGAGUCGUACUCGUCGUGAUCCAAAUCACCGGAGAUCCUAGUGCCGAACGGACGGCACCUCCGCGUUCAACACACGUGCAGCCCGGUGACGUCUCCCAUGCCUUGAUCCAGCAAGGAGAGAGGGAGAGGUUGGGGAAGACUCCGUCCAGUAGCAGCACGAUGGCGUGGUGGUGGUGGAGGAGCGUGGCAACCCUGCAGGGCUUCGCCAAGCACCGCGGGAGAGAGGAGUACUUGGGAGAGGGGGAGGGCUGCGCCAGAACUUGGGGUGCGGCUGCCCUCCCACCCCUCCACUAUUUAUAGGUGGGGAGAGAAGGGGGCCGGCCCCCUAGAUCCCAUCUAGGGUUGGGGCGGCGGCCAAGGGGGGGAGGAGUGCCUCCCAAGUCAAGUGGAGGCCCUCCACCUUAGGGUUUCCCCUCUCCCAUGCGCAUGGGCCUUGGGGGGGCUGGUGCCCCAGGCCCAUUAAGGCUAGGGCGCCCCCUUACAGCCCAUGCUGCUGUAUUGGACGUGGUGGAACAAUUUCUGGACCUCCGGACCCCUCCGGAAUCCUCCGGAACCUUCUGGAAGCUUCCUGGUACAAUACCAGAAAAAUCCAAACUUUUCCCGGAACCCAAACAACAACUUUCCAUAUAUAAAUCUUUACCUCCGGACCAUUCCGGAACUCCUCGUGAUGUCCGGGAUCUCAUCCGGGACUCCGAACAACAUUCGUUAACCACAUACAAACUUCCUUUAUAACCCUAGCGUCAUCGAACCUUAAGUGUGUAGACCCUACGGGUUCGGGAACCGUGCAGACAUGACUGAGAUGUUCUCCGGUCAAUAACCAACAGCGGGAUCUGGAUACCCAUGUUGGCUCCCACAUGUUCCAUGAUGAUCUCAUCGGAUGAACAACAAUGUCGAGGAUUCGACCAAUCCCGUAUACAAUUCCCUUUGUCUAGCGGUAUUGUACUUGCCCAAGAUUCGAUCGUCGGUAUGCUGAUACCUUGUUCAAUCUCGUUACCGGCAAGUCUCUUUACUCGUUUCGUAACACAUCAUCCCGUGAUCAACCCCUUGGUCACAUUGUGCACAUUAUGAUGAUGUCCUACCGAGUGGGCUCAGAGAUACCUCUCCGUUUACACGGAGUGACAAAUCUCAAUCUCGAUUCGUGCCAACCCAACAGACACUUUCGGGAAUACCCGUAGUGCACCUUUAUAGCCACCCAAUUACGUUGUGACCUUUGGUACACCCAAAGCAUUCCUACGGUAUCCGGGAGUUGCACAAUCUCAUGGUCUAAGGAAAUGAUACUUGACAUUAGAAAAGCUUUAGCAUACAAACUAGAUGAUCUUUGUGCUAGGCUUAGGAUUGGGUCUUGUCCAUCACAUCAUUCUCCUAAUGAUGUGAUCCCGUUAUCAAUGACAUCCAAUGUCCAUGGUCAAGAAACCGUAACCAUCUAUUGAUCAACGAGCUAGUCAACUAGAGGCUUACUAGGGACAUGGUGUUGUCUAUGUACCCACACAUGUAUCUGAGUUUCCUAUCAAUACAAUUAUAGCAUGGAUAAUAAACGAUUAUCAUGAACAAGGAAAUAUAAUAAUAAUAACCAUUUUAUUAUUGCCUCUAGGGCAUAUUUCCAACAGUCUCCCACUUGCACUAGAGUCAAUAAUCUAGUUCACAUCGCCAUGUGAUUAACACUGAUAGGUCACAUCGCCAUGUGACCAAUAUCCAAAGAGUUUACUAGUGUCACUAAACUAGUUCACAUCACCAUGUGAUUAAGACUCAAUGAGUUCUGGGGUUUGAUCAUGUUUUGCUUGUGAGAGAGGUUUUAGUCAACGGGUCUGCAACAUUCAGAUAUGUAUGUAUUUCACAAAUCUCUAGGUCAUAUUGUAAAUGUUGUUUCCACGCUCCAUUUGGAGCUAUUCCAAAUGGUCGCUCCACUAUACGUAUCCGGUUUGCUACUCAGAGUCAUUCGAAUAGGUUUUAAAGCUUGCAUCGACGUAACCCUUUAUGCCGAACUCUUUAUCACCUCCAUAAUUGAGAAAUAUGUCGUUAUUUACUCCAAGGACAAUUUUGACCGCUGUCCAAUGAUCCCCACUCCUGGAUCAUUCUUGUACCCCUUGACUGACUCAUGGCGAGGCACACUUCCGGUGCGGUACACAUCAUAGCAUACUAUAGAGCCUACGUCUGAAGCAUAGGGGACGACCUUCAUCCUUUCUCUCUCUUCUGCCGGGGUCGAGCUUUAACUCUUAACUUCAUACCUUACAACUCAGGCAAGAACUCCUUCUUUGACUGAUCCAUCUUGAACACCUUCAAGAUCAUGUCAAGGUAUGUGCUCAUUUGAAAGUACAAUUGAGCGGUUUUUGAUCUAUCCUCAUAGAUCUUGAUGCUCAAUGUUCAAGCAGCUUAAUCCAGGUUCUCUAUUGAAAAACACCUUUCAAACAACCCUAUAUGCUUUCCAGAAAUUCUACAUCAUUUCCGAUCAACAAUAUGUCAACAACAUAUACUCAUCAGAAAUGCUAUAGUGCUCCCACUCACUUCUUUGGAAAUACAAGUUUCUCAUAAACUUUGUAUAAACCCAAAAUCUUUGAUCAUCUCAUCAAAGCGUACAUUCCAACUCCGAGAUGCUUACUCUAGUCCUUAGAAGGAUUGCUGGAGCUUUGCAUACUUUAUUAGCAUCUUUCAAGAUUGACAAAACCUUCUGGUUGUAUCACAUACAACCUUUCCUCAAGGAUAAACUGGUAAGGGAACUUGUUUUGACAUCCAUCUUCCAGAUUUCAUAAAUGCAGCUUAUGCUAACAUGAUUCCAACGGACUUAAGCAUCGCUACGGAUGAGAACAUCUCAUUGUAGUCAACUCCUUGAACUUGUGAAAAAACUCUUUGGCACAAGUCGAGCUUCAUAGACGGUGACAUUACCGUCCACGUCCGUUUUCUUCUUAAAGACCCAUUUAUCUCAAUGGCUUGCCGAUCAUCGGGCAAGACCACCAAAGUCCAUGCUUUGUAUACAUGGAUCCUCUCUCAGAUUUUAUGGCCUCGAGCCAUUUGUCAGAAUCCUGGCCCACCAUCGCUUCUCCAUAGCUCGUAGGUUCAUUGUUGUCUAGCAACAUGACCUCCAAGACAGGAUUACCGUACCACUCCGAAGCAGUAUGCGUCCUUGUCGUCCUACGAGGUUCGGUAGUGACUUGAUUCAAAGCAUCAUGAUCACUAUCAUCAGCUUCCACUUCAAUUGGUGUAGGUGCCACAUGAACAACUUCCUGUGCCCUGCUACACACUGGUUGAAGUGAUGAUUCAAUAACCUCAUCAAGUCUCCACCUCCCACUCAAUUCUUUCGAGAGAAACUUUUCCUCGAGAAAGGACCCGUUUUAGAAACAAUUACUUUUGCUUCCGGAUCUGAGAUAGGAGGCAUACCCAACCAUUUUGGGUAUCCUAUGAAGAUGUAUUUAUCCGUUUUGGGUUCAAGCUUAUCACAAUGAAACUUUUUCACAUAAGCGUCGCAACCCCAAACUUUUUAAAAAACGACAGCUUAGGUUUCUCUAAACCAUAGUUCAUACGGUGUCAUCUCAACGGAAUUAUGUGGUGCCCUAUUAAAGUGAAUGUGGUUGUCUCUAAUGCCUAACCCAUGAACGAUAGUGGUAAUUCGAUAAGAGACAUCAUGGUACGCACCAUAUCCAAUAGAGUGCAACUAUGAUGUUCAGACACACCAUCACACUAUGGUGUUCCAGGCGGUAUUAAUUGUGAAACAAUUUCCACAAUGUCUUAAUUGCGUGCCAAAGCUCGUAACUCAGAUACUCAUCUCUAUGAUCAUAUCAUAGACAUUUUAUCCUCUUGUCACAAUGAUCUUCAACUUCACUCUGAAAUUACUUGAACCAUUCAACAAUUCAGACUUGUGUUUCAUCAAGCAAAUAUACUCAACAUCUACUCGAAUCAUUUGUGAAGUAGGAACAUAACGAUAUUCAGUGCAUGCCUCAGCACUCAUUGGGCUGCACACAUCAAAAUGUGUUACUUCCAACAAAUUGCUAUCUUGUUCCAUCUUACUGAAACGAGGCUUUUCAGUCAUCUUUCCCAUGUGGUAUGAUUUGCAUAUCUCAAGUGAUUCAAAAUCAAGUGAGUCCAAACGAUCCAUCUGCAUGGAGUUUCUUCAUGCGUAUACACCAAUAGACAUGGUUCGCAUGUCUCAAACUUUUCAUAAAAUGAGUGAGUCCAAAGAUCCAUCAACUUGGAGCUUCUUCAUGCGUUUUAUACCAAUAUGACUUACAUGGGAGUGCCACAAGUAAGUGGUACUAUCAUUACUAUCUUAUAUCUUUUGGCAUGAAAAUGUGUAUCAUUACGAUCGAGAUUCAAUAAACCAUUCUUUUAGGUGUAAGACCAUUGAAGGUAUUAUUCAAAUAAAUAGAGUAACCAUUAUUCUCCUUAAAUGAAUAACCGCAUUGCGAUAGACAUAAUCCAAUCAUGUCUAUGCUCAACGCAAACACCAAAUAAAAAUAUUCAGGUUUAGCACCAAUCUCGAUGGUAGAGGGAGCGUGCGAUGCUUGAUCACAUCAACCUUGGAAACACUUCCAACACAUAUCAUCAGCUCACCUUUAGCUAGUCUCCGUUUAUUCCGUAGCCUUUUAUUUCGAGUUACUAACACUUAGCAACCGAACCGGUAUCUAAUACCCUGGUGCUACUAGGAGUACUAUUAAAGUACACAUUAACAUAAUGUAUAUCCAAUAUACUUCUAUCGACCUUGCCAGCCUUCUCAUCUACCAAGUAUCUAGGGUAAUUCUGCUUCAGUGUCCGUUCCUCUCAUUACAGAAGCACUUAGUCUCGGGUUUGGGUUCAACCUUGGGUUUCUUCACUGGAGCAGCAACUGAUUUGCCGUUUCAUGAAGUACCCCUUAUUGCCCUCGCCCUUCUUGAAACUAGUGGUUUCACUAACCAUUAACAAUUGAUGCUCCUUCUUGAUUUCUACAUUCGUGGUGUCAAACUUUGUGAAUAGCUCAAGGAUCAUCAUAUCUAUCCCUGUUAUGUUAUAGUUCAUCACGAAGCUCUAGUAGCUUGGUGGCAAUGUCUUUGGAGAAACAUCACUCUCACCUGGAAGAUUAACUCCCACUCGAUUCAAAUGAUUGUUGUACCCAGACAAUCUGAGUACAAGCUCAACGAUUGAGAUCUUCUCCCUUAGUUUGUAGGCUAGAAAAUUCGUCGGAGGUCUCAUACCUCUUGACGUGGGCACGAGCCUGAAAUCCCAAUUUCAGCUCUUGGAAUAUCUCAUAUGUUCUGUGACAUUUCAAAAAUGUCUUCGGUGCCUCAAUUCUAAACCAUUUAACAUUACCGAACUAUCAUGUAGUCAUCAAAACGUGUAUGUCAGAUGUUCGCAACAUCCACAGACCACGUUCGAGGUCCAGCACACCGAGCGGUGCAUUAAGGACAUAAGCCUUCUACUGUCCGCAUAAUUGCUAUAGUCAACUUUGAACUAUAUUUUCUCUAGGAACAUAUCUAAAAUAGUAGAACUAAGCGCGAGCUAUGACAUAAUUUGCAAAGGGCUUUUGACUAUGUUCAGGAUAUUUAAGUUCAUCUAAUGAACUCCCACUCAGAUAGACAUCCCUCCAGUCAUCUAAGUGAUUACAUGAUCCGAGUCAACUAGGCCGUGUCCGAUCGUCACGUGAGACAGACUAGUCAUCAUCGGUGAACAUCUUCAUGUUGAUCGUAUCCACCAUACGACUCAUGAUCAACCUUUCGGUCUCUUGUGUUCCAAGGCCAUGUCUGUACAUGCUAGGCUCGUCAAGUUAACCUAAGUGUUUCGCGUGUGUAAAUCUGGCUUACACCCAUUGUAUGUGAACGUUAGAAUCUAUCACACCCGAUCAUAACGUGGUGCUUCGAAACGACGAACUUUCGCAACGGUGCACAGUUAGGGGGAACACUUUCUUGAAAUUUUAACGAGGGAUCAUCUUAUUUACUACCGUCGUUCUAAGCAAAUAUGAUGUAUAAACAUGAUAAACAUCACAUGCAAUCAAAUAGUGACAUGAUAUGGCCAAUAUCAUUUUGCUCCUUUUGAUCUCCAUCUUCGGGGCUCCAUGAUCAUCAUCGUCACCGGCAUGACACCAUGAUCUCCAUCAUCAUGAUCUCCAUCACCGUGUCUCCAUGAAGUUGUCUCGCCAACUUAUUACUUCUAUUACUAUGGCUACCGAUUAGCAAUAAAGUAAAGUAAUUACAUGGCGUUUGUUCAAUGACACACAGGUCAUACAAUAAAUUAAGACAACUCCUAUGGCUCAUACCGGUUGUCAUACUCAUCGACAUGCAAGUCGUGAUUCCUAUUACAAGAACAUGAUCAAUCUCAUACAUCACAUAUCACUCAUCGCAUUCUUUUGACCAUAUCACAUCACAUAGCAUACCCUGCAAAAAUAAGUUAGACAUCCUCUAAUUGUUGUUUGCAUGUUUUACAUGGCUGCUAUGGGUUCUAGCAAGAACGUUUCUUACCUACACAAAACCACAACGUGAUAUGCCAAUUGCUAUUUACCCUUCAUAAGGAUCCUUUUCAUCGAAUCCGUUCUGAGUAAAGUGGGAGAGACUGGCACCCGCUAGCCACCUUAUGCACCAAGUGCAUGUCAGUCGGUGGAACCUGUCUCACGUAAGUGUACGUGUAAGGUCGGUCCGGGCCGCUUCAUCCCACAAUACCGUCGAAACAAGAUUGGACUAGUAAUGGUAAGCAUAUUGAACAAAAUCAGAGCCCACAACUACUUUGUGUUCUACUCGUGCAAAGAAUCUACACAAUAGACCUAGCUCAUGAUGCCACUGUUGGGGAACGUAGCAAUAAUUCAAAAUUUUCCUACGUGUCACCAAGAUCUAUCUAUGGAGAAACCAGCAACGAGGGGAAGGAGAGUGCAUCUACAUACCCUUGUAGACCGCUAAGCGGAAGCGUUCAAGAGAACGGGGUUGAAGGAGUCAUACUCGUCGUGAUCCAAAUCACCUGAGAUCCUAGUGCCGAACGGACGGCACCUCCGCGUUCAACACACGUGCAGCCCGGUGACGUCUCCCAUGCCUUGAUCCAGCAAGGAGAGAGGGAGAGGUUGGGGAAGACUCCGUCCAGUAGCAGCACGAUGGCGUGGUGGUGGUGGAGGAGCGUGGCAACCCUGCAGGGCUUCGCCAAGCACCGCGGGAGAGAGGAGUACUUGGGAGAGGGGGAGGGCUGCGCCAGAACUUGGGGUGCGGCUGCCCUCCCACCCCUCCACUAUUUAUAGGUGGGGAGAGAAGGGGGCCAGCCCCCUAGAUCCCAUCUAGGGUUGGGGCGGCGGCCAAGGGGGGGAGGAGUGCCUCCCAAGUCAAGUGGAGGCCCUCCACCUUAGGGUUUCCCCUCUCCCAUGCGCAUGGGCCUUGGGGGGGCUGGUGCCCCAGGCCCAUUAAGGCUAGGGCACCCCCUUACAGCCCAUGCUGCUGUAUUGGACGUGGUGGAACAAUUUCUGGACCUCCGGACCCCUCCGGAAUCCUCCGGAACCUUCUGGAAGCUUCCUGGUACAAUACCAGAAAAACCCGAACUUUUCCCGGAACCCGAACAAGAACUUUCCAUAUAUAAAUCUUUACCUCCGGACCAUUCUGGAACUCCUCGUGACGUCCGGGAUCUCAUCCGGGACUCCGAACAACAUUCGGUAACCACAUACAAACUUCCUUUAUAACCCUAGCAUCAUCGAACCUUAAGUGUGUAGACCCUACGGGUUCGGGAACCAUGUAGACAUGACCGAGACAUUCUCCGGUCAAUAACCAACAACGGGAUCUGGAUACCCAUGUUGGCUCCCACAUGUUCCAUGGUGAUCUCAUCGGAUGAACCACGACAUCGAGCAUUCGAGCAAUCCCAUAUACAAUUCCCUUUGUCUAGCGGUAUUGUACUUUCCCGAGAUUCGAUCGUCGGUAUGCCGAUACCUUGUUCAAUCUCGUUACCGGCAAGUCUCUUUACUCGUUCCGUAACACAUCAUCCCGUGAUCAAACCCUUGCUCACAUUGUGCACAUUAUGAUGAUGUCCAACCGAGUGGUCCCAGAGAUACCUCUCCGUCUACACGGAGUGACAAAUCCGAGUCUCGAUUCGUGCCAACCCAGCAGACACUUUCAGAGAUACCCGUAGUGCACCUUUAUAGCCACCCAGUUACGUUGUGACGUUUGAUACACCCAAAGCAUUCCUACGGUAUCCGGGAGUUGCACAAUCUCAUGGUCUAAGGAAAUGAUACUUGACAUUAGAAAAGCUUUAGCAUACGAACUAUAUGAUCUUUGUGCUAGGAUUAGGAUUGGGUCUUGUCCAUCACAUCAUUCUCCUAAUGAUGUGAUCCCGUUAUCAACGACAUCCAAUGUCCAUGGUCAGGAAGCCGUAACCAUCUAUUGAUCAACGAGCUAGUCAACUAGAGGCUUACUAGGGACAUGGUGUUGUCUAUGUACCCACACAUGUAUCUGAGUUUCCUAUCAAUACAAUUAUAGCAUGGAUAAUAAACGAUUAUCAUGAACAAGGAAAUAUAAUAAUAAUAACCAUUUUAUUAUUGCCUCAAUAGUGUUUUCUCACGUCCUUUAAUUGUUGUUGCAUCUUUUACGUGGCUGCAAUAGGGUUCUAGCAAGAACGUUUUCUUACCUACGAAAAAGCCACAACAUGAUUUGUCAACUUAUAUUUACCCUUCAUAAGGACACUUUUCAUCGAAUCCGCUCCAACUAAAGUGGGAGAGACAGACACCCGCUAGCCACCUUAUGCAACUAGUGCAUGUCAGUCGGUGCAACCUGUCUCACGUAAGCGUACGUGUAAGGUCGGUCUGGGCCGCUUCAUCCCACAAUACUGCUGAAGCCAAAUAAGACUAGUAGUGGCAAGAAAGUUGACAACAUCUACGCCCACAACAGAUUUGUGUUCUACUCAUGCAAAGAGAACUACGCAUAGACCUAGCUCAUGAUGCCACUGUUGGGGAAUGUUGCAGAAACAAAAAAAAUCUGUGGUUUUCACCAAGAUCAAUCUAUGAGUUCAUCUAGAAACGAGAGAGAGGAGUGCAUCUACAUACCCUUGUAGAUCGAGCGGAAGCGUUCAAGAGAAUGGGGUUGAGGGAGUCGUACUCGUCGUGAUCCAAAUCACCGGAGAUCCUAGCGCUGAACGGACGGCACCUCCGCGUUCAACACACGUAUGGUCAGCAUGACAUCUCCUCCUUCUUGAUCUAGCAACAGGGAAGGAGAGGUUGAUGAUGAUCCAGCAGCACGACGGCGUGGUGGUGGAUGCAGCAGGGAUCCCAGCAGGGCUUCGCCAAGCGUCUGCGGGAGGGAGAGGUGUAGCAAGGGGGAAGGGAGGUGCCAAGUGCAAGGGUGCGACUGCCCUCCCUCCCCCCCUCUUUAUAUAGGGACCCCAGGGGGGCGCCGGCCCUAGGAGAUGGGAUCUCCUAGGGGGGGCGGCGGCCAAGGGGGGGUGCCUUGCCCCCCAAGGCAAGUGGAGGCGCCCCCUCCCCUAGGGUUCCCAACCCUAGGCGCAGGGGGGCCCAAGGGGGGGCGCACCAGCCCACCAGGGGCUGGUUCCCCUCCCACUUCAGCCCAUGGGGCCCUCCGGGAUGGGUGGCCCCACCCGGUGGACCCCCGGGACCCUUCCGGUGGUCCUGGUACAAUACCGGUGACCCCCAAAACUUUCCCGAUGGCCAAAACUCGACUUCCCAUAUAUAAUUCUUUACCUCCGGACCAUUCCGGAACUCCUCGUGAUGUCCGAGAUCUCAUCCGGGACUCCGAACAACUUUCGGUUUGCUGCAUACAAAUAUCUCUACAACCCUAGUGUCACCGAACCUUAAGUGUGUAGACCCUACGGGUUCGGGAGAUACGUAGACAUGACCGAGACGGCUCUGCGGUCAAUAACCAACAACGGGAUCUGGAUACGCAUGUUGGCUCCCACAUGCUCCUCGAUGAUCUCAUCGGAUGAACCACGAUGUCGAGGAUUCAAGCAACCCCGUAUACAAUUCCCUUUGUCAAUCGGUAUGUUACUUGCCCGAUAUUCGAUCGUCGGUAUCCCAAUACCUCGUUCAAUCUCGUUACCGGCAAGUCACUUUACUCGUACCGUAAUGCAUGAUCCCCUGACCAGACACUUGGUCACUUUUAGCUCAUUAUGAUGAUGCAUUACCGAGUGGGCCCAGAGAUACCUCUCCGUCAUACAGAGUGACAAAUCCCAGUCUCGAUCCGUGUCAACCCAACAGACACUUUCGGAGAUACCCGUAGUAUACCUUUAUAGUCACCAGUUACGUUGUGACGUUUGGUACACCCAAAGCACUCCUACAGUGUCCAUGAGUUACACGAUCUCAUGGUUUAAGGAAAAGAUACUUGACAUUGGAAAAGCUCUAGCAAACAAACUACACGAUCUUGUACUAUGCUUAGGAUUGGGUCUUGUCCAUCACAUCAUUCUCCUAAUGAUGUGAUCUUGUUAUCAAUGACAUCCAAUGUCCAUAGUCAGGAAACCAUGACUAUCUGUUGAUCAAGGAGCUAGUCAACUAGAGUCUCACUAGGAACAUAUUGUGGUCUAUGUAUUCACACGUGCAUUACGAUUUCCGGAUAAUACAAUUAUAGCAUGAAUAAAAGAUAAUUAUCAUGAACAAGGAAAUAUAAUAAUAAUCCUUUUAUUAUUGCCUCUAGGCCAUAUUUCCAACAGUCUCCCACUUGGACUAGAGUAAAUAAUCUAGUUACAUUGUGAUGAAUCAAACACCCAUAGAGUUCUGGUGUUGGUCAUGUUUUGUUUGCGGAAGAGGUUUAGUCAACGGAUCUGUGACAUUCAGAUCCGUAUGUACUUUGCAAAUAUCUAUGUCUCCAUCUUGAACAUUUUCAUGGAUGGAGUUGAAACGAUGCUUGAUUUGCCUGGUCUUCUUGUGAAACCUGGGCUCCUUGGCAAGGGUAAUAGCUCCAGUGUUGUCACAGAAGAGAGUGAUCGGCCCCGACGAAUUGGGUAUGACUCCUAGGUCGGUGAUGAACUCCUUCAUCCAUAUUGCUUCAUGUGCUGCCUCCGAGGCUGCCAUGUACUCCGCUUCACAUGUAGAUCCCGCCACGACGCUCUGCUUGCAACUGCACCAGCUUACUGCUCCACGAUUCAACAUAUACACGUAUCCGGUUUGUGACUUAGAGUCAUUCAGAUCUGUGUCGAAGCUAGCAUCGACGUAACCCUUUACGAUGAGAUCUUCGUCACCUCCAUAAAUGAGAAACAUGUCCUUUGUCCUUUUCAGGUACUUCAGGAUAUUCUUGACCGCUGUCCAGUGUUCCUUGCCGGGAUUACUUUGGUACCUUCCUACCAAACUUACGGCAAGGUUUCCAUCAGGUCUGGUACACAACAUGGCAUACAUAAUAGAUCCUAUGGCUGAGGCAUAGGGGAUGACACUCAUCUCUUCUUUAUCUUCUGCCAUGGUCGGGCAUUGAGCCGAGCUCAAUCUUACACCUUGCAAUACAGGCAAGAACCCUUUCUUGGACUGAUCCAUAUUGAACUUCUUCAAUAUCUUAUCAAGGUAUGUGCUUUGUGAAAGACCUAUGAGGCGUCUCGAUCUGUCCCUAUAGAUCUUGAUGCCUAAUAUGUAAGCGGCUUCUCCAAGGUCCUUCAUUGAAAAACACUUAUUCAAGUAGGCCUUAAUGCUGUCCAAAAGUUCUAUAUCAUUUCCUAUCAGAAGUAUGUCAUCUACAUAUAAUAUGAGAAAUGCUACAGAGCUCCCACUCACUUUCUUGUAAACGCAGGCUUCUCCAUAAGUCUUCAUAAACCCAAACACUUUGAUCAUCUCAUCAAAGCAAAUGUUCCAACUCCGAGAUGCUUGCACCAGGCCAUAAAUGAAUCGUUGGAGCUUGCAUACCUUGUUAGCAUUCUUAGGAUCGACAAAACCUUCGGGAUGCAUCAUAUACAGUUCUUCCUUAAGAUAGCCAUUAAGGAAUGCCGUUUUGACGUCCAUCUGCCAUAUCUCAUAAUCAUAGUAUGAGGCAAUUGCUAACAUGAUUCGGACGGACUUCAGCUUCGCUACGGGAGAGAAAGUCUAAUCGUAGUCAACCCCUUGAACUUGCCGAUAACCCUUAGCGACAAGUCGAGCUUUAUAGAUGGUAACAUUACCAUCCGCAUCCGUCUUCUUCUUAAAGAUCCAUUUGUUUUCUAUCGCUCGCCGAUCAUCCGGCAAGUCUGUCAAAGUCCAUACUUUGUUUUCAUACAUGGAUUCUAUCUCGGAUUGCAUGGCUUCAAGCCAUUCGUUGGAAUGUGGGCCCGUCAUCGCUUCUUCAUAGUUCGAAGGUUCACCGUUGUCUAACAACAUGAUUUCCAGGACAGGGUUGCCAUACCACUCUGGUGUGGAACGUGUCCUUGUGGACCUACGAAGUUCAGUAGCAACUUGAUCCGAAGUAACUUGAUCAUCAUCAUUAAUUUCCUCUCCAGUCGGUGCAGGCAACAUAGGAACAUUUUCCUGAGCUGCACUACUUUCCGGUUCAAGAGGUAGUACUUCAUCGAGUUCUACUUUCCUCCCACUUACUCCUUUCGAGAGAAACUCUUUUUCCAGAAAGGAUCCGUUCUUGGCAACAAAGAUCUUGCCUUCGGAUCUAAAGAAGAAGGUAUACCCAAUGGUUUCCUUAGGGUAUCCUAUGAAGACGCAUUUUUCCGACUUGGGUUCGAGCUUUUCAGGUUGAAGUUUCUUGACAUAAGCAUCGCAUCCCCAAACUUUUAGAAACGACAACUUAGGUUUCUUCCCAAACCAUAAUUCAUAUGGUGUCGUCUCAAAGGAUUUAGACGGAGCCCUAUUUAAAGUGAAUGUAGCUGUCUCUAGAGCGUAUCCCCAAAAUGAUAGAGGUAAAUCGGUAAGAGACAUCAUAGAUCGCACCAUAUCCAAUAGAGUGCAAUUACGACGUUCGUACACACCGUUACGUUGAGGUGUUCCAGGCAGCCUGAGUUGUGAAACGAUUCCACAUUUCCUUAAGUGCAUACCAAAUUCAUGACUUAAAUAUUCUCCUCCACGAUCUGAUCGCAAGAACUUUAUCUUUCGGUCAGGUUGAUUCUCUACCUCAUUCUGAAAUUCCUUGAACUUUUCAAAGGUCUCAGACUUGUGUUUCAUCAAGUAGACAUACCCAUAUCUACUUAAGUCAUCAGUGAGAGUGAGAACAUAACAAUAUCCUCCACGAGCCUCACGCUCAUUGGACCGCACACAUCAGUAUGUAUGAUUUCCAAUAAGUUGGUUGCUCGCUCCAUUGUUCCGAAGAAAGGAGUCUUGGUCAUUUUGCCCAUAAGGCAUGGUUCGCAUGUGUCAAAUGAUUCAUAAAAGAGAGACUCUAAAAGUCCAUCAGCAUGGAGCUUCUUCAAGCGCUUGACACCAAUGUGACCAAGGCGGCAGUGCCACAAGUAUGUGGGACUAUCGUUAUCAACUUUACAUCUUUUGGUAUUCACACUACGAAUAUGUGUAACAUCACGUUCGAGAUUCAUUAAGAAUAAACCAUUGACCAUCGGGGCAUGACCAUAAAACAUAUCUCUCAUAUAAAUAGGACAACCAUUAUUCUAGGAUUUAAAUGAGUAGCCAUCUCAUAUUAAACGAGAUCCAGAUACAAUAUUCAUGCUCAAACUUGGCACUAAAUAACAAUUAUUAAGGUUUAAAACUAAUCCCGUAGGUAAAUGUAGAGGUAGCGUGCCGACGGCGAUCACAUCGACCUUGGAACCAUUCCCGACACGCGUCGUCACCUCGUCCUUCGCCAGUCUCCGCUUAUUCCGCAGCUCCAGCUUUGAGUUACAAAUAUGAGCAACGGCACCGGUAUCAAAUACCCAGGAGCUACUACGAGCACUGGUAAGGUAUACAUCAAUUACAUGUAUAUCACAUAUACCUUUAGUGUUGCCGGCCUUCUUGUCCGCUAAGUAUUUGGGGCAGUUCCGCUUCCAGUGACCCUUCCCUUUGCAAUAAAAGCAUUCUAUUUUAGGCUUGGGUCCAUUCUUUGACUUCUUCCCGGCAACUGGCUUACCGAGCGCGGCAACAUCCUUGCCGACCUUCUUGAAGUUCUUUUACCCUUGCCUUUCUUGAACUUAGUGGUUUUAUUGACCAUCAACACUUGAUGUUCAUUUUUGAUUUAUACCUUUGCUGACUUCAGCAUUGAAAAUACUUCAGGAAUAGUUUUCACCAUCCCCAACAUAUUCUAGUUCAUCACAAAGCUCUUGUAGCUCGGUGGGAGCGACUGAAGGAUUCUUUCAAUGACCGCCUCGUCCGGGAGGUUAAUGUCCAGCUGGGACAGGCGGUUGUGCAACCCAGACAUUUUGAGUAUGUGCUCACUGACAGAACUAUUUUCCUCCAUCUUACAACUAUAGAACUUGUCGGAGACUUCAUAUCUCUUGACCCGGGCAUGAGCUUGGAAAACCAUUUUCAGCUCCUCGAACAUCUCAUAUGCUCCGUCUUGCUCAAAACGUUUUUGGAGCCCCGGUUCUAAGAUGUAAAGCAUGCUGCACUAAACGAGGGAGUAAUCAUCAGCACGUGACUGCCAAGCGUUCAUAACGUCUUGGUUCUCUGGGAUGGGUGCUUCACCUGGCGGUCCUUGUAGGACAUAUGCUUUCUUGGCAGCUAUGAGGAUGAUCCUCAGGUUCCGGACCCAGUCCGUAUAGUUGCUGCCAUCAUCUUUUAGCUUGGUUUUCUCUAGGAACGCGUUGAAGUUCAUGUUGACAUGAGUGUUGGCCAUUUGAUCUACAAGACAUUUUUGCAAAGGUUUUAGACUAAGUUCAUGAUAAUUAAGUUCAUCUAAUCAAAUUAUUUAAUGAACUCCCACUUAGAUUAGACAUCCCUCUAGUCAUCUAAGUGUUACAUGAUCCGAGUCGACUAGGCCGUGUCCGAUCAUCACGUGAGAUAGACUAGCAUCAUCGGUUAACAUCUCCAUGUUGAUCAUAUCUUCCAUACGACUCAUGUUCGACCUUUCGGUCUCUGUGUUCCGAGGCCAUGUCUGUACAUGUUAGGCUCAUCAAGUUAAUUAAAGUGUUUUGCAUGUGUAAAUCUGUCUUACACCCAUUGUAUGUGAAUGUUAGGAUCUAUCACACCCGAUCAUCACGUGGUGCUUCGAAACAAUGAACUGUCACAACGGCGCACAGUUAGGGGGGACACUUUCUUGAAAUUAUUAUGAGGGAUCAUCUUAUUUACUACCGUCGUUCUAAGUAAACAAGAUGCAAAAAUAUGAUAAACAUCACAUGCAAUCAAAUAAUAGUGACAUGAUAUGGCCAAUAUCAUAUAGCUCCUUUGAUCUCCAUCUUCGGGGCUUCAUGAUCAUCUUCGUCACCGGCAUGACAACAUGAUCUCUAUCAUCAUGAUCUCCAUCAUCGUGUCUCCAUGAAGUUGCUCGCCAACUAUUACUUCUACUACUAUGGCUAACGGUUUAGCAAUAAAGUAAAGUAAUUACAUGGCGUUAAAUCAUUGACACGCAGGUCAUACAAUAAUUAAGACAACUCCUAUGGCUUCUACCGGUUUUCAUACUCAUCGACAUGCAAGUCGUGAUUCCUAUUACAAGAACAUGAUCUCAUACAUCACAAUAUAUCAUUCAUCAUUCAUCACAACUUUUGGCCAUAUCACAUCACCAAGCAAUUGCUGCAAAAACAAGUUAGACGUCCUCUAAUUGUUGUUGCAUCUUUUACGUGGCUGCAAUAGGGUUCUAGCAAGAACGUUUUCUUACCUACGAAAAAGCCACAACGUGAUUUGUCAACUUCUAUUUACCCUUCAUAAGGACCCUUUUCAUCGAAUCCGCUCCAACUAAAGUGGGAGAGAUAGACACCCGCUAGCCACCUUAUGCAACUAGUGCAUGUCAGUCGGUGGAACCUGUCUCAGGUAAGCGUACGUGUAAGGUCAGUUCGGGCCGCUUCAUCCCACAAUACCGCUGACGCAAAAUAAGACUAGUAGUGGCAAGAAAGUUGACAACAUCUACACCCACAACAGAUUUGUGUUCUACUCGUGCAAAGAGAACUACUGAUAGACCUAGCUCAUGAUGCCACUGUUGGGGAACGUUGAUGAAAAUAAAAAAUUUCCACGGUUUUCACCAAGAUCAAUCUAUGAGUUCAUCUAGCAACGAGAGAGAGGAGUGCAUCUACAUACCCUUGUAGAUCGAGCGGAAGCGUUCAAGAGAACGGGGUUGAGGGAGUCGUACUCGUCGUGAUCCAAAUCACCGGAGAUCCUAGCGCCGAACGGACGGCACCUCCGCGUUCAACACACGUACGGUCAGCGUGACGUCUCCUCCUUCUUGAUCCANNNNNNNNNNNNNNNNNNNNNNNNNNNNNNNNNNNNNNNNNNNNNNNNNNNNNNNNNNNNNNNNNNNNNNNNNNNNNNNNNNNNNNNNNNNNNNNNNNNNNNNNNNNNNNNNNNNNNNNNNNNNNNNNNNNNNNNNNNNNNNNNNNNNNNNNNNNNNNNNNNNNNNNNNNNNNNNNNNNNNNNNNNNNNNNNNNNNNNNNNNNNNNNNNNNNNNNNNNNNNNNNNNNNNNNNNNNNNNNNNNNNNNNNNNNNNNNNNNNNNNNNNNNNNNNNNNNNNNNNNNNNNNNNNNNNNNNNNNNNNNNNNNNNNNNNNNNNNNNUCUCCUCUUUCUUGAUCCAGCAAGGGGGGAGGAGAGGUUGAUGAGGAUCCAGCAGCACGACGGCGUGGUGGUGGAUGCAGCAGGGAUCCCGGCAGGGCUUCGCCAAGCGUCUGCGAGGGGGGGGGGGAAGGUGUAGCAAGGGGGAAGGGAGGCGCCAAGUGCAAGGGUGCGGCUGCCCUCCCUCCCCCCUCUUUAUAUAGGGACCCCAGGAGGGGCGGCGGCCCUAGGAGAUGGGAUCUCCUAGGGAGGUGGGGCGGCCAAGGGGGGGUGCCUUGCCCCCCAAGGCAAGUGGAGGCGCCCCCUCCCCUAGGGUUCCCAACCCUAGGCGCAGGGGGGCCCAAGGGGGGUGUUGGAAAUAUGCCGUAGAGGCAAUAAUAAAAGGAUUAUUAUUAUAUUUCCUUGUUCAUGAUAAUUGUCUUUUAUUCAUGCUAUAAUUGUAUUAUCCGGAAAUCGUAAUACACGUGUGAAUACUUAGACCACACCAUGUCCCUAGUGAGCCUCUAGUUGACUAGCUCGUUGAUCAACAGAUAGUCAUGGUUUCCUGACUAUGGACAUUGGAUGUCAUUGAUAACGGGAUCACAUCAUUAGGAGAAUGAUGUGAUGGACAAGACCCAAUUCUAAGCAUAGCACAAAGAUCGUGUAGUUCGUUUGCUAGAGCUUUUCCAAUGUCAAGUAUCUUUUCCUUAGACCAUGAGAUCGUGUAACCCCCGGAUACUGUAGGAGUGCUUUGGGUGUACCAAACGUCACAACGUAACUGGGUGACUAUAAAGGUGCACUACAGGUAUCUCCGAAAGUGUCUGUUGGGUUGACACGGAUCGAGACUGGGAUUUGUCACUCCAUAUGACGGAGAGGUAUCUCUGGGCCCACUCGGUAAUGCAUCAUCAUAAUGAGCUCAAAGUGACCAAGUGUCUGGUCACGGGAUCAUGCAUUAUGGUACGAGUAAAGUGACUUGCCGGUAACGAUAUUGAACGAGGUAUUGGGAUACCGACUAUCGAAUCUCGGGCAAGUAACGUACCGAUUGACAAAGGGAAUUGUAUACGGGGUUGCUUAAAUCCUCGACAUCGUGGUUCAUCCCAUGAGAUCAUCGAGGUGCAUGUCGGAGCCAACAUGGGUAUCCAGAUCCCGUUGUUGGUUAUUGACCGGAGAGCCGUCUCAGUCAUGUGUGCAUGUCUCCCGAACCCAUAAGGUCUACACACUUAAGGUUCAGUGAUGCUAGGGUUGUUUGAAUAUGAGUAUGCAGCAAACUAAAAGUUGUUCGGAGUCCCGGAUGAGAUCCCGGACAUCACGAGGAGUUCCAGAAUGGUCCGGAGGUAAAGAAUUAUAUAUGGGAAGUCGAGUUUCGUCCAUCGGGAAAGUUUCGGGGGUCACCGGUAUUGUACAGGGACCACCAGAAGGGUCCCGGGGGUCCACCAGGUGGGGCCACCCAUCCCGGAGGGCCCCAUGGGCUGAAGUGGGAGGGGAACCAGCCCCUGGUGGGCUGGUGCGCCCCCCCCCCUGGGCCCCCCUCUGCGCCUAGGGUUGGGAACCCUAGGGGAGGGGGCGCCUCCACUUGCCUUGGGGGGCACUCCAACCCCCUGGCCGCCGCCCUCCUUGGGAGAUCCCAUCUCCAGGGACGCCCCCCCUGGGGUCCCUAUAUAAAGAGGGGGGGUGGGAGGGCAGCCACAGCCCUAACCUCUGGCGCCUCCUUACCCCCUUGCUACACCUCCUCCUCCCGUAGUCACUUGACGAAGCCCUGCCGAAACUCUGCUGCAUCCACCACCAUGCCGUCAUGCUGCUGGAUCUUCAUCAACCUCUCCUUCCCCCUUGCUGGAUCAAGAAAGAGGAGACGUCACGCUGACCGUACGUGUGUUGAACGCGGAGGUGCCGUCCGUUCGGCGCUAGGAUCUCCGGUGAUUUGGAUCACGACGAGUAUGACUCCCUCAACCCCGUUCUCUUGAACGCUUCCGCUCGCGAUCUACAAGGGUAUGUAGAUGCACUCCUCUCUCUCGUUGCUAGGUGAACUCAUAGAUUGAUCUUGGUGAACAUAGGAAAAUUUUUAUUUUAUGCAACGUUCCCCAACAAUGGCAUCAUGAGCUAGGUCUAUGCGUAGUUCUCUAUUGCACGAGUAGAACACAAAUCUGUUGUGGGCGUAGAUGUUGUCAACUUUCUUGCCACUACUCGUCUUAUUUUGCUUCAGCGGUAUUGUGGGAUGAAGCGGCCCGGACCGACCUUACACGCACGCUUACGUGAGACAGGUUCCAUCGACUGACAUGCACUAGUUGCAUAAGGUGGUUAGCGGGUGUCUGUCUCUCCCACUUUAGUUGGAGCGGAUUCGGUGAAAAGGGUCCUUAUGAAGGGUAAAUAGAAGUUGACAAAUCACGUUGUGGUUUUUCGUAGGUAAGAAAACGUUCUUGCUAGAACCCUAUUGCAGCCACGUAAAAGAUGCAACAACAAUUAGAGGACGUCUAACUUGUUUUUGGAGCAAUUGCUUUGUGAUGUGAUAUGGCCAAAAGUUGUGAUGAAUGAUGAAUGAUAUAUUGUGAUGUAUGAGAUCAUGUUCUUGUAAUAGGAAUCACGACCUGCAUGUCGAUGAGUAUGACAACCGGCAGGAGCCAUAUCAGUUGUCUUAAUUAUUGUAUGACCUGCGUGUCAAUGAUUCAACGCCAUGUAAUUACUUUACUUUAUUGCUAAACCGUUAGCCAUAGUAGUAGAAGUAAUAAUUGGCGCGCAACUUCAUGGAGACACAAUGAUGGAGAUCAUGAUGAUGGAGAUCACGGUGUCAUGCCGGUGACGAAGCUGAUCAUGGAGCCCCGAAGAUGGAGAUCAAAGGAGCUAUAUGAUAUUGGCCAUAUCAUGUCACUACUAUAUAAUUGCAUGUGAUGUUUAUUAUGUUUAUGCAUCUUGUUUACUUAGAACGACGGUAGUAAAUAAGAUGAUCCCUUAUAAUAAUUUCAAGAAAGUGUUCCCCCUAACUAUGCGCCAUUGCUAAAGUUCAUCCUUUUUGAAGAACCACGUGAUGAUCGUGUGUGAUAGAUUCUUACGUUCUCAUACAACAGGUGUAAGACAGUUUUACACAUGCUAAACACUUAGGUUAACUUGACGAGCCUAGCAUGUACAUACAUGGCCACGGAACACAGAGACCGAAAGGUCGCACAUGAGUCGUAUGGAAGAUACGAUCAACAUGGAGAUGUUAACCGAUGAUGACUAGUCCGUCUCACGUGAUGAUCGGACACGGCCUAGUCGACUCGGAUCAUGUAACACUUAGAUGACUAGAGGGAUGUCAAAUCUGAGUUGGAGUUCAUUAAAUAAUUUGAUUAGAUGAACUUAAUUAUUGUGAACUUAGUCUAAAAUCUUUGCAAAAUAUGUCUUGUAGAUCAAAUGGCCAACGCUCAUGUCAACAUGAACUUCAACGCGUUCCUAGAGAAAACCAAGCUGAAAGAUGAUGGCAACAACUAUACGGACUGGGUCCGGAACCUGAGGAUCAUCCUCAUAGCUGCCAAGAAAGCAUAUGUCCUAGAAGGACCGCUAGGUGAAGCACCCAUCCCAGAGAACCAAGACGCUAUGAACGCUUGGCAGUCACGUGCUGAUGAUUACUCCCUCGUUCAGUGCGGCAUGCUUUACAACUUAGAACCGGGGCUCCAAAAGCGUUUUGAGCAACACGGAGCAUAUGAGAUGUUCGAGGAGCCGAAAAUGGGUUUCCAAGCUCAUGCCCGGGUCGAGAGAUAUGAAGUCUCCGACAAGUUCUAUAGUUGUAAGAUGGAGGAAAAUAGUUCUGUCAGUGAGCACAUACUCAAAAUGUCUGGGUUGCACAAUAGCCUGUCCCAGCUGGACAUUAACCUCCCGGACAAGGCGAUCAUUGACAGAAUCCUUCAGUCGCUCCCACCGAGCUACAAGAGCUUUGUGAUGAACUACAAUAUGCAGGGGAUGGAGAAAACCAUUCCUGAAGUAUUUUCAAUGCUGAAGUCGGCGGAGGUAGAGAUCAAGAAAGAACAUCAAGUGUUGAUGGUCAAUAAAACAACCAAGUUCAAGAAGGGCAAGGGUACGAAGAACUUCAAGAAGGACGGCAAGGAUGUUGCCGCGCAAAGCCAUUUACCGGGAAGAAGUCAAAGAAUGGACCCAAGCCUGAGACUGAGUGCUUUUAUUGCAAAGGGAAGGGUCACUGGAAGCGGAACUGCCCCAAAUACUUAGCGGACAAGAAGGCCGGCAACACUAAAGGUAUAUUUGAUAUACAUGUAAUUGAUGUGUACCUUACCAGUACUCAUAGUAACUCCUGGGUAUUUGAUACCGGUGCCGUUGCUCAUAUUUGUAACUCACAGCAGGAGCUGCGGAAUAAGCGGAGACUAGCGAAGGACGAGGUGACGAUGCGCGUCGGGAAUGGUUCCAAGGUCGAUGUGAUCGCCGUCGGCACGCUACCUCUACAUUUACCUACGGGAUUAGUUUUAAACCUCAAUAAUUGUUAUUUAGUGCCAAGUUUGAGCAUGAACAUUGUAUCUGGAUCUCGUUUAACGCGAGAUGGCUACUCAUUUAAAUCCGAGAAUAAUGGUUGUUCUAUUUAUAUGAGAGAUAUGUUUUAUGGUCAAGCCCCGAUGGCAAUGGUUAAUUCUUAAUGAAUCUCGAACGUAAUGUUACACAUAUUCAUAGUGUGAAUACCAAAAGAUGUAAAGUUGAUAACGAUAGUCCCACAUACUUGUGGCACUGCCGCCUUGGUCACAUUGGUGUCAAGCGCAUGAAGAAGCUCCAUGCUGAUGGACUUUUAGAGUCUCUCAAUUAUGAAUCAUUUGACACAUGCGAACCAUGCCUCAUGGGCAAAAUGACCAAGACUCCGUUCUCCGGAACAAUGGAGCGAGCAACCAACUUAUUGGAAAUCAUACAUACUGAUGUGUGUGGUCCAAUGAGCGUUGAGGCUCGCGGAGGAUGCCAUUAUGUUGUCACUCUCACUGAUGACUUAAGUAGAUAUGGGUAUGUAUACUUGAUGAAACACAAGUCUGAGACCUUUGAAAAGUUCAAGGAAUUUCAGAAUGAAGUAGAGAAUCAACAUGAUCAAAAAAUAAAGUUCUUACGAUCAGAUCGUGGAGGAGAAUAUUUAAGUCACGAAUUUGGUACGCACUUAAAAAAUGUGGAAUCGUUUCACAACUCACGCCGCCUGGAACACCUCAGCGUAAUGGUGUGUCCGAACGUCGUAAUCGCACUCUAUUGGAUAUGGUGUGAUCUAUGAUGUCUCUUACCGAUUUACCGCUAUCAUUUUGGGGAUACGCUCUAGAGACAGCUACAUUCACUUUAAAUAGGGCUCCGUCUAAAUCCGUUGAGACGACACCAUAUGAAUUAUGGUUUGGGAAGAAACCUAAGCUGUCGUUCUAAAAGUUUGGGGAUGCGAUGCUUAUGUCAAGAAACUUCAACCUGAAAAGCUCGAACCCAAGUCGGAAAAAUGCGUCUUCAUAGGAUACCCUAAGCAAACCAUUGGGUAUACUUUCUACCUUAGAUCCGAAGGCAAGAUCUUUGUUGCCAAGAAUGGAUCCUUUCUGGAAAAAGAGUUUCUCUCGAAAGGAGUAAGUGGGAGGAAAGUAGAACUCGAUGAAGUACUACCUCUUGAACCGGAAAGUAGUGCAGCUCAGGAAAAUGUUCCUGUGGUGCCUACACCAACUGGAGAGGAAAUUAAUGAUGAUGAUCAAGGUACUUUGGAUCAAGUUGCUAUUGAACUUCGUAGGUCCACAAGGACACGUUCCACACCAGAGUGGUAUGGCAACCCUGUCCUGGAAAUCAUGUUGUUAGACAACGGUGAACCUUCGAACUAUGAAGAAGCGAUGGCGGGCCCAGAUUCCAACAAAUGGCUUGAAGCCAUGCAAUCCGAGAUAGAAUCCAGGUAUGAAAACAAAGUAUGGACUUUGACAGACUUGCCCGAUGAUCGGCGAGCGAUAGAAAACAAAUGGAUCUUUAAGAAGAAGACGGACGCGGAUGGCAAUGUUACCAUCUAUAAAGCUCGACUUGUCACUAAGGGUUAUCGGCAAGUUCAAGGGGUUGACUACGUUGAGACUUUCUGUCCCGUAGCGAAGCUGAAGUCCGUCCGAAUCAUGUUAGCAAUUGCCGCAUACUAUGAUUAUGAGAUAUGGCAGAUGGACGUCAAACGGCAUUCCUUAACGGCUAUCUUAAGGAAGAACUGUAUAUGAUGCAGCCGGAAGGUUUUGUCGAUCCUAAGAAUGCUAACAAGGUAUGCAAGCUCCAGCGAUCCAUUUAUGGGCUGGUGCAAGCAUCUCGGAGUUGGAACAUUCGCUUUGAUAAGAUGAUCAAAGCGUUUGGGUUUAUGCAGACUUAUGGAGAAGCCUGUGUUUUCAAGAAAGUGAGUGGGAGCUCUGUAGCAUUUCUCAUAUUAUAUGUAGAUGACAUACUUUUGAUGGGAAAUGAUAUAGAACUUUUGGACAACAUUAAGGCCUACUUGAAUAAGUGUGUUUCAACGAAGGACCUUGGAGAAGCUGCUUACAUAUUAGGCAUCAAGAUCUGUAGGGAUAGAUCGAGACGCCUCAUAGGUCUUUCACAAAGCACAUACCUUGAUAAGAUUUUGAAGAAGUUCAAAAUGGAUCAGUCCAAGAAAGGGUUCUUGCCUGUAUUGCAAGAUGUGAGAUUGAGCUCGGCUCAAUGCAUGACCACGGCAAAAGAUAAAGAAGAGAUGAGUGUCAUCCCCUAUGCCUCAGCCAUAGGAUCUAUUAUGUAUGCCAUGCUGUGUACCAAACCUGAUGUAAACCUUGCCGUAAGUUUGGUAGGAAGGUACCAAAGUAAUCCCGGCAAGGAGCACUAGACAGCGGUCAAGAAUAUCCUGAAGUACCUAAAAAGGACAAAGGACAUGUUUCUCGUUUAUGGAGGUGACGAAGAGCUCGUCGUAAAGGGCUACGUCGAUGCUAGCUUCGACACAGAUCUGGAUGACUCUAAGUCACAAACCGGAUACAUGUAUAUGUUGAAUCGUGGAGCAGUGAGCUGGUGCAGUUGCAAGCAGAGCGUCGUGGCGGGAUCUACAUGUGAAGCGGAGUACAUGGCAGCCUCGGAGGCAGCGCAUGAAGCAAUAUGGAUGAAGGAGUUCAUCACCGACCUAGGAGUCAUACCCAAUGCGUCGGGGCCAAUCACUCUAUUCUGUGACAACACUAGAGCUAUUGCCCUUGUCAAGGAGCCCAAGUUUCACAAGAAGACCAGGCACAAUAAGCGUCACUUCAACUCCAUUCGUGAAAAUUUUCAAGAUGGAGACAUAGAUAUUUACAAAGUACAUACAGAUCUGAAUGUCGCAGAUCCGUUGACGAAACCUCUUCCGCGAGCAAAACAUGAUCAACACCAGAACUCUAUGGGUGUUCGAUUCAUCACAAUGUAACUAGAUUAUUGACUCUAGUGCAAGUGGGAGACUGUUGGAAAUAUGCCCUAGAGGCAAUAAUAAAAGGAUUAUUAUUAUAUUUCCUUGUUCAUGAUAAUUGUCUUUUAUUCAUGCUAUAAUUGUAUUAUCCGAAAAUCGUAAGACACGUGUGAAUACAUAGACCAACACAUGUCCCUAGUGAGCCUCUAGUUGACUAGCUCGUUGAUCAACAGAUAGUCAUGGUUUCCUGACUAUGGACAUUGGAUGUCAUUGAUAACGGGAUCACAUCAUUAGGAGAAUGAUGUGAUGGACAAGACCCAAUCCUAAGCAUAGCACAAAGAUCGUGUAGUUCGUUUGCUAGAGCUUUUCCAAUGUCUAGUAUCUUUUCCUUAGACCAUGAGAUCGUGUAACUCCCAGAUACCGUAGGAGUGCUUUGGGUGUACCAAACGUCACAACAUAACUGGGUGACUAUAAAGGUGCACUAUAGGUAUCUCUGAAAGUGUCUGUUUGGUUGACACGGAUCGAGACUGGGAUUUGUCACUCCGUAUGACGGAGAGGUAUCUCUAGGCCCACUCGGUAAUGCAUCAUCAUAAUGAGCUCAAAGUGACCAAGUGUCUGGUCACGGGAUCAUGCAUUACGGUACGAGUAAAGUGACUUGCCGGUAACGAGAUUGAACGAGGUAUUGGGAUACCGAUGAUCGAAUCUCGGGCAAGUAACGUACCGAUUGACAAAGGGAAUUGUAUACGGGGUUGCUUAAAUCCUCGACAUCGUGGUUCAUCCGAUGAGAUCAUCGAGGAGCAUGUGGGAGCCAACAUGGGUAUCCAGAUCCCGCUGUUGGUUAUUGACCGGAGAGCCGUCUCGGUCAUGUCUGCAUGUCUCCCGAACCCGUAGGGUCUACACACUUAAGGUUGGAUAACGCUAGGGUUCUUUGAAUAUGAGUAUGCAGCAAACCGAAAGUUGUUCGGAGUCCCGGAUGAGAUCUCGGAUGUCAUGAGGAGUUCCGGAAUGGUCCGGCGGUAAAUAAUUAUAUAUGGGAAGUCGAGUUUCGGCCAUCGGGAAAGUUUCGGGGGUCACCGGUAUUGUACCGGGACCACCGGAAGGGUCCCGGGGGUCCACCGGGUGGGGCCACCCAUCCUAGAGGGCCCCAUGGGCUGAAGUGGGAGGGGAACCAGCCCCUNNNNNNNNNNNNNNNNNNNNNNNNNNNNNNNNNNNNNNNNNNNNNNNNNNNNNNNNNNNNNNNNNNNNNNNNNNNNNNNNNNNNNNNNNNNNNNNNNNNNNNNNNNNNNNNNNNNNNNNNNNNNNNNNNNNNNNNNNNNNNNNNNNNNNNNNNNNNNNNNNNNNNNNNNNNNNNNNNNNNNNNNNNNNNNNNNNNNNNNNNNNNNNNNNNNNNNNNNNNNNNNNNNNNNNNNNNNNNNNNNNNNNNNNNNNNNNNNNNNNNNCUGCGCCUAGGGUUGGGAACCCUAGGGGAGGGGGCACCUCCACUUGCCUUGGGGGGCACUCCAACCCCCUGGCCGCCGCCCCCCUUGGGAGAUCCCAUCUCUAGGGCCGGCGCCCCCUGGGGUCCCUAUGUAAAGAGGGGGGGUGGGAGGGCAGCUGCACCCCUGACCUCUGGCGCCUUCUUACCCCCUUGCUAUACCUCCUCCUCCCGUAGUCGCUUGGCGACGCCCUGCCGGAACCCUGCUGCAUCCACCACCAUGCCGUUGUGCUGCUGGAUCUUCAUCAACCUCUCCUUCCCCCUUGCUGGAUAAAGAAGGAGGAGACGUCACGCUGACCGUACGUGUGUUGAACGUGGAGGUGCCGUCCGUUCGGCGCUAGGAUCUCUGAUGAUUUGGAUCACGACGAGUACGACUCCCUCAACCCCGUUCUCUUGAACGCUUCCGCUCGCGAUCUACAAGGGUAUGUAGAUGCACUCCUCUCUCUCGUUGCUAGAUGAACUCAUAGAUUGAUCUUGGUGAAUGUAGGAAUUUUUUUAUUUUAUGCAACGUUUCCCAACAGGGGGGGGGCGCACCAGCCCACCAGGGGCUGGUUCCCCUCCCACUUUAGCCCAUGGGGCCCUCCGGGAUGGGUGGCCCCACCCGGUGGACCCUCGGGACCCUUCCGGUGGUCCCGGUACAAUAUCAGUGACCCCCGAAACUUUCCCGAUGGCCAAAACUCGACUUCCCGUAUAUAAUUCUUUACCUCCGGACCAUUUUGGAACUCCUCGUGACGUCCGGGAUCUCAUCCGGGACUCCAAACAACUUUCGGUUUGCUGCAUACAAAUAUCUCUACAACCCUAGCGUCACCGAACCUUAAGUUUGUAGACCCUACGGGUUCGGGAGAUACAUAGACAUGACCGAGACGGCUCUUCGGUCAAUAACCAACAGCGGGAUCUGGAUACCCAUGUUGGCUCCCACAUGCUCCUCGAUGAUCUCAUCGGAUGAACCAUGAUGUCGAGAAUUCAAGCAACCCCGUAUACAAUUCCCUUUGUCAAUCGGUAUGUUACUUGCCCGAGAUUCGAUCGUCGGUAUCCCAAUACCUCGUUCGAUCUCGUUACCGGCAAGUCACUUUACUCGUACCGUAAUGCAUGAUCUAGUGACCAGACACUUGGUCACUUUGAGCUCAUUAUGAUGAUGCAUUACCGAGUGGGCCCAGAGAUACCUCUCUGUCAUACGGAAUGACAAAUCCCAGUCUCGAUCCGUGUCAACCCAACAGACACUUUCGGAGAUACCUGUAGUAUACCUUUAUAGUCACCCAGUUACGUUGUGACGUUUGGUACACCCACAGCACUCCUACGGUGUCCGGGAGUUACACGAUCUCAUGGUCUAAGGAAAAGAUACUUGACAUUGGAAAAGCUCUAGCAAAUGAACUACACGAUCUUGUGCUAUGCUUAGGAUUGGGUCUUGUCCAUCACAUCAUUCUCCUAAUGAUGUGAUCUCAUUAUCAAUGGCAUCCAAUGUCCAUAGUCAGGAAACCAUGACUAUCUGUUGAUCAACGAGCUAGUCAACUAGAGGCUCACUAGGGACAUAUUGUGGUCUAUGUAUUCACACGUGCAUUACGAUUUCCGGAUAAUACAAUUAUAGCAUGAAUAAAAGACAAUUAUCAUGAACAAGGAAAUAUAAUAAUAAUCCUUUUAUUAUUGCCUCUAGGGCAUAUUUCCAACAAUAUGCAAAUUCCUCAAUAGUGUUUGCUCAUGUUUAUCUACUGUUGUAGUUGCUCAUGUACAUGUUCUUGAGUGGUCCUGUUAUAUGCAACAUUGAAGUGGUUCAAUUGUGCCCAAGUGGCCUUUUGUUGUUUCCAGGGAAUGAAGCCGAGUGGCCUAUGUGUUGCCGGAAUGUUGAUUCAUUUCCAUUCCAGCAAAUUUUAGGUGCUCGAUUUGUCCACUUUUAUAGCAAAGCUCGUGCCAAAAUUUUCCUUGAAUUUCGGCAUGACUUGUGCUACAAACUAGGACAUAUCGAGUGCCCGGGAUUUACCGCACCAGAAAUGAAUCAACAUCCCUUCAAAAUACAGGCCUUUUUUAUGUCAUUAUUCAUUUUAUUAGGUCUAGAAUUAAUUGACUAGAUUUAAUUGUAGGAAACAUGGCUAGCAACGGUGUUUGCAACGUCUACGAGGUGGCAGACGUUUAUUUGAACCUUCUCGACGAGCAACGGUUGUUGCAUGGCCCACUUGUCACAUCCGAGACUGAGACCGACAUCGGGACUGGUAUCGAGACUGGCGCUGAGACCCAGACCCGCACGAAGACUGGUGAAGCCGGUACAGAACCAAAACCAAAGAGGCAACGGCGCCCAAACCAGCUCAUCACUAAUAGACUGGUGGUCACGGUGGUGGACGAUGACAAUUUUGAGCCAAAAGAGCCUACGGAAGCGCACGCGUGCUAUGGCAAUCAAAUAGGCUGCAUCCUAUGAGCAAGCGCCACCAACAACGAUGAGAAACUAAAGAAUAUACCAGAUAUGAAGCAGUCCCUCCGAACUAAGCUGCACUAGGUAUUCUUGUUACCGGGCCGGGAUGAAAUCAAAUAUACUAAUCCAGAUAAAGACCCGACAAUGAAGAAGAUAACAAACGCGCCAUGAGCAAUUUUAGUAGUGCAUUGUCCGCCUGAAAGUAAGGGUGAAACAUAAGAUCAUCGACAAAAAAGAACCCUACUCCUAGAUUGUAAAUGAUAAUCCGACAAUUACGGAAGAGCAGUUUGAAAUAUUCAAGGCGACUUGUGUUGAAGAAGCUGCCAAAGAAAAGUCGGAGUACAUGAAGGGGCUCCAAGAGAGGAACAUGGGGUGCCACCACCUCGAAAGUCGUGGUUACGCGGGAAGAGGUCCAUAUUGGCCAAGGAGGACGCAAAACGCGAAAGUCUGGGCAUCCCAGACCCCUUGGCGGUGUUCACUGUCCAGCAGGAGCAUAAUGUCAUCAGGGCCCAGUACCCUUGGGACCUAGUCAAGAAGGUUUUUGAGAUGUACGCGAUCACAAGGAGUUCAUGAGACUGCUGGUAAUUUUUAAUUUACCCCCUAAUUUUAGCUUCUGAUCAAUUCGACUGCACAUUUAGUCAUAUAUUUAUACGAUUCUUGUUCCUUUUGCAAAAAGAGCAGCACAUAAUUGCGGCCGAAAGCGGCUCGUCGUCUGAGGCAUUGCGAGGCCUGUCGGUGUCAAAACCGGCGGAUCUCGGGUAGGGGGUCCCGAACUGUGCGUCUAGGCGGAUGGUAACAGGAGACAAGGGGCACGAUGUUUUACCCAGGUUCGGGCCCUCUUGAUGGAGGUAAAACCCUACGUCCUGCUUGAUUAAUAUUGAUGAUGUGUGUUACAAGAGUGGAUCUACCAUGAGAUCAAGGAGGCUAAACCCUAGAGGCUAGCCUAUGGUAUGAUUGUUGUUCGUCCUACGGACUAAAGCCAUCCGGUUUAUAUAGACACCGGAGAGGGCUAGGGUUACACAGAGUCGGUUACAAUGGUAGGAGAUCUACAUAUCCGUAUCGCCAAGCUUUCCUUCCAUGCCAAGGAAAGUCCCAUACGGACACGGGACGAAGUCUUCAAUCUUCUAUCUUCAUAGUCUUGGAGUCCGGCCGAUGAUGAUAGUUCGGCUAUCCGGACGCCCCCUAGUCCAGGACUCCCUCAUUAGCCCCCAAACCAGGCUUCAGCGACGACAAGUCCGGCACGUAUAUUGUCUUCGGCGUUACAAGGCGGGUUCUCCUUCAAACUUCAUGUUCCUGCCGAAUAGUGUCCGACUUCCUUAUAAAUGUUGCGCUCCUUGGCUUCUACGCCCAAUAAUGGCCUUCUUCCACGUGUUGUAUGAAUGCGAAAAGCUAGGGUAUUUUUACAUCUUACCCCCUAGCCGUGCGAACGAGCCGCCUAUAAGAGAUGUGAGGAUCUAGAUCCAACUCACACCAUCCUCCUUCCGCAAGUACUCAUCGAAGCGCCUCUGACAAAAAUCCAUUCUAUCAUGGAUAGUCGACGCGGCUCCUCCUCUCGCGCUCCCAGCCCUAAGCCAGGAGAUUGGGGGAGAUGCUCAGUUCCACACAGCGAGCUAGUGGCGCUCCAAACCGAGGGAUAUCUUCCCCCAGCCUUCAUGGUUCCGGUUCGAGCCGGACUGGCCACCUUCAGGGGUGGAAAGCAGGCGGAGAGCGUCCCCAACCCUUCCAAAGGAGAGCGGGUAUGCUUCGUCCCUUAUCUAAUAAGGGGACUCGGAUUUCCCAUACACCCGUUUCUCCGGGGGCUCCUGGAGUUCUACGGACUCCAGCUUCACCACCUCACACCUGCCUCCAUUUUGCACAUCGCGGGCUUUGUAGCCCGUUGCGAGCUGUUCUUGGGCAUCGAGCCCCACUUUGCACUGUGGAAGAGAUUGUUUUGCCUCGCACCCCGUUCUCAGGAGGGGUCGAUAUAUCAAGUGGGCGGAGCCGAAAUAUGGCGCAUCGCCGGGACCGGAUAUCUAUCUGGCACCCCGAAGAAGGCGUCCGAAGACUGGCCUUCGGAAUGGUUCUACAUGGAGGACGCCCCUCUGCCGGAUCCAGUUCGGAUCGGCCUCCCGGAGUUCAGCAAUGCUCCCUUGAAGAAACGCCUGAGUUGGCGCCCGCAGAGCCCUCAACGGGAGGAUGAUGGGAGCGUCCAUUAUCUGAUGGGCCGGAUUAGGUUACUGGCCCACUCUUGAUUGACCAUGAUCGGAAUCAUGGCCACGUGCAUUAUGCGAGGGGUGCAGCCGCUCCAAUAUAGGGGCCACCCUAUGUGGGAUUUCAAUGGGGAAGAUGACGCCACCCGUCAUGGCCGCAGAGGGCCGGGCUCGGCAGCCGAUCUGGUAAAGAUCCUAUCCGGCUUGUACAAGGGGGAGGAGGAGGACUUCCUCCGCACGAGUCCAUUGAAUGGAUUUUCCAUGAAUAACCCUCGGAGCUGGGUAAGUGGACGUUUAUCUACCCGAUCCAUACUUCCAAAGUCAAGUAUUUUACUUUAUGAUUUCGACGCAGGAGCUGCGCCAGGACAUGGAGGGCAUACAAAGCCUAACUCCACAGCCCAAGGAUCCGGAAUGAUCCCUUGAUCUGGCCUCCGAAGAGGAUCCGAACAUAAAGGUGGAGCUGAUUGAUGGGGUGUUCCAACAACUUAGCAUGGACAAUGCUCUAGUCGCCAUUACGGCUGACUACCCCGAUUAGUUUCCGGCCUCCCAGGUGACUACGACCGAGGUCUUGACACCAUCAUUUGAUCCAUGCUCAAUUCUGACCAUCCUAUACUGAUGGUGCAUCGUAGGAGGUGCCUUUCGAGCGGGAAGCCGAAGCCACGGCGGCUGACCAGCAAGGGUCAGUUCGGCCCAGCAGGCGGAAGAGGAGUGCGACGCGAACCGAAACAUCGCCGCAAUGGUACGACGCACCGCUGUUUUUAAGGGAAGGAUCCCUAGGAGGUAUAUUAAUGCUCAUAACUUUUCCAGGAGAAAGAGCGCUCGCCGGACAGUGUCCGGAGAGGUUGCCAAUCAAGCCUCCGCAAGCCAUGCUCCAACGCGUGGUCCAGAAGGGGAGGCGAAUACAAGGCAUGAGACGGAUGCUCCUCCGACGGAGGAUGCCGACAGGCUGUCCGCCACCCCGUCUGAGGUGGAGAGCGCCAUGAAUCACAGGCGUCGCCGGACAAUUCUUUGUGACGCGUGUUUCUCCCCGGAGGCAUUGAAUGCCUUUGAUGCGGGAGACGCGCACCUCCAUGCCGCUCAAGAUGGUUUAACCAGAGCCAUGGAGCAGUAUGUGAAGGACAUACGAGUAAGUAAUUUUAAUAGUUAUAUAUAUGCCAGUAGCCCCCGAGACUUAAAAUAGUUAAAAUAACUGAUUUAAGGAUCAUUUAUUAUGUAGGAUCUUACGGAGAAGAAUACCCACCUGUCCCAGGAGCUUCAAGAGUGCAAGGCCCAACUUGAGGCUGCACUGGCCGCCACAGGGGGAGCCACAAAGACCCUCGCUGGUAAUACGUACUUCGAAAAGAUAAGUAGUUAACAAAGUGCGGCGUGUGCGUAAAUCUAACAAUAAUAUUGCAGAGGGCGCCGGACUAGAUCCGGAAAAGCAACAGCUACUGCGUCAGCUGAAGGCCGGUGAGAGGGUGCUUAUGAAGGUGCAGCAGGAGAGGAACAAGCUCCAAGAUGCCCACACCCAGCUAGGAGAAGAGCUGAAAGAUGUUCGGGCCCAGCUGUCUGGCUCCGUGAAGGAGAAUCAGCGGCUUCGUCGCGGCAUUUAUAGUAAGUGCUUGAGCAAAUUCCAUUGAAAAGAAGAAUUUGGCGAGGAAGUCGAUUGACAGAAAUGUGUCUUUAGGUGUGCUCACAGGUCGCCCUGCGGAGGAAAUGCCCGGUUCAACGGGUGACCAACUUCCCAAGCUGGUGAAACUGUUCGAACGUGUUCGGCAGGCGAUGAGUGGUGUCGUUCAGGCCUUAUCGCCUUCCGUCUCCCUACCUGAGGGCCUUGGAGGGCUUGCUGAGAAGCUUCAGGGAGUACGGCGACGUCUCCGUCUGUGCAAGAUAUCAGCCUGCCGUCAAGGCGCCAGGGAGGCCUGGGCCAUGGUGAAGACGCGGUACCCGAAGGCUGACCCAAACCACAUGGCCGAGGUCGGACCUAUGGGGCCUGAUGGGAAGGAGAUCCCUAUGAGCUUGAUGUACGGCCAAAUAGAGCUGGCCGCGAAAUAUUCCCAACAGGACUGUAAAUUAGACAGCCUGUUAGAUGGGAUUGAAGAGGAGUACAAUUAGUCAGUUUGGCGAUGUAAUUUUAAAAUGACAUAUAGAAUGCCUUCUAGCCGGAUUGUAGAUCCUUUGUCUUUGCGGACCUUUUCGCUUCAACCUCGGGACCCAACAGUCCGGAGUGUGUCCGAAUACCCUUACGGUUAUAAAAGAACCGGGGCGUGCAUGGAGACAAGGCGUCGGGGUCAUAAUUGCUUUAUCAGACAAGUGCCCAACUAGCUAUGUUAUAUUGCAUGGUUAGUAAGAAACAUCUUCCAGGGAGAAUAGUUCCGUUAAGGGUUCCUUUCCCUGGGAGGCAUUCCCUAAAGUGCAUGUUCGGACUGCGAAAUUAGCAGAAAAAGCAUCUGGGGGCAGAUAAAUAAGUAAGCAAUAAAUCAUCUUUCAAGUCACCGACCGAAUAUUCUCUUAAGAACGCUAGCUUUCGGCUUCACCCAGUCUGAGGUACACAUCCGGCUGACCCGGCAGUAACAAUCGUAGAGGUGCUCCCUUUACCUCCUAGCUGAACAAUCAGGAACGUAGGGGUAAGCACAGGAGCCAGGCAGCCCAGCUUGGGCAAAACUUAAGUCAUAUCGAUGCAUAUAAUGGUGAAUAAAAGGUACAUGCGGAAGUAUAACACAUGUGUUGGGCAUGAAGCCCAUAUAAAUAAGCUUCUGUUAAAGAAGCCCCCUGGUAUAAUGAGUGCUAGGAGCACAUCAAGUGUGUGCGAACAAUGCGCAAAUCAGCCUAUAAAAGGUAUCGAAAAAAUAAGUGGGAAGAAGGAGGGGGACAAGAGACAGUGAAAAUGUAAAAAGGUGGACGGAGGAGUGAGACGAACUCUGAGUCCGGCGUUAGGCGUAGAAUCUUCGGAGACGGGCUGCGUUCCAUGGGUUCGGCUCGAGUCGAUUGUCAGAUGCGUUACGUAGACGGUAUGCUCCGCCGGUCAGGACUUGGUCGAUGAUGAAGGGACCUUCCCACUUGGGCUUAAGUUUGUCCUUUUUCUUGUCCGGCGGGCGUAGAACAAGUUCGCCAACAUUGUAAGUUUUGGCCCGUACUUCUCUGCUUUGAUAUCUUCGAGCCUGCUGCUGAUAGAAUGCGAAACGAGCUUUUGCCACGUCCCACUCCUCUUCUAAGGCGUCCACACUGUCCUGCCGAUCCAACUCGGCUUCUCUUUCUUCGUACAUGCGCACGCGAGGUGAGUCAUGAAUUAUAUCGCAGGGCAGAACUGCCUCUGCGCCGUACACCAUAAAAAAUGGUGUGAAUCCGGUAGUGCGGUUUGGCGUGGUCCGCAGCCCCCAGAGUACGGAGUCGACCUCCUCUACCCAGUGCGUGUUAGAUUCCUUGAGGGACCGCACUAGUCUGGGUUUGAUGCCGCUCAUGAUUAGACCAUUUGCUCGCUCGACUUGACCGUUAGUUUGGGGGUGAUAGACUGAAGCGUAGUCGAGCUUGAUGCCCAUGUUUUUGCACCAGAGUUUAACCUCGUCGGCCAUGAAAUUCGUGCCGUUAUCAGUGAUGAUGCUGUGGGGGACGCCAAAACGGUGUACUACCCCGGAUAUGAAGUCUACCACAGGUCCGGAUUCUGCCGUUUUAACCGGCUUGGCCUCUAUCCAUUUGGUGAAUUUGUCCACCAUGACCAAUAAGUAUUUGUGCUUGUGGGUUCCCCCUUUAAGGGGUCCAACCAUGUCAAGCCCCCAGACCGCGAACGGCCAGGUGAUGGGUAUAGUUUUGAGGGUGGUGGGUGGCAUGUGGCUCUGAUUAGCAAAGAGCUGGCAACCGACGCAUCGUUGGACUAAGUCCUGAGCAUCUCCUGGGCUGUCAGCCAAUAAAAUCCUGUAUGGAAGGCCUUGCCUACAAGGACCCGGGCUGCAGCGUGGUGCCCGCCGAGUCCGGCGUGAAUUUCAGCCAGGAGAUUUCGCCCUUCCUCUUCGGAGAUACACAUUUGAAGGACUCUGGUUGUGCUUUUCUUAUAAAGUUCUCCGUCAUGGAUCUUGUAGGCUUUAGAUCGCCGAACUAUGCAGCGGGCCUCAUUUUGGUCUUCGGGAAGUUCCUGCCUGAUUAAGUAGGCUAGGAAUGGUUCCGUCCACGGGGCAAUUACUGCCAUUAUUUCGUGGGCUGAAGGUGUUAUUUCAUUGGCUGAGCCACGAUUGUGUCAGAAUGGUCUGAGUUAGGUGAUGCAACUGGUUCCGGAUUGUUGUUUCCGGACUCCUCUUGCCAUAAUACGGAUGGCUUAAAGAGCCGUUCCAGGAAGAUGUUCGGAGGGACGGCGUCGCGUUUUGCGCCGAUGCGUGCCAACACGUCUGCUGCCUGGUUGUUAUCCCGGGCUACAUGGUGGAAUUCGAGUCCUUCGAACCGAGCUGACAUUUUUAGGACGGCGUUGCGGUAGGCUGCCAUUUUCGGAUCUUUGGCGUCAAAGUCUCCAUUUACUUGGGAUAUUGCGAGGUUUGAAUCCCCGCGCACCUCUAGGCGUUGAAUGCCCAUGGAGAUUGCCAUCCGAAGGCCAUGUAGAAGGGCCUCGUAUUCGGCUGCGUUGUUGGAGUCCGUGUACAUUAUUUGAAGUACGUAUUGGACUGUGUCUCCGGUUGGGGACGUCAAGACGACGCCAGCCCCCAAGCCAGCCAACAUUUUGGAUCCGUCGAAAUGCAUGAUCCAAUUGGAGUACGCGCCGUACUCUUUAGGGAGUUCGGCUUCGGUCCAUUCGGCGAUGAAGUCAGCCAGAACUUGCGACUUUAUAGCUCGCCGUGGUUUGUAGGUUAUGUCAAAUGGUAAGAGCUCAAUGGCCCAUUUUGCAAUCCUGCCCGUUGCGUCGCGAUUGUUUAUAAUAUCGUUGAGAGGUACUUCGGAGGCCACCGUUAUGGAACACUCCUGAAAGUACUGUCGCAGCUUCCGGGAUGCCAUGAACACCGCAUACGCUAUCUUUUGAUAAUGUGGGUACCGGGACUUGCAUGGAGUUAAGACAGUGGAUACGUAGCACACUGGUUUUUGAAGAGGGAAUCUGUGCCCUUCUGUUUCUCGCUCGACGACGAGUACCGCGCUGACAACUUGAUGUGUUGCUGCGAUAUAUAAUAACAUAGGUUCGCCCAGGUUGGGCCUGGCCAGGACCGGAUUAGUUGCCAGUAUGGCCUUGAUUUCUUCAAGUCCGGCCGUGGUAGCAUCCGUCCAUUCGAAGUGUUCGGUGCGCCGGAGGAGGCGAUAGAGGGGCAGAGCCUUUUCUCCCAAACGGGAGAUGAAGCGGCUUAGAGCCGCUACGCAUCCAGUUAGUUUUUGUAUUUGCUUGAGGUAUUUUGGGAUAUCUAAUUGUGACAGAGCUCGGAUCUUGGCUGGGUUUGCUUCAAUUCCUCUACCGGAUACAAUGAAGCCCAAAAGCUUUCCGGCUGGUACUCCGAAGACACAUUUUUUAGGGUUGAGCUUAAUGUCAUAUGCUCGGAGGUUGUCGAAUGUCACCCCCAAGUCGUCUACUAGAGUUUCGACGUGUUUGGUCUUGACGACCACAUCGUCUACGUAUGCCUCUACUGUUUUGCCUAUUUGGGUAGCCAGACAUGUCUGAAUCAUGCGCUGAUAUGUUGCGCCAACGUUUUUGAGUCCGAAGGGCAUUGUGUUGAAGCAAAAUGGCCCAUAUGGAGUAAUGAAUGUCAUUGCGGCCUGGUCUUUUUCCGCCAUCUUGAUUUGAUGGUAUCCGGAGUAUGUGUCGAGGAAGCACAAUGAAUCGUACCCUGUGGUAGCAUCGAUGAUUUGGUCGAUGCGAGGGAGAGGGAAAGGGUCCUUUGGACAGGCCUUGUUAAGGUCUUUGAAAUCGACGCAAAGGCGCCAGGAUUUGUCCUUUUUUGGUACCAUUACUAGGUUGGCUAGCCAGUCCGAAUGUUUUAUAUCUCUGAUGAAUCCGGCUUCUAAGAGUUUGGCUAGCUCCUCUCCCAUUGCCUCUCUUUUGGGUUCGGAAAAUCGCCGAAGAGCUUGUUUGACUGGCUUGAAUCCUUUUAGGAUAUUUAGGCUGUGCUCUGCCAGCCUGCGUGGGAUUCCUGGCAUGUCUGAAGGGUGCCAGGCAAAAAUGUCCCAAUUUUCCCGAAGGAAUUCUCGUAGUGCGGCUUCUACAUCAGGAUUUAAUUGUGCCCCGAUGGAGGCCGUCUUUGUGGGGUCCGUUGGAUGGACCUGAAAUCUGACUAUUUCGUCUGCUGGUUUAAAAGAGGUGGACUUGGACCUCUUAUCGAGUAUCACAUCAUCCCUAUCCACCGUGGAGCGCAGCGCAGUUAGUUCCUCUGCCGCUAGGGCUUCGGAUAAUGCCUCUAGGGCCAGUGCGGCUGUUUUAUUUUCAGCGCGAAGUGUUGUAUCUGGAUCACUAGCGAGAGUGAUUAUUCCAUUGGGUCCGGGCAUUUUGAGCUUCAUGUACCCGUAAUGGGGUAUAGCUUGGAAGAUUGUGAAUGCCUCUCGCCCUAACAAGGCGUGAUAUCCGCUGCCGAAUGGGGCCACUUGGAACGUGACCUCUUCAGACCUCUAAUUGUCCGGCGAGCCGAACACUACAUCUAGUGUGAUUUUUCCUGUGCAGCAUACUUCUCGACUAGGGAUUAUUCCCCUGAAGGUUGUGCUGCUUUGCUCAAUGCGGCUCCAGUCAAUUUCCAUUUUUUGAAGGGUUUCUUAGUAGAUGAGGUUUACUCCGUUGCCGCCAUCCAUGAGUACCUUGGUAAGACGAAAGUCGUCCACUAUCGGACUGAGGACUAAUGCGGCUGGUGCUCUAGCUGUUCGAAAUUUAGGUUCGUCGCUGGCAUUGAAGGUGAUAGCCGUGUCACUCCAUGGAUUUGUUGUUGCUACUUGGUAGACUUCGGCGAGGCUGCGGAUUGUUCGUUUCCGCAUGUUAUUUGAUGCGAAAUUCUCGAAGACUGUUAAUACCGUACUGGUACUGCUGGGCUGGUUGCCCGGGGCUAAAAAGCCUUCGCCACUUUUGGCCAACUGCCAUAAUAUCCAACAUGCUCGAAGGCUAUGUGUUGCAGUGGCGCCCUCCGUACUGUGGAUUUUGCAGGGUCCGUUGAGCCAUCCCUCCAGUAUAGUUCCGUACCCUUUAGGGGGGUUUUGCUUUUUAGAUUUUAACCCAGGUGCUUGAGUAUGACGCACCCUUUUAUUUCAGACUGGGAUUGUAUUCAGGGCCGGAUUGUCCCAAAACCUAGUUUCGGUUUUCCAGGCACUCUCCAUCGCGCAGUAUUUUUGUACGAUGGUCGCUAGGUCGUAGAAGCGUGUAACUUCGCGACGACUAAUGGCGUUUAUGAUUCCCUCGUCCGUGCAAUUGUUGCAGAAAAUUGAAAUCGCGCUUUCUUCACGGUAGUCCUUUAUCCUGUUCAUAACCAGGAGGAAUCUGGCCCAGUAAUGAUGUACUGUUUCAUCGGGCUCUUGCCGUAUUUGAGAUAGAUCGCUUAUGUUUGGGUGGGCGGGUGGAAUUAAGUUCGGAACCCCGCCCGAUCUGAGGCUCAAAGGCCAAGAAGCUUCCGGAUUUGGAAGCUUGGUUUGUUGGAUGCUUUCCAACAAAUCUGGUCUGAUGCCUGACUUUAGGUUCAGUAUUUGAUUGGCGUCCGUCCCUUCGCGGGAAUCCGGCCUGGAGGGAUCGGGAAUCCGGACAUAGUUUGGUUUUUAACAUAGAAGAAGAGUCGCCGCAUUGUUCCUCUACCACAACAACGUGGUGGGUAACCUGGGGAGAGUUAAUUUCUCUCAGAUCGGUUUUAAGCCCAAUCUGAUCGUAGUCGGUCACCACGCUACUCGGCGAAUUCCGAGCUGACGUGAAGAUUGCUUUUAAUGACCUGAGAGGUCAUUGUCAGAGCGAUGGCCGAACAGGCGGUCAUAAGGAAACUGCCUAGCCGGAUAGUCUGGCCGGCGGCCAAAGCUCCCUUGACGACGGUGCCAUCUUUAAAGACGGGAAAAGGCAUCCUUCCUGAUGGUGACGACACAGAGGAACUCUCAAUGAAAGCACCAAUGUCGAUGUCAAAACCGGCGGAUCUCGGGUAGGGGGUCCCGAACUGCGCUUCUAGGCGGAUGGUAACAGGAGACAAGGGGCACGAUGUUUUACCCAGGUUCGGGCCCUCUUGAUGGAGGUAAAACCCUACGUCCUGCUUGAUUAAUAUUGAUGAUGUGUGUUACAAGAGUGGAUCUACCACGAGAUCAAGGAGGCUAAACCCUAGAGGCUAGCCUAUGGUAUGAUUGUUGUUCGUCCUACGGACUAAAGCCAUCCGGUUUAUAUAGACACCGGAGAGGGCUAGGGUUACACAGAGUCGGUUACAAUGGUAGGAGAUCUACAUAUCCGUAUCGCCAAUCUUGCCUUCCACGCCAAGGAAAGUCCCAUCCGGACACGGGACGAAGUCUUCAAUCUUCUAUCUUCAUAGUCUUGGAGUCCAGCCGAUGAUGAUAGUUCGGCUAUCCGGACAACCCCUAGUCCAGGACUCCCUCAAGGCCCAAGUGGGAAACCCCAUUCAACCGGGCCUUGAACAUAUUGAUACGUCUCCAAUGUAUCUAUUAUUUAUGAAGUAUUCAUGACAUUAUAUUAUCAUUCUUGGAUCUUUUACAAUCAUUUUAUAGCAACUUUAUAUCAUUUUUUGGGACUAACCUAUUGACCCAGUGCCCAGUGCCAGUUGCUGUUUUUUGCUUAUUUUUUACAUCGCAGGAAAUCAAUAUCAAACGGAGUCCAAACAUAGUGAAACUUCUUGUGGAUUUUUUAUGGACCAGAAGACAUCCAGUGGGCCAAGGAAGCACCUGGGGGGGUGCCUCGAGGGGGCAGCACACACCAGGGCGCGCCUGGGGGGCCAGGCGCGCCCAGGUGGGUUGUGCCCACCUCAGGUUCCCCCUGAACUGCCUCUUCACCCUAUAAAUUCCCAAAUAUUCCAAAACCCUUCGGGGUAGCCCAAGAUCAGAAGUUCCGUCGCUGUAAGGCCUCUGUAUCCACGAGAUCCAAUCUAGAACCUGUUCUGGCACCCUGCCAGAGGGGGGAAUCAUCACCGGUGGCCAUCUUCAUCAUCCCGGCGGCCACCACGAUGAGGAGGGAGUCGUCCACCAUCGGGCCUGAGGGUUUGUACCAGUAGCUAUGUGUUAAAUCUCUCUCUCUCUCUCUCCCGUGUUCUUGAGAUGUCAUGAUCUUGAUGUAUUACUGGCUUUGUUAAUAUAGUCGGAUCAUAUGGUGUUUUCCCGUCUCUAGUUGUGAUGAAUUGAGUUUUUCCCUUUCAGAUUUCGUUGUUAUCGGAUUGAAUACUUUCAUGGAUUUGAGAACACUUGAUAUAUGUCUUGCAAUUGAAUACUCGUGGUGACAAUGGGGUAUCGUAUAGAUUCACUUGAUAUAUGUUUUGGCACUCAACUCAUGGAUUCUCGUGGUGACAUUGGGGUAAUCUAUGCAUAGGGGUUGAUGCCCGUUCUUGUCUUUGUUUCUCCGGUACAAAUCUUGGGGCACUCUUUGAAGUUCUUUGUGUUGGAUUGAGUAUUAUGAAUACGAAUUUGCUUUGGUGUUAUUUUAGUACGAACUCUAGGAUAGAUUGAACGGAAAGAAUAGCUUUGUGCUAUUUUAGUACGAACUCUUGAAUAGAUCAAACGGAAAGAAUAACUUUGAGGUGGUUUUGUACCCUACAAACAAUUUAUUCUUAUGUUCUCUGCUAGAUAGUAACUUUGGAGUGAUUCUUCAUCGCACUUUGAGGGAUGGUUAUAUAAUCCAAUUAUAUUAGCAUUGUUGAGAGAUUGGACUAGCAAAAGUAAGGACCCUAGGCAUCACUUUAUAUCAUUGCAAUACCGUUUGUGCUCCGUUUUAUCAUUUACUACCUUGCUGUUUUUUAUUGUUCGCACUACAAAAACUCAUAUCUACUAUCCAUACUACACUUUUAUCAUCAUCUCUUCGCCAAACUAGUGCACCUAUACAAUUUGCCAUUGUAUUGGGUGUGUUGGGGAGACAAGAGAUUUCUUGUAUUUGAUUGCAGGGUUGCUUGAGAGAGACUAUCUUCAUCCUACGCCUCCCACGGAUUGAUAAACCUUAGGUCAUCCACUUGAGGGAAAAUUGCUACUGUCCUACAAAACUCUGCGCUUGGAGGCCCAACACGAUUCUACAAGAAUAAAGUUGCGUAGUAGACAUCAGGCUCUUUUCUGAUGUCGUUGCUGGGGAGUUAUGUGCUUGAAGGUAUAUCUUUAGAUCUUGCAAUCGAAUAUUGUAGUUUCUUUUUUUAUCACUAGUUUGGUUUAUAAAAGAAAACUACAUAAAAAAUGGAAUUGAGGUUGCAUCAUAUUAUUGAUCAUCUUUAUAAUAUCUUGCUUGAAAAUGAUGGUUCGGGAAAUUGUGCUCAAUUGAUAGAAGAAGAAUUUAAUAAAAUGAUUGUCAUGAAUGAUGAGCAUGAUUGCAAUGUUGUUAGUAUGAAUUAUUUGAAUAUCCAUGAUGUUAAUGAUAUGCAAAGCUACAAGCUUGAGGAUGCUAUGUUUGAUGAAGAUGAUAUUUUUACUCCCCCAAGUUUUGAUGAGAUAAUUUAUUAUGAUGAUAGCAUGCCUCCUAUUUAUGAUGAUUAUAAUGAUAAAAGUGGAUUCGGAGAGGUCAUGACAUUAUUUAAUGAUUAAUCCACCAUUUUGGAUGAGGCUUCAAUAGACUAUGAGAACAAGGUCGCUAUCUAUGAUUAUUAUGGUGAUGACAUGUAUACUAUAUUGAAUAAUUAUACCCAUGAAACUUGUCAUCAUGAUUUUAAUUUUCAAUCUCACGAUAGUUAUUUUGUUGAGUUUGCUCCCACCACUAUUCAUGAGAAUAAAUUUGCUUAUGUGAUGGUUAUUGAUAUGUCUCCAAGGUAUCUAUAAUUUUUUAUUGUUCCAUGCUAUUAUAUUAUCUGUUUUGGAUGUUUAAUGGGCUUUAUUAUACACUUUUAUACUAUUUUUGGGACUAACCUAUUAACCGGAGGCCCAGUCCAAAUUGAAGUUUUUUUUGCCUAUUUCAGUGUUUCGCAGAAAAGGAAUAUCAAACGGAGUCCAAAUGGAAUGAAACCUUCAGGAGAGUCAUUUUUGGAACAAACGCAAUCCAGGAGACUUGGAGUGGACGUCAAGGAAGCAACGAGGCGGCCACGAGGCAGGGAGGCGCGCCCCCCACCCUCGUGGCUCCCCUUACCGACUUCUUUCGCCUAUAUAUAUAUACACUCAUAUACCCUAAAAACAUCAGAGAGCACCAUGCAACCCUAUUUCCACCGCCGCAACCUUCUGUACCCGUGAGAUCCCAUCUCGGGGCCUUUUCCGGCACUCUGCCGGACGGGGAAUCAAUCACGGAGGGCUUCUACAUCAACACUAUAGCCUCUCCGAUGAUGUGUGAGUAGUUUACCUCAGACCUUCAGGUCCAUAGUUAUUAACUAGAUGGCUUUUUCUCUCUCUUUGGAUCUCAAUACAAAGUUCUCCUCGAUCUUCAUGGAGAUCUAUUCGAUGUAAUUCUUUUUGCGGUGUGUUUGUCGAGAUCCAAUGAACUGUGGGUUUAUGAUCAACAUUAUCUAUGAACAAUAUUUGAAUCUCCUCUGAAUUCUUUUAUGUAUGAUUUGUUAUCUUUGCAAGUCUCUUCGAAUUAUCAGUAUUGUUUGGCCAACUAGAUUGAUCUUUCUUGCAAUGGGAGAAGUGCUUAGCUUUGGGUUCAAUCUUGCGGUGUCCUUUCCCAGUGACAGCAGGGGCAGCAAGGCACAUAUUGUAUUGUUGCCAUCGAGGAUAAAAAGAUGGGGUUUAUAUCAUAUUGCUUGAGUUUAUCCCUCUACAUCCUGUCAUCUUGCCUAAUGCGUUACUCUGUUCUUAUGAACUUAAUACUCUAGAUGCAUGUUGGAUAGCGGUCGAUGUGUGGAGUAAUAGUGGUAGAUGCAGAAUCAUUUCGACCUACUUGUCGCGGACGUGAUGCCUAUAUACAUGAUCAUGCCUAGAUAUUCUCAUAACUAUGCACUUUUCUAUCAAUUGCACGACAGUAAUUUGUUCACCCACUGUAAUACUUGUGCUAUCUUCAAAGAAGCCACUAGUGAAACCUAUGCCCCCGGGAUCUAUUUUCCAUCAUAUAAGUUUCCGAGCUAUUUUAUUUUCUAAUCUUUACUUUCCAAUCUAUAUCAUAAAAUUACCAAAAAUAUUUAUCUUAUUAUCUCUAUCAGAUCUCACUUUUGCAAGUGGUCGUGAAGGGAUUGACAACCCCUUUAUCGCGUUGGUUGCAAGGUUCUUAUUUGGUUGUGCAGGUACGAGGGAUUUGAGUGUAGCCUCGUACUGGAUUGAUACCUUGGUUCUAAAAAAUAUAGGGAAAUACAUACACUACUUUGCUGCAUCACCCUUUCCUCUUUAAGGAAAACUAACACAUGCUCAAGAGGUAGCAGUUAUAGUGUUGAAUUUCUUCAUGAUGCUACUGAAAAUUAUUAUGAGAGAGGAACAUCUGCUUUUACAUAUCUCAAUAAUAUCAAGUUUCCUCUCUAUGUGUUGAAAGUUUUGAAGUUAUGCAUGUUUGCCUUCCUAUGCUGGUUGAUUCUUGUUCCCAUGAAUUAUUUGCUCACAAAAUCCCUAUGCAUAGGAAGUAGGUUAGGCUUAAAUGUGCUUGCCAUGUGAUUCAUGAUGCUCUUUUUCAUGUUUCAAUUCUUAUCUUUUAUGCGAGCAUCAUUGAACUCAUCAUGCCUAGCUGAAAGGCAUUAAAGAAAAGCGCUUGUUGGGAGACAACCCAACACUUUUACCUACUGUUUUUGUGUGUUCACAUGAUUAGGAUACUAUAGUGAUCAUGUUUUAUUGCUUUCGUUUCAAUAAAGUGCCAAUUAAAGCCUUUGGGAUCAUGUUGGGUGAUAGUUGAUUUGAUUUUACUGAAAAACAGAAACUUUUGCGCUCGCGGAAAUAACUCUCAUUUUUAACAGAAGAGUGCUUUGAGUUGUUUAUUUUUGCAUAAGAUUAAUAGACACACGUGGUCAUAUUUUUUUCAUAAUUUUUGGAGUAGCAGAAGUAUGGUUUGAGUACAGAUUACUACAGACUGUUCUAUUUUUGACAGAUCCUGUUUUCAAUACAUAGUUUGCUUGUCUGAUUGUUUCUACGAAUUAUAUUGCUCAAUAUAAAUUGUGUAAAUGAUGUGCUACCAUAGGAAUAGUGUGGAAACAAUUAUGAAUCUUGUCUUUGACAGUACCAAAGUGAAAUGGUUUGCUCUUUAUCAUACUAACCUAUCUCACGAAGUUUCGUUAAGUUUUGUGUGAUUGAAGUUUUCAAGUUUUGGGUGAAAUGUCGAUAUGAGGAGAAUAAGGAGUGACAAUAACCUAAGCUUGGGGAUGCCCAAGUCACCCCCAAGGUAAUAUUCAAGGAAGAUCUAAGCAACUAAGCUUGGGGAUGCCCCGGAAGGCAUCCCCUCUUUCGUCUCUAACAUUAUCGGUAACCUCACUUGGAGCUAUGUUUUCAUUCGUCACAUGAUAUGUGUUUAGCUUGGAGCGUCAAUUUAUUUUGUUAGGAUUUGCUUUCUAUUAUUUAGAAGAAUGUUUUUCAUCCUUUAUUUCAAUUAAAAUGGCAAUGAUAGCAUUUUCCAUGCUUAUUUUGCAAGUAUACAUGUUGCUGUUUCAAAACAGAAAGUUUAUCGAUGUUGAAAAAAUUCCCUAGAAAAAUCAUAAUAUGAUAAAAUGUUGAAACUUUUUGAAAAAUAAGCUAUGAUAAAGUUUCUACAGUGUGGUAUUUUUUUUCAUAAUUUUUGGAGUCUAAGAAGUAUUGAUACUCUUGCAUUCUUUAAAGAUUGUACUGUUUUGGCAGAUUGCUGUUAUGUUUGCAUUGUUUGCAUAUGUUUGCUUGUUUAAUGAUUCUAUUUGACGAUAGGAGUAUUAAAUAUGUAGAGGCAUUUAGUAUUCAAUAUUGAAUAAUAAUUUUAGUGACUUGUUACAGUAUAUAAUGAUAAGGUUUUUGCAUUGGUUUAUACUAACUUAUCUCACGAGUUGUUGUUGAGUUUUGUGUGGAUGAAGCUUUUGAGAUUUAGGAAAACCAUGAUAUGAAAAUAAUUAAGGAGGAACAAAAGCUCAAGCUUGGGGAUGCCCAAGGAAUCCCAAGUUAAUAUUCCAAGAAGUCUCAAGCAUCUAAGCUUGGGGAUGCCCCGGUAGGUAUCCCACCUUUCUUCUUCAACAAUUAUCAGUUAGUAUUGGUUGAGCCAAUGUUCUUACUUCUUCACAUGAGUUGUACUAUUCUUGGGGUGUCAUUUUGUUUUGUUUUGGUUUCUGUUUUAAUAAAAUACUUAGAUCUGAAAGUUUUUAAAUAAAAUAGAGUCCUCAAUUAGUUGCCAGGGAGGCUAGGUAAGCGGCGUUCACAUUCCGUCAACGAAUCUCUUUUCUAUGGAAUUUCUCUAGUGCUUCACUUAUAUCUUUUUGAGCAUGGUGUGCUUUAGUAUUUUUGAAGAAAUUCUCUCUUACUUCACUUAAAUUAAUUUGAGAGAAAGAAAUAUUAUGCUCAUGAUCAUCAUUUAUAUCUUUUUGGAGUAGCUUGUCAUCUAAUCUUGUGCUUCACUUAUAUCUUAUGAGUAAAUUAUUGAAUGAGUUGAAUAUCAUGAUGUUGAAAUUACAUGUUCAUAUCAUGCCUAAUAGUGGAUUCACAUUGGGUUUAGAAAGUGAAAGCUUUUGAAGCUUGACAAUCACAAUAUUUUUCAUACAAGAAAUUCAAGAAUAAUUAGUAUAAGGAAGAGAACUUUCACAUGCAAAUACACUAUCUUGGAAAUGUUUUGUGAUUGUGAGCCCACAUAAAAAUAUUAUAUGCCAAAAUUGUUGAUGUUGGACAAGGAAGACAACGUAAUGAUUUAUGUUUGUUCAUAUUCACAUAGAAGUUAUAUUGUCAUAGAUCCUUCAACAUGUGGUGCUUUCCCCCCAUCUUUUCUAGCCAAAAAUUCCGCACCAAGUAGAGAUACUAGUUGUGCAUCAAAAAACUCUUAAACCCAAAUCUUGGUUUGAGAGUCCACCAUACCUACCUAUGGAUUGAGCAAGAUCCUUCAAGUAAGUUGUCAUCGGUGCAAUAAGGCAAUAAAAAUUGCUUCUAAAAGUGUUAGAUAAUUUAGUUUAAGAGAAAAUUGAGCGUUGUACGAACUUGUGAUGGCAAAGAAUAAAAACAACAGACUGCAUAAUAAAGGUUGCUAUCAUAAGGGGCAAUAUAACGUGACGUUAUUUUGCACUAAGGGGUUGAUCAUACAAGCAAAUAAGCGCAUGGCAACCUCUGCUUCCCUCUACGAAGGGCCUAUCUUUUACUUUUAUGUAUUUACUUUCAUGCAAGAGUCAAGGUUUUUCUCUCUAUUCCGUUUUAUUUUUCUCCUUUGGCAAGCAUCAUGUGGUGAGGAAAGAUCUAGGCACAUAUAUCCAGUUGGAUAUGGUUAGCAUGAGUUAUUAUUGUUGACAUCACCCUUGAGGUGAAUACGUUGGGAGGAGAAAUGAUAAGCCCCUAUCUUUCUAUGUGUCUGGUUGAAACGUUUUGCUCAUGUGUAUGCAGUGAGUGUUAGCAAUCAUAUAAGACUAUAUGAUGGUUGAGUAUGUGGAGCUCUUACUUAGACUCUGUUGAAUAAGUAGAAUUGCAAUUGCUUGGUGACUGAGAACAUAGGUUGUUGAGUUUCAAGAGAAUUCAUUGUUUGAACCGUAACAUGUGAAUUGGUUGCUACUAUAACAUGAGAAGUUUCAUAAGAAAGAAUUGCUAAUAUGAUGCUAGGAAAAGUGAUUGAAAUUAUCAUCGAUCAAACCUAUGCACUUUGCUAGCAUUCACUCUAUAAAUAUUUCUUUUAUCAUUUACCUACUCGAGGACGAGUAGGAGUUAGCUUGGGGAUGGUGAUACGUCUCCAACGUAUCUAUAUUGUAUGAAGUAUUCAUGCCAUUAUAUUAUCAUUCUAGGAUUUUUACAAUCAUUAUAUAGCAACUUUAUAUCAUUUUUUUGGGACUAACCUAUUGACCCAAUGCCCAGUGCCAGUUGCUAUUUCUGCUUGUUUUUUAGAUCGCAGGAAAUCAAUAUCAAACGGAGUCCAAAUACCACGACACUUCUUGUGGAUUUUUUAUGGACCAGAAGACAUCCAGUGGGCCAAGGAAGCACCUAGGGGGGUGCCUCGAUGGGAGCAACACCCACCAGGGCGCGCCUGGGGGCCCAGGCAUGCCCAGGUAGGUUGUGCCCACCUCGGGUGCCUCCUGAACCGCCUCUUUUCGCCCUAUAAAUUCCCAAAUAUUCCAAAACCCUUUGGGGUAGACCUAGAUCAGAGUUCCACCACCACAAGGCCUCUGUAUCCACGAGAUCCAAUCUAGACCCCAUUCCAACACCCUGCCGGAGGGGGGAAUCAUCACCGGUGGCCAUUGAGGGAGUCCUGGAUUAGGUGGUCCUCGGACAUCCGAACUAUAUACUUUGGUCGGACUGUUGGACUAUGAAGAUACAAGAUUGAAGACUUUGUCCCGUGUCCGGGUGGGACACUCCUUUGCGUGGAAGGAAAGCUUGGCAAUCCGGAUGUGUAGAUCUCCUUCUCUGUAACCGACUCUGUGUAACCCUAGCCCCCUCCAGUGUCUAUAUAAACUGGAGGGUUUAGUCCAUAGGACAAGAACAAUCAUAAUCAUAGGCUAGCUUAUAGGGUUUAGCCUCUACAAUCUCGUGGUAUAUCAACUCUUGUAAUACUCAUUUCAUCAAGAUCAAUCAAGCAGGAAGUAGGGUAUUACCUCCAUCGAGAGGGCCCGAAUCUGGGUAAACAUUGUGUCCCCCGCCUCCUGUUACCAUUAGCCUUAGACGCACAGUUCGGGACCCCCUACCCGAGAUCCGCCGGUUUUGACACCGACGUUGGUGCUUUCAUUGAGAGUUCCACUAUGUCGUCACGGUAAGGCUUGAUGGCUCCUUCAAUCAUCUGUAACGAAGCAAUCCAGGGUGAGGUUUUCCUCCCCGGACAGAUCUUCGUAUUCAGCGGCUUCAUACUGCGGGCCAACUCGCUUGGCCAUUUGGAGCAGAUCAAUAGCUAUGCCCCUGGCCAUCAGGUCAGGUUUGGAAGCUUGAACUACACUGCCGACAUCCGCGGAGACUUGAUCUUCGACAGAUUCGAGCCCAUAACAGGUGCGCCGUAUAGUGACGAUGAGCAUGACUUAGAUCUGCCAUCAGAUGGUGUUCAGGAGAACACACCUGCAGCUGCCCUGGCCUUAGAUCCGGAGCAGAUCAUGCCAUCCGAGGACGGAUGGAUAGACCCCGCCACAGAGGCCGCACACUCAUCGGCGCUAGAGCUGAUCACAGACAUCACCUCCAAAGAGAUCUGUGUCAUCGGACCCUCGUACUCGUCUCCGGUCAUAGGUUUCGAACCACGUGCAUCCAUGCCUAUCGAAUCUGAUUGGGCACCGAUCAUGGAGUUUACCUCCGCUGAUAUCGUUCAGCACUCACCCUUGGGCGAUGUGCUAAAUUCAUUGAAAUCUCUCUCCAUGUCAGGAGACUCUUGGCCGAACUAUGUCCGGCUUGAGUGGGAAGCGGACGACGAAGAAAUUCGUUCCCCACCCACCACCCACUUAAUAGCCAUUGUCGACGACUUAACCGGCAUGCUUGAUUUCGACUCCGAAGACAUCGACAGUAUGAAUGACGAUACCGGAGAGGAACAAGAACCACCGCCCACAGGGCGCUGGACAACCACCUCAUCAUAUGAUAUAUAUAUAUGGUGGACACCCCCAAAGAAAGCGAUGGCGAUGAUACAACAGAGGAUAAUCCCCUCGAGAAGCAAUCUAAGCACCGGCGUCAUCGGCGCCACUCUAAGCCUCGCCAUAGCAAAAAUAACAAUACCGGCACAAGAGACAAUAACGCUCCGGAUAAUGCCGAGGACGAAAACAACCCCACCCAGCCAGGCUUCGAGCAGGCCGGACGGGAGAAUGGGCAAGCUAGCCCCAAGUAACAGGCAAUGGAUGGAGAAUCAGAGGAUGAUAAUUACAUGCCCCUCUCCGAAGACGAGGUGAGCCUCGGCGAUGAAGAAUUCAUCGUGCCUAAGGAUCCCGUAGAGCAGGAGCGCUUCAAGCGCUGACUUAUAGCCACAGCAAAAAGCCUGAAGAUAAAGCAGCAGCAGCUUCAAGCUGAUCAAGAUCUGCUAACUGAUAGAUGGACUGAGGUCCUGGAAGCCAAGGAAUACGGACUCGAGCGCCCAACCAAAAGUUACCCAAAGCGCAGGUUGCUACCUCAACUCGAGGAGGGGCAUUAAAGCCCACACUACUAGUGCAUGAUGUGGCUGACCGGCCACUUCGUGGCCGAGACAAAGCGGAGUAUCAGCUCGAAGUCCAGCCCGCACCCCGUCACCAAACAAGCAAAAACAUGAAGGCCUGGGGCUCCACACAUGACCUGCGAGACAAAUUGGAAAACAAAGCAGGACAGUCAAGAUCGAUCUAUGGAUCACGGGGGCGCGCCCCAACACAUGACGAUGACCGUCACACCGGAUAUGCUAAAUACAAAUCCGGCCGGGCCGAAUACAACAGAUCAGACUCGUUUGAGCUGCGUCGUGAUGUAGCCCGGCAUAGAGGCACCGCACACCCCCUAUGCUUCACUGAUGAAGUAAUGGAUCAUGAAUUCUCAGAAGGGUUUAAGCCCGUGAACAUUGAAUCAUAUGAUGGGACUACAGACCCCGCGGUAUGGAUAGAAGAUUUCUUUCUCCACAUUCACAUGGCCCGCGGGGACGACCUACACGCCAUCAAAUACCUCCCAUUAAAACUCAAGGGACCGACUCGGCAUUGGCUGAAUAGCUUGCCGGCAAACUCCAUCAGAAGUUGGGAGAACCUGGAAGACGCAUUCCUGGAUAACUUCCAGGGCACGUAUGUGCGACCACCGGAUGCUGACGAUUUAAGUCACAUAACCCAACAACCCGGAGAGUCAGCCAGGAAAUUCUAGACUCGGUUCCUAACUAAAAAGAACCAAAUCGUCGACUGUCCGGAUGCUGAAGCCCUAGCGGCCUUUAAGCAUAAUAUCCAUGACGAGUGGCUUGCCCGACAUCUCGGCCAAGAAAAGCCGAAGUCCAUGGCAGCCCUCACGACACUCAUGACCCGCUUUUGUGAGGGCGAGUAUAGCUGGUUGGCUCCUAGCAACAACACAGCAAGCAAUCCUGGCACAUCAGAGGCCAGAGAUAGCAACGGCAAGCCCCGACGCAACAAACACAAGCGUCGCAAAAAUGGUGACAACACCGAAGACACGGCAGUCAAUGCCGGAUUCAGUGGCUCUAAGUCCGGUUAGCGAAAAAAGCCAUUCCAAAAGAACAAUUCGGGCCCGUCCAGUCUGGACCGCAUACUUGAUCGUCCAUGCCAAAUUUGUGGCACGCAGGAAUACCAACCAAUCAUACCAACAGAGAAUGUUGGGUCUUCAAACAAACCGGCAGGUCAGGUGCCGAAAACAAGGAGAAAGGGUCCCAAAGCGAUGACGACGAUGAGGAGCCCCGAUCACCAAACAAAGGAGGGCAAAAGAAAUUUCCCCCGCAAAUCAAAACGGUGAAUAUGAUAAACGCCAUCCACAUUCCCAAACUGGAAUGGACGUGCACUCUUAGGGAUGUCGACUUAACGGAGCCAGUCGCCCCACAAUAUAAACUAUGGCCAAUCACUUUUGAUCGUACGGAUCGUCCAGCCAAUAGCAAUCAGGGAAAUUCAGCCGCAUUCAUCGUUGACCCAAUAAUCCACCUCACACGAGUCCUUAUGGACGGAGGCAGCAGUCUAAACCUGCUGUAUUAGGACAAAGUGCGCAAGAUGGGUAUUGAUCAUUCGAUGAUUAAGCCCACUAAAAUCACCUUUAAAGGUGUUAUACCAGGUGUGGAGGCCCGUUGCACAGGCUCCAUCACUCUGGAGGUAGUCUUCGGAUCAUCGAACAAUUACCGUACCGAAGAGUUAGUCUUCGACAUCGUCCCUUUCCGCAGUAAUUAUCAUGCACUGCUUGGACGAACCGCAUUUGCUCGAUUCAACACGGUGCCACACUACGCCUAUCGUAAGCUCAAGAUGCCCGGUCCGCAUGGCGUCAUAACAGUUAAUGGCAAGGCCGAACUCCACCUCUGCACAGAAGAGUGUACAACCGUCUUAGAAGCAACGAAAGGCAUCUUUCAAUCGAACCUCGAGUCGAUGGCCAAUCUCCCGAACACCGUCAAGGGAGUCUGAUCUACUCUGCGGCAGGAUAGCCUGGCUCGUCCGGAGCUCAACUAAAACACUCUGUAGCACAUAAAUUUCCUUUUUGCACUAUCUUUGCAGGUCCACUUUUGCGUAGGCCAGGACUGGCGGCAUGGAAACAACUCGAAUGCAUAAGGGAAUCCUUAGAGAUGCCCCUUGAUGACCAUACGGUUACACUCUGGAUCCGCACACAGCCUCCUCCCGCUUGAUCUCAGCAGGUUCCGAAGUCAUAUCGCUUUUUAUCACAUUACCUGUACUCAUACGCAUCAACGUGUUAUUCAAUGACAACAUGUGGCUUUAUAUGAUGCUCAUCUGCUGUUGUUUCUUAUCGACACUCUUUGUCAAAUGGCAUCUCUACAUCGCGAUAUGCCUUAAUAUGCCAGGGGCUUCAUUGUACCCAUAACACGGCAAUAAAGUCCCGACCACCAUCACGGUCGUUCGGCACCCCGAACUUAUAGCAUUAUAUGCUUCAGCUCCAAAUCAUGUCUUGGGUCAAUAGUUGGGUUUGCCCGGCUCCUAUGUUUUGCUGCCUUACGUUCCGCUAUAUCGGCUAGGGCGGCACAGGGAGAACUACUGCGAUUGUGUCCCGGUUCUUCCGGACGAGCGCCUUAGUAGAGAAAGCUGAAAGCUGACUGUCAUGAUACGGCGAGAGCUGGUCAGCUGUUCGAGAGGUUGUAAAAUCUUUAAGGAUUUCUUCCGCAUAAUGCCAUAACCAAUGUAGCGUGCGAUGGAUCGGCUUUUCUUCCGAUCAGGCGCUUAUAGAGCCCCUCGUGCGGUCUUCCGAACACCAGGGGCUGCGCCUACCUUCCUUUUGUUAAACUCCUAUGGCUAAGUGAGAGCGAUAAAGCCCUAUAGUCCGAUUGCCUAGUUCGUUGUGCUGAACACCUCCUUCAAGGACCCAAAACUAGGAUAAAGAGUGCUCAGGUUUAUCUCGAACACCCCCGUACUUCCUACGUGGGGGCAGAAGCCGACGACUGGCCAACUCUCAGGAUUAAUAUAUAAAAUGGCCACGCAGGAGGGAAAACUUUCAAAUAACAGGCAAUAAACAAUAGAAAUGACCUUGUUCAACAUUACAAAGGACAACAUGACUGUAUUCAUGCAAAUAUAAUGUCCUUGGUGCAUUGCUCCGCCGCAAGGCGGGAUCCUUUUAGGAUAUUAUCAUAAUAUAAUUCGGGCUUGCGGUGCUCCUUCCCCUCGGGCGGUCCCUCGGUCAUCAUCUUUUUAGCAUCCAUCUUCCCCCAGUGCACCUUUGCGCGGGCGAAGGCCAUUCACACACCCUCAAUACAGACCGACUGCUUGAUGACAUCAAGUCGAGGGCAGGCACUCACAAGCCGCUUCACGAGCCCGAAGUAGCUGCUUGGAAUCGGCUCGGCGAGCCAUAGCCGGAUAAUUAAAUCCUUCAUGGCUAGUUCGGCCGCCUUAUGCAGUUCGAUCAACUGCUUCAGCUGAUCGGCAAGUGGCACCGGAUACACCGGCACCAGAUACUACGACCAGAAGAGCUUCUCCGCAGUGCUCCUUUCUUCAGCUCAAUAGAAUUGUGCGGCAUCAGAUAUGCUGUGUGGCAGCUCCGCAAAUACCCCUGGAGAAAUCAGAAUUCAAAUUAUCAACUUGAUUUUCUCCUUUUAAAUACCCGCUUUGUAUAGAAAAAGCCUUACCAGCCGCAAUCUUCCUCGCCUCCUGGAUUUCCUUCAGGGCACCUUGGGCUUCCCCCCGGGCAUCACUUGCGGCUUGGCGAGCUUGGGAGAGUUCGGAUUCUUUCCCUGAUAAACUCUGCUCCAAGGUCUCGCAUUUAUCCACGGCCUCUUGAAGUUGUCGCUCAACUUCAAUAACCCUGGCCUCGUGCUUUUCACGACGAGCCUACUCUGUGGUUGCCCUCUUCUCGGCUUCGGCCACAACCUUCUUAAGAGCCUCAAUUUCGGCCGUCGCCCCUAGAGCACAUCAUAAAAAUAUUUUCAUCAUGCAAACUUAUUUAUUUGUGUUGAAUAGGAACAAGGUUUCUGCAUACCUUGGUUAUCCUCCAACUUCUUCUUCUCUCGGCCGAGUUCCCCUUCGGCCCGCUCAGACUCUGCCUCAGUCCGGAGACUUCCGCAGUUUGAGAGGAGGCCAUUGCUACAGACGCCUGCUUUUAAAUAAAAGAGAGAUGACAUAAAGUGAGUCUCCUGCGAACACUUAUUUGAUCCUCUGUUUGGUUCCUUUUUUCACCAAAUAGUGCAUCAGGGGCUACUAUCGAUACUAUGACACUCUUCAAAAUCUCACAAAACAUACCUCUAGGCCCGUUAUAAGGCUAAUGCAGGCUUCAUUCAGUCCACUCUCAGCGGACUGAAUCUUCUCAAUCACCGCACCCAUAAGGGCACGGUGUUCAUCGACGAGGGAGGUGCUUUUAAGCAUCGCCUAUAAAGUAUCCGACACCUCUGGUUGGACAGAGGUUGCCGGUGGAAUAGGCACAACCCCUCCAGCUGAGGGAGGUCGCCUGCCUGCUUCUGGAGCCGUAUUGGUCUCCAGAAAUGUGUCCGGCUGGGGGCCAAAUUUGAGAUAGCCCCCGCCGUCGACGUCCGUGGGAGUCUUCUCUCCCAUGUAUUCGGCCCCCGAAGUUUGACCUCCUGGCACCGCCUUUACGAUCUCCCCCCCCCCUCCUUGGCCUGGGUCCUUCUGGGAUGAAACCUCGGUGUCAUUCACAUGUUUGGGGAAGGGGGCCUUCGGGGGUGUCGCGCUCUCCAUAGCAUCCGAGCCUAGUAAAUCCUUUGACGAGGAUUGUUCGGUGCGGGACCUCGCCGGACUGCAAAAAAGUAUGGCUCAGAUUCAAAUAUUAUGCCAUGAUGAGUCUGGACGCAUAAACAUAUUCGAAUUUUAUAUACUCACGAGUUCACCAGGGACUGGGCCCUGGGAUCCCACUCCGGGCUGCUGUCGGCAGCAGCGGCGGACUCCUCUGGAAGGGGAGUUUUUCCCUUCUUAGGCGACUCGGCCUCCAAAGAUGUGGAGGCCGUCCUUUUCUUUCCUCCCCUCGCCGGGGAUGGGUCUUUCUCCUCCUCCUCGUCCUCUCUGGAGGAAGAUCGGGCAUCAGAGUCUUCGGACAUGGUGUCCGAAGUGCCACGGCGACGAAGGCCGCCCCUAGUCUUUUUGCCCCCCUUCUCGGCCUUCUUCUUCGGCGCCUUGUAAGGUGAUACGUCUCCAACGUAUCUAUAAUUUUUGAUUGCUCCAUGCUACUUUAUCUACUGUUUUAGGCAAUAUUGGGCUUUAUUAUCCACUUUUAUAUUAUUUUUGGGACUAACCUAUUAACCGGAGGCCCAGCCCAGAUUUGUUGUUUUAUGCCUAUUUCAGUGUUUCGAGGAAAAGGAAUAUCAGACGGAGUCAAAACGGAACGAAAUCAACUAGAGAAGUUAAUUUUGGAAGGAAACCCACCUGAUGGACUUGGACUCCACGUCAGAAGAUACGGGAGGUGCUCACGAGGGUGGGGGGCGCGCCCACCCCCCUAGGGCGCGCCCCCCUACCUCAUGGGGCCCCCGAAGCUCCACCGACAUACCCCUUGCACCCAUAUAUACCUACGUACCCUAAAACUUCCAGAACAGAAGAUAGAUAGGGAGUUCCGCCGCCGCAAGCCUCCAGAGCCACCAAAAGCCUCUUGGGAGCCCGUUCUGGCACCCUGCCGGAGGGGGGAUCCUUCACCGGUGGCCAUCUUCAUCAUCCCGGCGCUAUCCAUGAUGAGGAGGGAGUAGUUCACCCUCGAGGCUGAGGGUAUGUACUAGUAGCUAUGUGUUUGAUCUCUCUCUCGUGUUCUCUCUCGUGUUCCCUCUAUGGCACGAUCUUGAUGUAUCCCGAGCUUUGCUAUUGUGGUUGGAUCUUAUGAUGUUUCUCCCCCUCUACUCUCUUGUGAUGAAUUGAGUUUCCCCCUUUGAAGUUAUCUUAUCGGAUUGAGUCUUUUAUGAGAACACUUGAUGUAUGUCUUGGUGAUCAACUUGCGGGUUUCGUGACAUUGGGAACCUAUGCAUAGGGGUAGGCACACGUUCUUUACUCUCCGGUAGUACCUAUGGGGCACUCUUUGAAGUACUUUUAUGUUGGUUGGAUGAAUCUGAGAUUGUGUGAGGCAUAUCGUAUAAUCAUGCCCACGGAUACUUGAGGUGACAAUGGAGUAUCUAGGUGACAUUAGGGUUUUGGUUGAUUUGUGUCUUAAGGUGUUAUUCUAGUACGAACUCUUUUAUAGAUAGAUCCGAAAGAAUAACUUUGAGGUGGUUUCGUACCCUACCAUAAUCUCUAUGUUUGUUCUCCGCUAUUAGUGGCUUUGGAGUGACUCUUUGUUGCAUGUUGAGGGCUUGUUAUAUGAUCUAUCUAUGUUAUUAUUGUUGAGAGAACUUGCACUAGUGAAAGUAUGAACCCUAGGCCUUGUUUCCUAUCAUUGCAAUACCGUUUACGCUCACUUUUAUCGCUCGCUACCUUGCUGUUUUUAUUAUUUCAGAUUACAAAUACCUUUAUCUACCAUCUAUUUUGCACUUGUAUCUUCACCUCUUCGCCGAACUAGUGCACCUAUACAAUUUACCAUUGUAUUGGGUGUGUUGGGGACACAAGAGACUCUUUGUUAUUUGGUUGCAGGGUUGUUUGAGAGAGACCGUCUUCAUCCUACGCCUCCAAAUGUACGCCACAAAAUAGACAAAAUAGAUAUUGCAAGAGCCAUAUGUAUUUAAAAACUAAAGGUUUGCAAGAAAGUCUUGAUGAGUGUGCUAAAAGAUUCAAUAUUUUUCGCGCUCCUUGUGAACUUUGCAAUGAAUGUGGUCGUUUAAAUCUCCAAUGCAAAUUGUUUUAUGAUCAAAUCGUGUCCAAAAAUUGUGAUAGCUUGAUUACCCUUGGGCAUCAUAAAGAGCUUAGUCUUCUUUUGGGGUAUGAAGAAAUGAAAUGUAUAACCGAGGGUAUUCCAAAAUUUAAUCUUGAUAGAUUUCUUGAUUUUGAUCUAGAGGAUAUUUAUUUGUAUUGUGCGGAGAAUUGCAUUGAAAAUCCUUAUAUUGCCAAUUACCUAAAGAUGACGAGAAUGCUAAUGAAAGGGAAGAGACUUCCCAAUAUCCUCCUAUUAUUUCUUAUGAUGAAUCAGGUGACGAGGAGGAGCAUCCUAUUCAACCAAUCUCAUCAAUAAGGAGAUCGAAGAGGAAGGUUGAACCUACACAUAAUGUGAAGAAGAAAAAGAAAAGAAGGAGCAACAAAGGUAGAAAGGUAUCCCUCCGAAAUGAUGUUGCUCCUACUACUCAUUGUUAGGGUGAUAAUUGCUUUACUAUUGGUGCUAUCCAUAUUUUUAAUGAUGAGAGUGAUUAUGCUUAUGAUAUGAAAGAGCCCAAGCUUGGGGAAGCUAUGUUUGAUGAUGAUGAAAUAUUUGAGAAUAUAUUUGCUGAAAUUAAUGUUUGUCCCAAGCUUGGGGAUGCUACGUUUAGUGAGGAUGGUAUUUUUAGUCUCCCAAGUUUUGAUAUACAAAGUAGUUAUGAUGAUAGCAUGCCUCCUACUUAUGAUGAUUAUAUUGAUGAAAGUGGGUUCGGAAGAGUGUCAACUUUAGGAAAUAGUGAUUCCACUAUUUUGGAGGAUGUUGAAUUAUAUUGUGAUGAAUAUGAAAGUGGAUUUGGAAGGGUGUCAACUUUAUUUAGUGAUGAUUCCACUAUCUUGGGAGAGGUUUCAAUCGAUUAUGAUGAGAACGAAGUUGCUACUCAUGAUGAUUAUUGUGAUGAAACUUAUGCUAUAAAAAGUAGUGAUGAUUAUAUUUACAAAUCUUGUCAUGAUUAUGAUUACCCUUUUUCUGAACAUUACUAUUUUAAUGUGGAAACAAUUUUUAGUGUUCAAGUCUCUUAUGAUACUCCCACUAUUCCGAAUGAAAAGAAUUUUGCUUAUGUGGAGAGUAAGAAAUUUUCUAUGCUUGUAGAUCAUGAAAAGAAUAAUUUAGGUGCUGGUUAUAUUGUUGAAUUCAUUCAUGAUGCUACUAAAAAUUAUUAUGAGGGAGGAACUUAUGCUUGUAGGAAUUACAAUAAUGUCAAGCUUCCUCUCUAUGUGUUGAAAUUCUUGAAGUUAUGCUUGUUUUACCCUUCUAUGCUAGUUGAUUAUUGUUCCCGUAAGUUGUUUGCUCAAAAAAUCCCUAUGCAUAGGAAGUGGGUUAGGCUUAAAUGUGCUAGUAAUAUGCUUCAUGAUGCUCCCGUUAUGUCUCAAUUCUUAUCUUUUAUGUGAGCAUCAUUAUCAUCAUCAUGCCUAGCUAGAAAGGCAUUAAAGAAAAGCGCUUGUUGGGAGACAACCCAAUAUUUAUCCUUACUGUUUUUGUGUGUCCACAUGAUUAUGCUACUGUAGUAAUCAUGUUUUAUAGCUUUUGUUUCGAUAAAGUGCCAAGUAGAACCUUUGGGAAGACUUGGGUGAAGUUUAUGUGAUCUUGCUGUGAAAAACAGAAACUUUAGCGCUCACGAGAUUAUCUGCCAUUUUUUACUGGAGAGUGAUUUUAGGUUGAUUAUUUUUGCAUAUGAUUAAUAUACAAAUUACUCAGGUCCAGAAAUUUAUUUCAUAAUUUUUGGGGUUCCAUAAGUAUACGUUUGAUACAGAUUACUACAGACUGUUCUGUUUUUGACAGAUUCUGUUUUCUAUCUGUUGUUUGCUUAUUUUGAUGAAUCUAUGGCUAGUAUGUAAGGGUAUGAACCAUAGAUAAGUUGGAAUACAGUAGGUAUUACACCAAUAUGAAUUUAUAAUGAGUUCAUUACAGUACCUAAGUGGUGGUUUUACUUUCUUUUACUAACGGAGCUUACGAGUUUUGUUUUGAGUUUUGUGUGGUUGAAGUUUUCAAGUUUUGGGUAAAGAUUCGAUGGACUAUGGAAUAAGGAGUGGCAAGAGCCUAAGCUUGGGUAUUCCCAAGGCACCCCAAGGUAAUAUUCAAGGACAACCAAGAGCCUAAGCUUGGGGAUGCCCCGGAAGGCAUCCCCUCUUUCGUCUUCGUUCAUCGGUAACUUUACUUGGAGCUAAAUUUUUAUUCACCACAUGAUAUGUGUUUUGCUUGGAGCGUCAUUUUCUUUUGUUAGUAUUUGGUUGAUGCUAGUUAUAAUAAUGUUUUGCAUCUUUAGUUUCAAUAAAAAAAGUCAAGGAUAGCCUUUGCCAUGCUUAUUUUGCUUGUAUACAUGUUGCUGUUUGAAAACAAAAAGUUUACCGCUGUUGCAAAAAUUCCCUAGAAAAGCCAGAGAAUGGUAUAACGUUGAAUCUUUUUGCAUAUUAAGAUCUGAUUAAUUUAUUUAAUUGGGAAUUUUAGUUCAUAAUUUUUGGAGUCAGGGAAGUAUUGAUACUCUUGCAUUCUUUACAGACUGUACUGUUUUGGCAGAUUGCUAUUAUGUUUGCAUUGUUUGCAUAUGUUUGCUUGUUUAAUGAUUCUAUUUGAUGAUAGGAGUAUUAAACAUGAAGAGACAUUUAUUAUUCAAUGUUGAAUAAUAAUUUAAGUGAUUUGUUACAGUAGAAGAUGAUAUGGUUUUGCAUUGGUUUAUACUAACCUAUCUCACGAGUUCUUUUUGAGUUUGUUGUGAAUGAAGCUUUUGAUAAAAAGAGAAACCAUGAUAUGAGAGGAAUUAAGGAGACACAAAAGCUCAAGCUUGGGGAUGCCCAAGUUACCCCAAGAUAAUAUUUCAAUAAGUAUCAAGCAUCUAAGCUUGGGGAUGCCCCGGUAGGCAUCCCACCUUUCUUCUUCAACAACUAUCGGUUAGUAUCGGUUGAGCCUAAGUUUUUGCUUCUUCACAUGAGUUGUGCUAUCCUUGCAAUGUAGUUUUCUUUAGCUUUUCUUGCUGUUUGAAUAAAGUAUCAAGAUCUGAAAUUAUUAAAUGGGAGAGUCUUCACAUAGUUGCAUAAUUAUUCGACUACUCAUUGAUCUUCACUUAUAUCUUUCGGAGUAGUUUGUCAUUUGCUCUAGUACUUCACUUAUAUCUUUUAGAGCACAGUGGUGGUUUUGUUUUUAAGAAAUAGAUGAACUCUCAUGCUUCGCUUAUAUUAUUUUGAGAGUCUUAAAUAGCAUUCUAAUUUGCUUAAAAUCCUAAUAUGCUAAGCAUAAAAGAUUUGUAAGAAUUUUUAUGAGUGUGUUGAAUACUAAGAAAAGUUUGAUACUUGAUAAUUGUUUUGAGAUAUUGGGGUAGUGAUAUUAAAGUCAUGCUAGUUGGGUGAUUAUGAAUUUAAAGAAUGCUUGUGUUGAAGUUAGAAAGUCCCGUAGCAUGCACGUAUGGUUAAAGUUGUGUGACAAAUUUGAAACAUGAAGUGUACCUGGCUUGUGCAUCCUUAUGAGUGGCGGUCGGGGACGAGCGAUGGUCUUUUCCUACCAAUAUAUCCCCCUAGGAGCAUGCGUGUAGUACUUGGUUUUUGAUGACUUCUAAAUUUUUUCAAUAAGUAUAUGAGUUAUUUUGACUAAUGUUGAGUCCAUGGAUUAUAUGCACUUUUACCUUUCCGUCUUUGCUAGCCUCUUCGGUACCGUGCAUUGCCCUUUCUCACCUUGAGAGUCGGUGCAAACUUCGCCGGUGCAUCCAAACCCCGUGAUACGAUACGCUCUAUAACACAUAAACCUCCUUAUAUCUUCCUCAAAACAGCCACCAUACCUACCUAUCAUGGCAUUUCCAUAGCCAUUCCGAGAUAUAUUGCCAUGCAACUUCCAUCAUCAUAUUCAUGACAUACAUUACUUUUGUCAUAUUGCCAUUGCAUGAUCAUGUAGUUGACAUCGUAUUUGUGGCAAAGCCACCAUGCAUUAUUUUUCAUACAUGUCACUCUUGUUUCAUUGCACCAUCCCGGUACACCACCGGAGGCAUUCAUAUAGAGUCAUAUCUAGUUCUAAGUUUCGAGUUGCAAUCCUUAUGUUGUAAUCAAUAGAAGUGUGAUGACCAUCAUUAUUAGAGCAUUGCCCAAAAAAAGAGAAAGGCCAAAAAAAAGAAGGCCCAAAAAAAAGAGAAAAUAAAUAAAAAAGGCAAUGCUACUAUCUCUUUUUCCACCCUUGUGCUUCAAAGUAGCACCUUGUUCUUCAUGUAGUGAGUCUCGUAAGUUAUCUUUUUUUUAUACUGGUGGGAAUUUUUCAUUAUAGAACUUGGCUUGUAUAUUCCUACGAUGGGCUUCCUCAAAUGCCCUAGGUCUUCAUGAUCAAGAAAGUUGGAUGCACACCCACUAGUUUUCUUUUGUUGAGCAUUCAUAGCUCUAGUGCAUCCGUUGCAUGGCAAUCCCUACUCCUCAUGUUGACAUCAAUCGAUGGGCAUCUCCAUAGCCUGUUGAUUAUCCUCGUCAAUGUGAGACUUUCUCCUUUUUGUCUUCUCCACUCAAUCCCCAUCAUCAUAUUCUAUUCCACCCAUAGUGCUAUAUCCAUGGCUCACGCUCAUGUAUUGCGUGAAGGUUGAGAAAGUUUGAGAUUAUUUAAGUAUGAAACAAUUGCUUGGCUUGUCAUCGGGGGCAUAGAAGUUGGGAACAUCUUUGUGUGAUGAAAAUGAAGCAUAGCCUAACUAUAUGAUUUUGUAGGGAUGAACUUUCUUUUGCCAUGUUAUUUUGAGAAGACGUGAUUACUUUGAUUAGUAUGCUUGAAGUGUUACUAUUUCCUUUAUCAAUAUGAAUCAUUCGGAUCUGAAUAUUCAUAUCACAAGUAAGAAGAAUUACAUUGAAAUUAUGCCAAGUAGCACUCCGCAUCAAAAAUUCUUUUUUAUCAUUUACCUACUCAAGGACGAGCAGGAAUUAAGCUUGGGGAUGCUUGAUACGUCUCCAACGUAUCUAUAAUUUUUGAUUGCUCCAUGCUACUUUAUCUACUAUUUUAGGCAAAAUUGGUCUUUAUUAUCCACUUUUAUAUUAUUUUUGGGACUAACCUAUUAACCGGAGGCCCAGCCCAGAUUUGUUGUUUUAUGCCUAUUUCAGUGUUUCGAGGAAAAGGAAUAUCAGACGGAGUCAAAACGGAACGAAAUCAACUAGAGAAGUUAAUUUUGGAAGGAAACCCACCUGAUGGACUUGGACUCCACGUCAGAAGAUACGGGAGGUGCUCACGAGGGUGGGGGGGCGCCCCCGAAGCUCCACCGACGUACCCCUUGCACCCAUAUAUACCUACGUACCCUAAAACUUCUAGAACAGAAGAUAGAUCGGGAGUUCCGCCGCCGCAAGCCUCCAGAGCCACCAAAAACCUCUUGGGAGCCCGUUCCGGUACCCUGCCGGAGGGGGGAUCCUUCACCGGUGGCCAUCUUCAUCAUCCCGGCGCUAUCCAUGACGAGAAGGGAGUAGAUCACCCUCGAGGCUGAGGGUAUGUACUAGUAGCUAUGUGUUUGAUCUCUAUCUCUCUCGUGUUCUCCCUCGUGUUCCCUCUAUGGCACGAUCUUGAUGUAUCCCGAGCUUUGCUAUUGUAGUUGGAUCUUAUGAUGUUUCUCCCCCUCUACUCUCUUGUGAUGAAUUGAGUUUCCCCUUUGAAAUUAUCUUAUCGGAUUGAGUCUUUUAUGAGAACACUUAAUGUAUGUCUUGGUGAUCAACUUGCGGGUUUCGUGACAUUGGGAACCUAUGCAUAGGGGUUGGCACACGUUCUUGACUCUCCAGUAGUAGCUUUGGGGCACUCUUUGAAGUACUUUUAUGUUGGUUGGAUGAAUCUGAGAUUGUGUGACGCAUAUCAUAUAAUCAUGCCCACGGAUACUUGAGGUGACAAUGGAGUAUCUAGGUGACAUUAGGGUUUUGGUUGAUUUGUGUCUUAAGGUGUUAUUCUAUUACGAACUCUUUUAUAGAUCGAUCCGAAAGAAUAACUUUGAGGUGGUUUCGUACCCUACCAUAAUCUCUACGUUUGUUCUCCGCUAUUAGUGGCUUUGGAGUGACUCUUUGUUGCAUGUUGAGGUCUUGUUAUAUGAUCUAUCUAUGUUAUUAUUGUUGAGAGAACUUGCACUAGUGAAAGUAUGAACCCUAGGCCUUGUUUCCUAUCGUUGCAAUACCAUUUAUGCUCACUUUUAUCGCUCGCUCCCUUGCUGUUUUUAUUAUUUCAGAUUACAAAUACCUUUAUCUACCAUCUAUUUUUCACUUGUAUCUUCAUCUCUUCGCCGAACUAGUGCACCUAUACAAUUUACCAUUGUAUUGGGUGUGUUGGGGACACAAGAGACUCUUUGUUAUUUGGUUGCAGGGUUGUUUGAGAGAGACCAUCUUCAUCCUACGCCUCCUACGGAUUGAUAAACCUUAGGUCAUCACUUGAGGGAAAUUUGCUACUGUCCUACAAACCUGUGCACUUGCAGGCCCAACAACGUCUACAAGAAGAAGGUUGUGUAGUAGACAUCAUAAGGCGCUGGGACCAGCAUCUUCGUCAGAAGUGGGUCGGACGUAUCUUCUGGCAGAGGGGCCGGAUAGUAGAUCCGCCCCACCUUCUUUGUCCAUCCCUAGGAGAGUUGUGGAAAACACAUUAAGCAUUUUCGUCAGGAUAUGCGAAUAAAACAUAUGAAUUGCCAACAUACAAUGACUUACCAAACUUGCAGGGCGGGACAGUUGGUACCCACAGUCCUCGGCGGAGUCCGGCCACGAUUUGCUGGACUUAAAGAGCACCUUCCAAAUGUCCUUAUGCAAGGAGCCAAAGAGCUCGAGCAGGGUCUGGUGCUUGGCCGGGUCGAAUUCCCAUAAAUUGCAAGCCUUGUGUUGACAAGCAAGAAUCCGGCGAACUAACAUCACCUGGACUACAUUGACAAGUUUGAUAUUCUUGUCUUCCAUAUCCUUGACGCGCGUCCGGAGCACCGACAGUUUGUCGGACAAGACCAGUUCAGGCCCUUUUUGGGCCAGGACGUAAGCCGCAGGGGGCUCCGGAUCUGAAUUCAGGAGUAGCGGCCCAUUCCGUGCUGCGCGGCUCAGUGAUGUAAAACCACAGCUGCUGCCACUCUUUGACGGAAUCAUUGAAAGUACCUGCUGGCCAUGUGACAUUGGGCAUCUUGCUCACCAUGGCACCUCCGCACUCGGCAUGCUCGCCGCUCACUACCUUGGGCUUCACAUUAAAGAUCUUCAAUCAUAAGCCGAAGUGUGGCGAGAGGCGGAGAAAGGCCUCACACACGACGAUGAAUGUCGAGAUGUUGAGGAAGGAAUUGGGGGAUAGAUCAUGAAAAUCGAUCCCGUAAUAAUACAUGAUGCCGCGAACGAAUGGCCCACGGACAAAAUGAGGGAGGAAUAGAACCCUCUCGUGUGGUUCUAGAGUGGGGACAAUUUGUCCCGCUGUCGGAAGACGGUGGCUAAUUUUCUUGGCCAAAUACCCGGCCUCCCAAAGCUUUUUGAUAUCCUUCUCCCGGACGGUAGAGGCCAUCCACUUGCCUCCUGUUCCGGAUCCGGACAUUUUCGGAAGGCCUUUGUGGGCGGAGAAGACGAACUCUUGGGUGCUGGAGCUCGAGCAAGGGGGAAUGGAUGAGAAGAGGAAGAAGAAGGCGUGGGCGAAAGAGGGGAGUCCUUAUCUCCUUAUAAAGGCAGCAGGGGAUCCUGCGCCUCCCCACUUGCCCGGUAAACUCGCUUAUUCCCCAAGCGUCGCGUUGAUGGCGCGGUUGGGUUACCCACACCCGUAUUGAUGAGAAUCCCGUGAUAAGGAGACACGAUCUCUGCUUCGACAAGACGUGCCAAGGAAAACGCCUCACGAUAUGUGCGGUAGCAGGUUGGAAAAAAGGUUUGCAUAAUGACCGGACCACAUCGUAAUGUCACGCUGUGAAAAGUUGUCAGCAGAUUAGAUUUGUGGAAUAUUCUACUCUCUACAGUGGUAUGUGGAACUUGUUUUGCGGAGCUGGACACGAUCCUUGUGUUUAAAAUCUUCUAUGGAAUAUUCGGAGAAGGAACCCGCCUUGCAAUGCCGAAGACAAUCUGUGCGCCGGACUCAUCGUCAUUGAAGUCUGGUUCAGGGGCUACUGAGGGAGUCCUGGAAUAGGGGGUCCUCGGACAGCCGGACUAUAUACUUUGGCCGGACUAUUGGACUAUGAAGAUACAAGAUUGAAGACUUUGUCCCAUGUCCGGGUGGGACUCUCCUUUGCAUGGAAGGCAAGCUUGACAAUCCGGAUAUGUAGAUCUCCUUCUCUGUAACCGACUCUGUGUAACCCUAGCCCCCUCCGAUGUCUAUAUAAACUGGAGGGUUUAUUCCGUAGGACAAGAACAAUCAUAAUCAUAGGCUAGCUUCUAGGGUUCAGCCUCUACGAUUUUGCGGUAGAUCAACUCUUGUAAUACUCAUAUCAUCAAGAUCAAUCAAGCAGGAAGUAGGGUAUUACCUCCAUCGAGAGAUCCCGAACCUGGGUAAACAUUGUGUCCGCCGCCUCCUGUUACCAUUAGCCUUAGACGGACAGUUCGGGACCCCCUACCCAAGAUCCACCGGUUUGGACACCGACAGCCAUCUUCAUCAUCCCGGCGGCCACCAUGAUGAGGAGGGAGUAGUCCACCCUCGGGGUUGAGGGUUUGUACCAAUAGCUAUGUGUUUAAUCUCUCUCUCUCUCUCUCUCUCUCUCUCUACCGUGUUCUUGAGAUGUCACGAUCUUGAUGUAUCGCGGGCUUUGUUAAUAUAGUCGGAUCAUACUGUGUUUUCCCAUCUCUAUCUUGUUGUGAUGAAUUGAGUUUUUCCCUUUGAGAUUUCGUUGUUAUUGGAUUGAGUACUUUUAUGCAUUUGAGAACACUUGAUAUAUGUCUUGCAAUUGAAUACUCGUGGUGACAAUGGGGUAUCGUAUUGAUUUACUUGAUAUAUGUUUUGGCACUCAACUUGCGGAAUCCCGAGGUGACAUUGGGGUAAUUGAUGCAUAGGGGUUGAUGCAAGUUCUUGUCUUUGUUUCUCUGGUAGAAAUCUUGGGGCACUCUUUGAAGUUCUUUGGGUUGGAUUGAGUAUUAUGAAUAUGAAUUUGCUUUGGUGUUAUUUUACUACGAACUCUAGGAUAGAUUGGACGGAAAGAAUAGAUUUGUGUUAUUUUAGUACGAACUAUUGAAUAGAUCGAACGGAAAGAGUAGCUUUGAGGUGGUUUCGUACCCUACAAAUAAUUUAUUCUUAUGUUCUCUGCUAGAUAGGAACUUUGGAGUGAUUCUUCAUCGCACUUUGAGGGAUGGUUAUAUGAUCCAAUUAUAUUAGCAUUGUUGAGAGAUUGCACUAGCGAAGUAGGGACCCUAGGCCUCAUUUUACAUCAUUGCAAUACCAUUUGUGCUCUGUUUUAUCGUUUACUACCUUGCUGUUUUUAUUGUUCGCACUACAAAAACUCAUAUCUACUAUCCAUACUACACUUUUAUCAUCAUCUCUUCGCCGAACUAGUUCACCUAUACAAUUUGCCAUUGUAUUGGGUGUGUUGGGGGACACAAGAGAUUUCUUGUAUUUGAUUGCAUGGUUGCUUGAGAGAGACUAUCUUCAUCCUAUGCUCCCACGGAUUGAUAAACCUUAGGUCAUCCACUUGAGGGAAAAUUGCUACUGUCCUACAGACCUCUGCGCUUGGAGGCCCAACACGAGUCUACAAGAAUAAAGUUGCAUAGUAGACAUCACAUAUUGAAAGGACUCCCGAUGGACACUCUAUUGUCGUAUGGACGUGUGCACGGCGUCGGAGACGGCACCACGUGGAAGAAGUACUACCGUGAGACCACAGAGGAAAGAAAGGAAAGACGAAGGUUAAAUGAAGAAAACAUCCGCAAGAAGGUUGCUGUCGCAAAACAGGAGGUUGCAGCUUCGUAUAGUGUCUUGGUUCCGGCUAUCGACAGUUGGACCAAGAAAAAUACAAAUAAGGAUGCAGCGGACUUUCCCCUUUCCAACUUCUUGGGGAGGAGCUCCACUAGCGUUGCACCAGCACCUGCUACCGCACCUGCUUCUACAGUGGCUCCCGCACAUGCUCAUAACAGCCUGUCCUCCUUCUCGGAAGUGCUCGACGGUGCUUCGUCUUUAGCUGAGCUCGACGUCCUCACGGUACCUGUCACAACGACCCUCUUCAAUAUAUGUAUAAUCUCCCGUUUCCAUCGCCUUUUAGAUGCCUCACGUUGCAUACAUGUCUUUGCAGGCCGAUGUAACCCCGUGUACCAUACUUUACACCAUUAGCGGCCCGAAGCUGGACGUGGGGAAGGCGGCGAUAAUGCAGCCGAAGGAAGAAUUGUUCCACAACCGACCGAUCCCCCUGACGUCUUCAAGGUUUCCGUGGCCAGUGUUGAACCGGGCCACGAGAAUUUGGCUCCUCCGGUAGCACUAGGGGGAGAUGACGAUGAGACCCCGCGGCGGCUUGGCGAUUGCAAUCGUUGGGUCCUGUUGUGGCCGAAGAGUCUGCUUCGUGUAGAGGCGGCCGGGAGCACACCCACGACCAAGCAACCUCAGCAAGGUGUGAACACCAACACCCCACCUACCAAAUUAGCGUCUCCUAUUGUGCCGGGUGAGGAAGAGGCUCCAGUAAUGGCUGAUGAUGUCACCACCGUAGAAGAAGCAAUGCAUGAUGCCAUCGACGAGGAUGACGAUGACCCUCUAUAGUAUCUCCAUACCGGCACCUCUAACGAUGGAGGAUUGAUGGCUUAGCAGUAUGAGUAAUCAGGGUUUGAGAGUGAUGAGUUGGUGCCUGAAUUGCUGGAGGAUGAACGCAUUAUAGGCUCACUUCUAGUAGGAAAGAAGCAUAGGAAGAGAACGAUGAAAGCCAACAAAGCUCCUUCUAUGAUCUAGCAGGCUCGGGAUAAAGACUGUAUCCCUAUCCCCGAUGCGGCAAAAUGUCAUAUCCCCGGUGAUCCGAUUCUACCUAAGGCAGCGGUAGAGGGCAUAUACGACGAUCUAAGGAGACUUCAUGACGAUGUGCUGUAGAGAGAGAAAAGCCUUGUACAUGGUUAUCGUGCGGCAGCAAAGGUUGUACGUCAACACAUUCCCCACGGAAAAGUUCUUCCUUCGAUUCAAUUACAUCUUCGACAUGUUUCACUUGAAAAAGCUGGAUUUUACGUUUGUUCGCCUUUUUGCCUUGCACAUGAACCACUUCAUCAGGAUUGAGCAGAUACCUUAUAUCUGUGUCACUGACCCAUACUUCAUGCACGAGGGCUUCUUGGCAGUCUGUCCAGAGCACCGUGAAUAUGUGAGUAACUACAUCACCGAUUUCAUGGUCACCAAUAAGGACAAGGAGACGAUUCUCGUGCCUUAUCAUCCCAUAUAAGUCAUCCGCGGAUAUCUUUCCUUCGAUUUCAAUCAUUCAUUUGCACGCGUGGAGGCUAAUUUGAGGUGUACUUAUUUUGCGCAGCGACGGGCGCACCGUCCUCAUCAUCCUUUACCCCCGAUUCUCCCACGCUCUUUACUUGGACUCAUCGAAGAACAUGAAGAAAAAGGAUUACACCCACAUCAAGUUUGUUCUCGACAGUGCUAUCUUGAGCUAUGGCCUACGGGGUGGAGAGAUCAAGACCAGGAAGUCAAGGAACCACACGCCCGCCUUCGGCCAUAAGACCGACUUCUGCUGCAUCCAGCAACCGAGUGGUACUAUUAGUGAUGGGUUUUAUGUCCUCCACCACAUGCUGGAGUACAGAAGGGAACAACAAAACCUUCGCGUGUCACCUAGAUCCGGCGAUGCCCAUAUUCUAUAAUAGGCAAAGAACAUAGGAGAUAUCCCAGAUCAUCGACUUCGAGCUGAGUUCUAUCACGUCCAGCGUGAACUUGCCCAAAUCAUCAUGAAGGAGGUCAUCAAAAAAACAGGGAUGUUCUACGAAGAAGGGCAAAUGUCGCGGGAAGACAUCGGAACACGCGUAUCGGCUCAGUGUCUUGACCUGAAGCCUUUCACUAUGCUAAGGGACUAUCUCCCUGACUUGGAUGGAUGGCAUGACAUGUUGGAGUGAUUGACGAUAUAUGACAAAGUGUCCAUUUAGUCCUUUGUUUCUCUAGACGAAACUUUGAGUUAUGCACAACGAAACUUUAUUUGUGAUGUAAUUAAACCGUCCUCCUCAACUGGCAAAGUUCACUCUAGUUACGGCACUUUGGGUACAAUGAACUUUGUUAUUUAUGCUUAUGAUAUGUUACUUCUAUUUUUGCCAAGUCUGACUCUUUCUGUUGCUCAACUAUAUAUGUUGCAUAUCAUCGACUCAUGUGACAAUGCAGGUGCAUAGAUCAUCGAUGGCGAAGAAGUGCUACGCCAAGAGUAUACGAAGAGUGGCCGGAGUGUCAUGCCCAAGUGUACCGGUUUUUGAGCGAUAGCCAGUAGUUAGUUUAGGUUCACGCUAGUGCGAGAGAGGGAUAUGAACCGACGCCUCAAGAAGUACUACAUUAUGUAUGAUGAGACAUGUCAUGUAACUUGUAGCUACAUCAUGAUUAUGAUGUGAUGACAUGAUUUGUGUUGGAUGAUAUGAUGAGACUAUUAUGUGUAUGAUAUGAUGAGCAUAUUGCAUGUUUAUGAUAUGAUUAGAAUAUUGUAUAAAACCUGUAAAAAACAUCGCAAAUAUGCAAAAAUAUAUAUAUGAGAAAAUAUAGUAGUAGCGCUCUUUAGCGCUGGACAAGAAAACACUACUGCUAAAGCACUUAGCAGUAGCGCUGGUAUGGAAAGCGCUACUGCUAAGUAGGUAUAGCAACAGCACGUGUCAAACUGCGCUACUGCUACAUGUUAGCUGUAGCACCAUAUCAGUAGAGCGGUUCCCCGCGCUACUGAUAGCCCUUAGACCCGCGCUACUACUAGGCUUUUCCCUUUGUUUUCGUGGAUAGAUAAGUAUGUAAGUGUUGUUUUUAACUUUUUCCUUGGUUUCUCUUGUAAAUAUUUUUGCUUCCUUUUGUUUUCAUGGAAUCAAGGACUAUAGAGCUGUUGCUCCAUAGUAGUUACAAAAACCCUAGGUUUUUCUUUAUUUUCACUAGUACCAUUACAAUCCUUCACAAAUAGCUCAGGCAAAAGUUCCAUAAUAAGUAUUGAAUGCUGUCGCUAUAUCGAGUUCAGUUAGAUUCUUAUUAUACUGACCAACAAAACUUCUUUAGCAAGGGUCUAUGAGAAGAAUAUGUUUCAUGAGACUGGCUUUUCUACUCCCGGGGGUCGGGAUACCCUACUAUCCCGUUCGUUCGUUGUACUUGUCUUGCCUCGCGAUCCGUACCCUGGUCUGCCAUCCUAUUUUGAUUUGCAGGCCUAGGUGUACAGUAAUAGGAGCAUCUCUGAUAUGACGUCGUACAUACACACUGAGCCAUCUGCACCUGUGUGCGGGAUACAUAUUGUUUAGCAUAAAAUUUUCUCUUCACAUGCAAAAAGUGUUCUGUCGUUCUGCUAGCCUGGUCGACCACUGUUGACGUUUGGGAUUCAAACCUGUGCGGAGCAUAAAUCUACUGCAAGUAACUAUUUGUCAUAAGUCUACGCCGUGUGAAGCAUCUUGCUAGUAGCAUUUUUGACUUAUUAGUUACGGUCAACUACAGGUAACACAGUAACUAGUCUAGGGAAGUGGGUCCGUCCCAUAGGGUGACGGUUGGCUCUCGUCCGGGAUUUCUGGAGGCGAUCAGGGAGGCGAUCACGUCCGUGUCUUGCCGGGCUAGGGUUCUUCGAGAUCCGUCGUGCUAGGUCUCCCUGGCGUUCUUUGCGCCGGUGUGAGCCCAUCCAAAUCCGAGUCCUGUCCACCAUACUCCUUCUCCGCGUGGCCCUAGGGCGCAGGGUCGUAAAACACUUUUCCUAGGAGGUGCUUGGAGGGAGCAGGAGGGUAGUCAUGGCGGUGGAGGGAGUAGCUGGGCUGAUGAAGGGGUUGAAGUUGACGGAGGAGGAGAAGAAGGGAGUCAAGGUUCGAAUCUCAUCCGUGGGGAAGGGCAAGGAGUCGGCUCCGCAGGCUGUUGGCAAGGUAAUGUCAGAAAAAUUGGCGCACCGAGACGCGAUCUGCCUCUCUCUUGGCAAGGUUUGGUGCCCGAUUAAAGGGAUCGACUGCAGGGAGAUUGGGGCCAACCAGUUCCUAUUCACUUUCCACCAAGAGUCGGGGAAGCAUAAGGCGAUCGAGGAUGGACCAUGGAUGUUUGCUAAGGAGCUGGUAGUGGUUGAGGAUUAUGUGCCCAAUAAAAGGCCAGAAGACUACGCUCACAACAACAUCCCCAUCUGGGUUAGGGUUUAUAACCUACCCCUCGGUAUGAUGAACGAAGAAGCUGCAAAGGACAUAGGGAACACCAUAGGCGUGUAUGUGGAGGCAGAUACUAGACCAGAUGGGAAAGCUUUUGGAAGGUUUCUUAGAGUCAAAAUCAGGAUGCAGAUCGAUAAGCCAUUGAUGAGGGGUUUUACCCUAGAUGAAGAAGCUGUAGGGGGAGAGGAAGGGGACAAUGGGAAGGCCGACAUGGUGAGUAGUGAUGGCGAGGAGGAGAAGGGCUGGUGUCGGUUGGAGUAUGAGUUCUUGCCGGAUUUUUGCUAUACUUGUGGGACUAUCGGCCAUGGAGACAAAGAUUGUACCAUCAAACUUAUGAAGGGAGAGCAAGCCCAAUUUGGUCGAUGAUUGAGAGCGGAUGUAGGCCAACGUAGAGGGGGAAUGGAGGAGAGGCUAUGGAGGGAUGGAGGGAGAGGUUUAAGCGGAACCCGUAACUUUGGCUUUAGUAGAUCGAGCGGGAGAUCUAGUGGAGGAAGUGAUAGUCUAUCUUGGAGGAAGAAUGACUCUCGGUCGGGUGGAGGGGAGGAAGAGAAGAAUGGGAAGAGUGGGAAGGAGGAUGAAGUUACUAGCCCGAUCAAAAAAUUUCUGUUACUGUUGAAAAAGGAGCCGCGAGGAAACUAGUGCUUGACCAGAGCGCAAUGGUGGUACAUGCUGGCUCGGGAAGUCAGAUAGAGAAGGCCAUAGCCAAAUCUGAUGUUCAUGGCGAGGCUUCGCAGGAGGGGGUGAAGGUACUCGGCGGCUGGUUAUGAAUAAGGAGGCGAGUGGCAGUGACAAACUUCCAGGUGGUAAGAAGUACAGGAAGAAAGGCAGGGAGGGCAGGGAGAGGGUCGUAGGUGGGGAAGGCCAGAGGGUGGUUGCGAUCUCAGGAGAGAAGAGGGACAUAACUAAUGAAGAAGAAGAAAAGCUCAGUAAGAAGGGAAGGGUUCAGGAGAUGAGUCAGGAGGGUAACCUGGCGACGGACACCGCAACGAUCGCUGCUAAUGAAAUCACAUCAGCCGAGCUGCAGGAGCAGUCCUGCCGGGAGCUAUGAAACUGAUCGGAUGGAACAGUCGGGGGCUUGGGAAUGGCCCGACAGUUCGCAGCCUCCUCGACUUGGGGAGGGCGGAGGAUCCCGACGUUCUGUUUUUGGCGGAUACGAAGCUAUCGGUGAAGGAGUUGGAGAGGUUCCGUUGGUCAUUGGGUAUGGUUAACAUGUCUGCAUGGAACCCAGUGGGGAGGAGUAGAGGGGUGGCGCUGUUUUGGAGGAGAGGGUUGGAUGUUGCCUUAAGAUCUUAUGGUCGGAGGCAUGUGGAUGUGGAUAUCACGGAAGAAGAUGGUCGGGUCUGGAGGUUAACAGGAAUAUAUGGUGAAUCUGAAUCGGAAUGCAAGGUGGAGACGUGAAGGCUCUUAAAAAUCCUUGGACAGCAACACCAGGACGGACGCCCCUGGCUUUGUUGGGGUGAUUUCAAUGAAAUCCUAACUUGUGAUGAGAAAAUUGGUGGGGCUGACCGAAGUCAAAGACUUAUGGAUAAUUUCAGAGAGGCGCUCGAGGCGUGCGACCUUAGUGACUUGGGAUAUGAGGGAGAUAGAUUUACGUGGAGGAACCACAGCAAGAGGGUGGAUACAUAUAUUUGUGAAAGGCUUGAAAGAGCGACAGCAAAUGCAUCUUGGUGCAAGUGGUUUCCGGAGUUCACAGUCAUAAACGGCUCUCCACGACACUCCGACCACCGACCGGUUAUCGUAUGUACACAAGGCGCUAUCAGGAGGCAGGGGGGAGGAGAUUGUAGUUUCCGUUUCGAAGCGUGGUGGCUCCGGGAGGAAGGGUGUAGUGCGGAGGUGCAGGGGGCAUAGGAGGAAGGUUGUAUGAUGGGCCAUGGGAAUGUGGCUUCUGCCAUGAAGAAUGUGGCUGGUAGGAUGAGGAGAUGGGGUAAGGAAGUGGCGGGAGAGCUUGAAGGAAGACUUAGGGAUACUAGGAGAGCAUUGGAGAGAUGCAUGAGGGCACCGGUCUCGGCAGAAAAAGUGAGGGAGGAAGGGAGGCUGCGAGGAUUGCUGGAGGAGCUGGAAGGCAAGAAGAACACCAAAGCUAGGCAGCAUUCACACGCCACGUGGCUGAAGGAUGGAAAUAAGAGCACAAAGUAUUUCAUGGCUGUAGCUUCUGCAAAACGGAAGGCGAAUAGAAUCAAGAAGUUGAGGAGGGAAGAUGGCAUGGAAGUGAAGGAGGGGAGGAACUAAAUGACUAUGUUUGCUCUUUUUCCAGGACCUUUUCACUACCGCCGGAGUCAACCGUUUUUCUGAACUUAUUGAUAAAGUUCAGCCCCGUCUUACGGCAGCUAUGAGGGCGAUUCUGGAGGCAGAAGUUACCAGGGAAGAAAUUAAAGAAUCCCUUGAUCACAUAGGGGACCUUAAAGCCCCUGGGCCGGACGGCAUGCCCUCGGUGGUCUAUAAGAAACAUUGGCAUUUCAUGGGGGAGAAAGUUAUAGAGGAGGUCAUGGCUGUUCUCAAUGGUGGGGCCAUGCCGGAGGGAUGGAAUGAUACAACUGUGGUCCUGAUUCCUAAAGUGAAAUGCCCAAGCAGGAUCAAGGAUCUCCGGCCGAUAAGCUUAUGCAAUGUUAUAUACAAAUUGGUCUCUAAGGUCAUCGCCAACCGUCUCAAAAUUAUUCUCCCAGACAUUAUCUCUUCCAACCAAAGCGCCUCUUUGUCCCCGGGAGAAUGAUAACGGACAAUGUUCUAGUGGAGUAUGAACGGUCACACCAUCUCCUUAAUAAGAAGAGAGGAAAAGAGGGAAUAGUUGCUGUCAAGGCGGAUAUGAGUAAAGCUUACGAUAGAGUCGAAUGGGAUUUCCUCAGAGCUAUGCUGACCAAGCUGGGUUUUGGGACUAGGUGGAUAGAUCUGGUCAUGUCAUGUGUUUCUUCUGUUCGCUACCAGAUUAAAGUGAACGGCGAAUUAACCGAACAAUUUUCACCAUCCAGGGGUUUAAGGCAAGGAGACCCUGCCUCGCCCUAUCUUUUUGUCAUAUGUGCGGAGGGCCUCUCGGCUCUCUUGCAUGAUGCGGAGGGGAGUGGGAGGAUCAGUGGUGUUAGAGUAUGCCAGGGGGAUCCAGUGGUUUCACAUUUGCUCUUCGCGGAUGACUCGCUCCUCCUUUUGAGAGCUAAGCAGGAGGAAGCCCAGGAACUGCGUAGGGUGCUUGAUCUCUAUGAGGCCUGCUCGGGGCAGUGCAUAAACCUUGAGAAAUCGGCCGUGAUGUUCAGCCCAGACACUGCAGAUGGGAUUCGUGAUGCUGUCAAAGACUCGCUGCAGAUCCAAACUGAAGAAUGGAAUGACAAAUAUCUGGGGCUGCCAGUUCAUGUGGGCAAGUCUCGGGAGAAGGCUUUUGCUUUCGUUAAGGGCGCGAUGGCUGGCCGGGUUUACGGAUGGAAGGAACGACUCAUUGCAAAGGCCGGAAAGGGCACCUUAGUAACUACAGUUGCCCAAGCUAUACCUACCUUCGCCAUGUCGUCUUUCGAUCUAACAAAAUCUUUCUGCGAAGAACUUGGCUCGUUGCUCGGAAACUAUUGGUGGAGUCAACAAGAUAAGGAGAGCACCAUCCACUGGAUCGGCUGGAAAACACUUACGCUGCCAAAGGCCCAGGGAGGUCUCGGCUUCCGGGGUAUGCAUGGGUUCAAUAUCGCCAUGCUGUCCAGACAGAUUUGGCGCCUCAUUCAGCACCCGGACUCCUUAUGUGCGCAAGUGUUACGUGCUCGAUACUACCCGAACGAUCAAAUCCUCACGGCUGUACCGGGAGUUGGCAUCUCCUACUCGUGGAGAAGUUUGCUACACGGGCUCCAGCUUUUCAAAGAAGGUUAUAUAUGGAGAUUAGGAGACGGCACCAAAGUCAACAUCUGGUCGGAUCCUUGGAUACCUAGGCCUUGGUCGCGCCAGGUUAUUACUGCUAGGGGUCCUAAUCUUCUGGAAAGAGUAUGUGAUCUUAUCGAUCCGUUAACUGGCCAGUGGGACAAGCUGCUCAUGAGGGAUACGUUCUGGCCUGAUGAUGUUAAACACAUUCUCCAGAUUCCGUUGAGAGAGGGGGCACAAGAUUUUAUUGCUUGGCACUACGACAGCAAAGGUACCCAUUCAGUCAAGUCGGCUUACAAACUGUUUGGCCACCUAGAAAAAGCGAGGAGGACAGGAGGAGUGGGUGGCAGCAACACGGAUCCGGGGAUGCUUAACAGAGUGGAGGAUGAUUCGUGGAAACGGAUAUGGAAACUACCUUGCCCAAAAACCCUACAGAUGUUCACUUGGCGCAUUAAGCAUGACUCUCUUGCACUCGGGACUAAUGUGGCCCGACGUGGUAUCCCCAUUGCUGACACGAAGUGCCUGUUUUGCGGUAAGGCAGAUGAAGACGGGGCUCACCUAUUUAUCAAGUGCAAGAUGGUCAAGGCUGGAUGAAGGGAGCUAGCCAUGGAGAGCGAGCGGGUUGCUCUUGAACGUAUCACGUCCGUGCAUGCAACCAUGGAGUUCUUAUGGGGGCUGGACCUAAAACAUCGUCUUCUAGUUCUCACCUUCUGGUGGUUAUGGUGGACCAACAGGAAUAAACUUCGAGAAGGGAACAUGCCUACAGCGGCCGACGAGCUGCUAGGAGGGCGAGAAGCAAUGUAAGCGACUACAUGCAGAUCUUUGUGGCUAAUGCACCCAAGAUCCCUCCUGACAAGUGGCGACCCCCAACCAACGGUGAAUAUAAGAUCAACGUCGACGGCUCCUUCAUCCCGGGUCAGAACCAUGCUGGGUGAGGGGUCGCAGUGCGAUCAUCUGAGGGUCUUCUGCUUUGUGCACGGGCAGGAUGCCAGGAGAAUGUACUCGAUGUUUUCGCUGCUGAAUCACAAGCCAUGUCUCAAGCAAUAAACUUGGCAGCAGAGCUAGGCAUGGUCAGGCUGCAGUUUGAGACCGACUCACAACUACUAGCUGAAGCCCUGGAACUGGGGAACGUGGACUCUUCGGCUUAUGCAGCGGUGAUCGAAGACAUGAAAUACCACCUAAAACUUUGGUUCUCUAAGGUCUCGAUUUCGGUUUGUAGGAGUGCCAACUCCGUAGCUCAUGAGUUAGCUAAUCUUGAACGUGUGUCCCUAACCACUAUAUUCAGUGGGAGUCCGAUGUACCUGCCCAUGUGGGCGCUUGUGUCUUGGGUGAUAUGCCCAGCCACCGUUGAGUAAUAAAGCUUUGGUGCUUUCAAAAAAAAACAAAAAAAAAACUACAGGUAACACAGUCUACACGUCCUUAGAUAUCCCUGACAUCAACUAUUCACAUACACACAGUGCCCUGACAACCCCUGCUGCUACACGAGGACGAGUCCCAAGCAGGCAGUCGCUGCAUGGCGAAGAGAAAACAGUGGCCAUGUGACUACAGCGACAUGAACUACCGACUCUGUCCAUGUCUGAUAUUUCAACAGUACAGCCGCAUGUGUCCGGUCAGGCCUACUUCUAUGCCCUAGCUGUCCCUAGAGCCUAGAGGCACGGCCAUUAGCACCGACGAAUUGCCUGGAUAAGCCAGCUGCAGUUGCUAAUCCUCUGCUGUUCGGCAGAACAUGGCACGAAUCUCUAGCAGGUGAACGAUCAGAUAAUGGGGUGUCGGGACCCCCGGUGCCAUCACACCUUUCCGUUCAUUCUAUUCUACUAGCAAAAACCGAUGAAGAUUAUGGUAAUUACAUGGAAAAGAAACCAUAAUUUUUUUGUAUUUUUUUAACUCAACUUUUUGUAUUGCUAUAAGUAAAGAAACUAAAAUUUGUAAUUGCCAAUCAGGAAAUCUUAAUGUCAAAUGCUGAAUUCUUCCACCAACUAGCUGUGAGACAUAUCCAUUGCAGUGCCAAAUAAAGAAGGUUUGCUGACAAUCAACAGCAGGACAAUGGUCCGCUUGUUGUAUAUAAUAAAUGUCACAGUGGUGUUGUAUAUGUGUAGCCGGUGCUAGAAUUUACAUUUUUUUGAAAAGGAGGUUAAACCCCCGGCCUGCAUCAAUCGAUGCAUACAGCUAUGUUUAUUAGACAAGAAAAUACAUCAAGCCACCCGAAACCACCACUCACACCUACAAAUUCGAUAAUGUGGAGUGCUUUCACCUCCAUAUCUAAAACCGGUGUUGUCGCCGAACCAUCCACAUAAUGUAUCGGGACCAACAACCGGUGUAACAGACCUAAAGCAUGCACCACAUGCACAUGUUUUAGAAGUCAAACGCCACCAUCAUCCUUGGACCGCUGACCCAUCUUCAAGAUAGAGAUCAGCAUCAUCCUUGUUAGUCCAGACAUCGCCGACGCCGCCACCGCCCCCGCGCGCAUUCAUCAAGACGCGAAGACUGUGAAAGAUCUAUCGUGCGUAGCACCUGCCGACCAAGCAUGACACAACGUAGCACUUGUCAGCCAGGCAUGACUUGACAUCUCCGCUGAAGCUCCGUGCAAGACUUUGCCGCUCCACCUCAUGCCUCUAUCUUCCUGCGCUGCUCCACAAACGAUGCGCCCAAGAGAGUAACGACACCACAGUACCGCCAUCGUCCGAUCUGGAUGACCAAAUCUUAGUCUUUCCCCCGAAGCAGCACGACUGGGUUGACAGAAGUUACACCACGAUGCCUUCAUCAAGGUAAUGACGCAAGAAGCCGCCAUCGCCCGCCACCGGCUCUGUUUUCACCGGCAACUCUGUCUCCCCAACUCGCAGCUGGGAUUAGAUGACGGAUCUAGAGAUCCAACCACCCAGCCUCAGGCUGACCAUCUCCGGCGAAGGAGACGACCACCACCGCCACGCCCAGGCCGGGCCGGAGCCCCCGACGUCCUCGUGAUGCGGGUCGAUCCCAGGGGUAGCCUGCCGUUGACAGGAUGUUAUACGACAUCAGCAAGUGUGACCCGCCCGAAGCCCAUCUGGACCCAGAUCGGGUGCCCAAGCCGCUGCUGUUGGACUAGUCGUCGAAUGCCGCCUGCCUGGCCGCCACCGCCCCGCACCACUGCUGUAGAUCCGACCAUCACGGACCGCCGCCGUCCUGACCGAGUCUUUGGCGAGGAGAAACGCCGCCACCACCAAUGCGGCACACAGGCUUUGCCUGCGACGCCCCUGGCGGCGGCGGCAGGGAGAGGGUGUGCGCUGGAGUGAACGGGAGACGGACGGCGGGGGCGCUCUGGUGCAGCGCGGCGGCGGCACAAGGGAGCGGGUAGGGUUAGCAGCGGAGCCCCGAGCCCCUCUCGACUUCAGUAUAGAUUUUUCGCUAGAAUUUACAUAUGCAUGCUCCACAACCUAUGUUCGUACAAACACAGAUCAUAUGGAACGAGAAAUAUGCUCUGGUCGGAAAGCAGAGUCGUGGACAAAAGUGAAGUUCACAAAUGACCAUCAUACAUAGGCCAUUGUUUCAACUUGUAGUUUAGGCCUUGCCGGACUCCUCGCAACCUGGUGGCCUGAAGGCGAUGAAGCUGACGCACUGCACCUGGCGCAGGUUGUCGAAGCCGAUGACACGGACAUAGGCAUCAGGGUACUCCUUCUUGACCUCCUCCACCUCGUUGAGCACCUGCGUGGCGUCGGUGCACCCGAACAUAGGCAGCUUCCACAUUGUCCAGUAUCGACCGUCGUAGUACCCGGGAGAGCUGUUGUGCUCACGGAAGACGAAGCCAACCUUGCUGAACUCGAGGCAGGGCACCCACUUGGAGCGGAUCAGGUAGUCUACCUGCUUUAGGAGGGCCUCUGUGGAGAGGGGUGGCAAGUAAGACAGGGUCUCGAACUUCUUGAUACCCUCAAUCGGCCACACCUGAAUGGAUGGAAAUUAUGGAAUGCACACAACUGCUUAACACUUGGUGCUAGUAAAUUGUACGUACUGAGGAAGAAACUCAUAUCAGUUUUGUGCCUCUGACAUACCUGCAUGCACCUGAUCCUUCCGCCAUUGCUGACGCGGCCGAGGCUGCCGCUGGAGCGGCGGCUGACGGGCAGACCGGCUGUGGACUUGAGCCCCUGGAAGGGUGCGACGGUGGUAGCCGACGAAGCCAUCACGGCGGGGGCCAUGGUAUUGUAUUAUCGGAGGAGAGGAGGAUGCCGGCUACAGGUGAGGCCCCCAUUGCCGGGUCACUACGGUAUAUAUAGCCAGACACUUAGCGCCGUUUCUUUGGUACAGAUGUGGUUGGGGUGGCUGACGUUCUCUGGUUGCCUCGUUUCCUUAUCUUCUCCGGAUCAGUGGAAGAAGCAUGGCCGUCGGAUGCAUUGUGUGUGCUGGAAAUUUCAGUCCUUCAUGUCAUUGGGUGGCUGCCACACAACCUUUUUCCAGCUUUUCUUGUUUUUGGUUUCAUUUGAAGCCAAAAGUUUCUUGAGUACAAAUUUUCUGAGAUGCGACUUGAGUGGUGGUGUGGGCAAAAUAUUUUACAUUUUAUCAUAAGAUCUGAUGGCUCACUCCCUUGAAAGUAUGCCUAUAGGCAUAGAGUGUGCGUGUGUGCAUUUAUAGGGGGUGUUAUACAUGCGCGUAUGCGAAUGUCUACUUUUGUACACCGUUUCUCAAAAUAAAAUAUAUGUUUUGUUGGUACAAUUAAUUGACCUAGCAUAGUAACCUCCACACGUAGAACAAGUUCUUUCCCCUCUCGCAAGGUAACUAUUGAAAGCUUUCCACCCCUCUAUAUCCGCCAGUGAGCCUGUGGAUCCGCCUCCCCUCUGCGGGAAGGGGGAUUCCUGGUGCCUCGGCUCUGGCUAAUAAACAAGUAGAAUUUUAGUCCUCAUGGGUGAGGUGCUUGGACGGAUGGCGGUCUUUCUUCUUCGAGCCAAUCUUUCGGGAUCCUAUCCUCUUCAAGUUCCUCUGUCGGGGGAGCUCCGACGUAGACUCCUGCCAGUUCCUCAGGCGGUGAGGUUAGGAUUUCUCAUCAUGCGUACGCACAAUGAGAUUUGGUGUCAGGUUCUUUAAAUCGAUUCAGGGAUUCAACAGCGAUGGCUGCGGCUCCGGAGCACUGGUCCUUAGGGGCAUGUGCAUGGAGACUUCCUGACUGUCAUCGACAAAGUCAAGGUAGCUCUAGAGUGGGAGCAACGACAACGGUGCAUUAGUGGCUUGUCUCUGUGCGUAGGAACGAAAAGAAAGCCCUAUAUCUCAAAUUUUUGACAACUCUCCGUGACAAUGGGCAUAACUUAUUUUAAACAUCAGUGGGUAGGAACAAAAAGCUCUAUAUGUCAACUAUUAACAUGUAUGGCUAAAUAUGUACCUUGCAUUAUAGGAUAUGGCAAUCGAUCAAAAAGGUGGGCAGUCUCUCACGUAACAUUGUCUCUCAAGUAGGGCUGCAAAUGAGUCGAGUUCGAGCGAGUUGGACUUGCCUCAGCUCAACUCAUAUUAAAAUUCGAGCGAGCUCAAACUGAGUGAAGCUCAAGGUCAAGUUGUAGAACGUGACUCAUGCUUAACUUGUAAGAUCUUGAGUCGAUCUCGAGCUAGUUUCGAGUUAAAUGAGAUGAUAAAAUCUAUUAAAUUUAUGACUAUUAUUCCAACUAGAUAAGCACAACACGACAUAAAAAGGCACAAAAAAUAUUUUUUCAAUCAGAACAAUGAUAAUACAAUUUUCUUUUGAAAUGAUACAAAUUUUGUUAGAAGUAGUUUAACUUAUUCUAUCACAACCGAAAGUCUAGUAUCAACUAAGAUAACGAUUCACGAAGGUGCAUAUGCUAGGAACUUUUAGCAGAAACAACAGAAUAUUUAACACAUGACCGACCAUGUACCAUAAAAAAGCCUAAAUUUUCUCUACAACUAAUUAAGCUUCGAUGUCUGUUUGUAAACAAAAUGGUGAAAAAUCCAGGAUGACACAUAUGGUAUUAAAUUAUCGUAUUUUCAUUUAUUAUAUGGAAUGAUCAUUUAACAUAAUGAUAUUAGGCCGAGCUAUCGAGCUAAAAUCGAGCGAGCCAGUAUUGGCUCAAGAUCGGCCCAUUUCUUGAAUGAGCUAUAGAAAGUGUUCGUACUCAACUCGUUUCUUUUCAAGUUGAGUCAAAAAACGAGUUGAUCUCGAGCCGCUAUCGAGCCUCAAGCUUUUCUUACAACCUUACUUUCAAGCAGUGUCAUGUUGACACAACUCAAUCAUCCUACUUCUCAUCCCAUAUCAGCGGCGGAUAACGAAAAGACAUUAAUAUCAAAAGGCCUGGACCGAAGGUAAUAAGUUCUAUGGACAACCGCGAUCCCUAGAAUAAUUAUGUUCCUCUCAUGAUAUUGAUGCCCUGUCACCUGGAGGUCUCUCGAUUUGCACGCCUCUCUCCCAUAGCCAACGAUUACUCAAAUAACAUCACAUAUAAAAGAGUUUAAGAGUUGUUACAACCCAUUAGGGAGACCGUGAUGGGGGGACGAGAAGGGGUAUGGGUGAGGACGGAGUGGCGACGGCAGCGCUUCUCCGGCAUUGCCUCCUUCAAGGUUGCAAUGAUAGAGAUGGAGGCUUGGCACAACCCUCAAGUGUUUUUUGAUAUCGAUGGAGCUGGACGUAUGGAUUGUGUCCCCGAGUGGCUAGGGUUGGAGGUGUAUUUAUAAGAACUCUCCAAAGCCUCCUUCGUUGAUGUAGCAUCUCUACUUUGCUCCAAGUGCUCUAGGUGAGCCCAAUCUUUUCCAAAACAUCCCUUGAUGGCAAAGAAAGUAGUAGGAACAUACCGGGACAAAAUCCUUGAGGAAUCCCCGUCUGAAAGGGCAGCUUCUCAUUUUUUUAUGCAUCAAAGGUUGUCAAACGCUUUAGACUCUUUGGUAAAAUCGCCGCAACUUUUACAUCCGAACUCUGUUUUUGACGUUCAUGUGCUCGUUGGAAUGACGAUUACGGCGCCGAUGCACUUGUGGUAUUAGAUAUUGAUUUUGAGCACUUUGGAAAACAACUUUUUUCACUCUCUGAAAUGCCCAAGUCUGGUGUCUCGAUGUCCUUCGUUUGGAUCCUUUUCAUCGUGUUAAGUGAGUGAGAGUUCCACAUUACGUACAAACACACAAAGAAAGAUAAUACUGAUAUGAACAAAUAAAGAAUAAAUAUUAUGCAAUGCUCGCGUUGAAAAUGUUAAAUACUGGAGAUCAUGCAUAUGGGCAUGUAAUUGGCUCAAUGGCACAUGAUAUAUGGAGAUAAUAGGUGACAAAUGAGCUCUAAACGUGCGUAAAAGUAGGAGCUAUCACUUGGAUCAAUUAGAUACUAUCUUGUGGAACACCUUACAUCCUUUUGAAUGGUGUACCUAGUAGGCAAUUCCAAUGAAAACAUGGGAUUCACCAGGGUGACACACCGUUACCACUUCUAUUUUUCUUGGCAGUGGAUUUACUUCAAUCUAUCCUUAGUGACAUGUAUCAUCGCGGGAGCUCUUUUUUCCAAUCCCAUCUCAUGAUCUAAACUCUCCAAUUGUGUAGUAUGUUAAUGAUAUGUUGUUGAUUAUGCCGGAUAUUGAUUCUCAGCUUCUUGACCUAAAAGAAAUGCUACAACUUUUGUCUAAAUCCACUUGCUUGAAAGUGAAUUUUGGUAAAUCCUCCAUGGUUCUUAUAAAUGUGAUUGACGAUGAAGCUUCUCAUUGGCCAGUUUGUUUGAGUGUCAACAGGGUAAGAUGCCUUUCACUUACCUGGUUUACCUAUGGGUAUCACUAGGCUCAAGAUCUAGGACUUAAUGCCUUUGGUUGAUAUAAUGAAAAGGAAAUUGGCAGCUAGCUCUUCUCUGCUCUCACAAGGUGCUAAAUUAAAACUUUUGAGGUCUACCAUUUCAUCUAUACCGACAUACUAUCUUUGUAGUCUCUAGAGUCUAGACCCCCCUUGGUAUAAUUAAACAACUGGAGAGAAUUGAGCAGAAUAUCUCUGGCGUGGCAAUGCUGAUAGCUCAAAUCAACCAUUCGUGAUAUGUCAUCUGGUAUGUAAAUCAAAGGAGAAUGGUGGUAUUGGUAUCAUUAACCGUCAUAUUCAAGACCAACCUUUGCUUACAAAACACUUGCACAAAUUUUAUAAUAAAGUUCAUAUUCCAUGGGUAACUUUGAUAUAUAUUUCUUACUAUCAUGGAGUCAUACCUGAUGUAACAGUCCUUCGUGGUUUUUUUCCGGUGGAGGGAUAUUUUGGAACUUAACGAUCAGUACAUGACAAUCUCUUCAAUCAAAGUUAAUAUUGGCAACUUUGCCCUGUUCUUGUCUGAUGCCUGGUUGAUUGAGGGGUCUUCUCUACCUCUUCGACAUCGUUUGGAAAGGCUCUUUUCAUUGCCUUCUAUGACAAUAAUUCUGUAAGAUUUUACAGAAACCCCUCAUUAGGCCACUCUUUUGCACCUGCCAAUUUCUGCUGAGGCGAUGGAUGAAUUGUAACCUCCGGAUGGUUGGUUACAUAGCCUUAAGGGAAACCCAACCCUGUCUGAUGUUUGUUCUUGGUAAGGAGAAUCAUUUUCCGCCAAAAGCUUCUACUGCAUGAUGCACAAGCACAUGCCCACCGAUGAACCUUGCAAAUGGAUAUGACAGAGCACCAUGAAGAUCAAGAUCUUUGCUUAGAUCCUAUUAUUUUAUCGGUUGAACGCUCGGAAAUUGCUUCUUAGAAGGCACUGACAUUCUGCUCGGAUUGAAACCCAUUGUGCUCACAUGAGCGAAGAGACCACUUGUUUUUCUCCUAUAAUUUUAGUCAAAGAAUUUGGACUUAUUUACAGAUUGAUUGGAGCCCCAGAUGAAACACUAGAUAAUGUAUUGAUGUUGCAUGUAGAUGACGUUUUUUCGUGAAUACACUAAGCAACGUAUCAUUUCAUUGAUAGGUGGAAAGAAAGAGUAUAGGGUGCAGCUCUCACGGGCAUACAUGCAAUGGCGUCCGUGAGAGUGCAGAGCGAGCAGCGGAGGAGGAUGAUCAGCCUCGAUGCCGCAUGGUCAGGUUACAGGGAUGAUUCUAUGUAAUCCUCGAUCGUCGUCCUUGGCCCACCGACGCGCGUCGUCCUUGAUUAGCUGCCCAAGGUCAUCUGUGGAGGGUCCGGCACCGUUGACAAUGGCCGCAUUUCGAUGUUUCCAGAUAGCCCAAGUGGUGAGAGCGAUAAUGAAGUUUAGGCCUCGUCUGAGGCUAUCCGGGGAUGCUGCCGUGGCCUGGAGCCAACAGUCGAAGAAGAUGGUCGAGCCUAGUAUGGGUGGUGUAACCAGCCAACACCAAGAAAGAAUCUCAUGCCAAGUGAACCACGAGAUGACACAACUAGUGAGGAGAUGGUCGAUAGUCUCUAGCUCCUGGGAACAGGAGAUGCACUCUGGAUCGUGCGGGAGGCCGUGCCUUGCACGACGCUUCGCAGUCUAGCACCGAUCGAGGAAUACGAGCCAAAGGAAGAAUUUGUUGGUAAGAGGGGCCCAGCCCUUCCAGAUCAAACGCCAAGCGGGCGGGGAGGUUGAUCCAAAGAAGAGCGCCUUGUAGCAGGAUUUGACGGAGUAGAUACCACUAGCAUUCCAUUUCCAACUGAUUUGGUCCGGGGCAUGACUGAGUUGGAUGCCCUGAAGAUGACGCCAGAGAUCGAUGUAUUGGACCACUUUGAUGGGACCUAGAUUGCAGUGGAUAUCGUGAAUCCACGCUUGCUGGUGAAGGCCAUCAGAAACCAGGGUGCGGCGGUGCCGAUGUCGCGGCACAAGAGCAAGCAGUGCCAGAGCGAGCUUAGAGAUGGUGUCGGUUCUAUAUCCGGCAUAUCUCGUAGUAGGGGUCCUAAGCUAGGCGUCUUGGAGCGAUGGUAACACGGACACAUGGUUUUACCCAGGUUCAGGCUCUCUCGAAGAGAUAAUACCCUACGUCUUGCUUUUGAUUGUAUUCAUAUGGGGGAUAGUACAUAGUACAUGUGUCUACCACGAGAUUGUUCUAAUGAACAUAAGUUGAUCUAAUGACUAGCCUGGCCUCGGUUUAUACAACACACCGGAGGCCUAGGGUUUAGAGGAGUCCUCGUCUUGUGCACCAAAUCUUGUGUAAACCUCCUUGUAUGCGGCAUGGGCUGCCCGAAGUGGCCCAUUAGUACACCGCCAUGGGGGCCCUCGGCACGAUCCAGCUGGUCGAGAGACGACGUGGUGAGUCCCCCCCCCCCGAGUCCAGGACACUGUCAAAUGGCCCUCCCGUCGAGCCAAUGGUUGCACCAGAAACGACAAGUUUUGUCGUCGCCGAGGGUCCAAGUGGUCGACGCACGGAAGAACUGCCUGGUCUCAUCAUCACAAGGCACCUCAAGAUGGUGCCAAGGGAGGGAGGGGUCAGUGGUCUGCAGCCACAGCCAUCGGGCAUGCAAGGAGAUACUGGUGAGGUGGAGAUCGCGCACGCCAAGCCCACCAUACUCCAGCGGGCGACAUACGCGCCUCCAAUUAACAAGGCAACAGCCGGACUUGGCAUCCUUCCUAGCAUGCAAUAGGAAGUCACGAAUGAUCUGGGUGAUUUUCUUGAGGAUCAUUGGGUUGAUGACCAUGAAGAGGAGAAUUUGGACAGGUAUAGCAGACAGGACAUGCCGCACGAGGGCGAGUCGCUCGGUGCGUGAGAGAAGCGAGGCUUUCCAGGUGGCGAGUUUCUUGGUAAGUUUUUCCAACAGUGGGAGGAGCGCCGAUGUGGGAGUCUUGCGGACCGAGAGGGGAAUUGAUGUGGACCAGAUCAUGACCAAGGCAUCCAAGAGUAAGGUUAAUGCUAGCACAAAUGCUGAACCAUUCGAGCAUCUAAAUGAAGACAAGGUCAAAACCAUUAUCUUUGUUGGGAAGCUUCCGGUGCCUAUUUUGGGAGAAAUGACACAUCAGAUUUCCAGCAGCAACUUCCCACCUAAACCUAAUUAAUUCUGGAAGUCUCUAGCACUUUAUAGAGGCUGGAAGAUAUGGUCUUAGAAGUCAGCUUUCAUUUAAAAAAAAUUGUGCAUCAUUUGAGGUCUUGAGUCAAAAGUUGUGCAAGUUUCCAUGCAAGCUGUCCAGGAAUUUAUUACAGCGCGAGGCUCAACAAGUUUGCUCCUGCUACAGCUUCGGGCUCACGAAUUUACCCUUCUUUUUGAGUUGUUUUCACACCUAACUAGUGGGUGCUUCUAGUAUAAAUACUCCCUAGCUGUUCCAUGUGAGGGGGGAUGAGAUUUCUGAGUUUAUGUUUGUAGACAGCCGGUGAGGUUGUGUUGUGCUGUGAGCACUAGUAUCGUCGAGUGUUAGCUCGUGUGUGUGGAUUGGAGGGCCUGUCCUCAAUUCAUAUAGGAUCCUUGUGGUUCCCUCUUGUGAUUCUUCAUAGGUUCACAAGCUUCAUGGUUUGGGUUGCAUCCUUGUAAACCCAGCUAGUUGUCCGCUGCAAUUUAUCUGAGAGUGUUUCCUCUUGUUCUUCCCCCUUGAGAGAAAUAAAGUUUGUUGAAACAAGUAUCGAGUGAGUUUGUUGCUGCUCCUUGUGAGUUCUUUGGCACCGUGAAAGAUCGUUUCUGAGGCAUCCCACAUCAUCUUGGCAUCAGAGCUUUAGGUUGUUCGCGGUGCAAUUUUUUAUCUUGCUGAUUUUGUUCUUGAGAAGCUUCCAUGGGUUCAAGGAGAUCCAGCAGUGUUGAUGGUGUGCAUGGAGGUGCCGGCACCUCGUGGAGGAGGAGCUGCCACUCCCCGUAUAUGAUCCAAGCUUGCAGCCCGCCUAUGUGUUGGCAUUGGAGAAUACACGAGAGUAUGUGUUGAACAAGGUGGAGAGGCGCAUAUCGGCCGUGGAGACCAACCUUGGCCAGAUAAUCGACUCCCUCACCGAGGAACUCCGUCGAGAUAGGCUUGCUGUACGGGGUCGACAUUGACAAAUCCCCAAACAGCAGGGCCAACGCCACCUUGAGGAGGAGCAUGGAGAGCACAACCACGUCUACUCGGGUGAUGCUCAUAGCUACUACGCUGCACCACCUCGGCGUGCUUGCUAUGACCAGCGAGGUGCUACUUGGGCACCACUGUCACCACCAUGAGAUGGGCUUGUGGAACGGGUUCGACAUCGACAACUCCCCAUACAGCAGGACCACCAUGGAGAGCAUUGGAGCGACCACUCCGAUGAUGCUCGAAACUACUACGAGCCUCAACCAUGACGUGUUCAUCAUGAUCAUCGCGGAGAAGGCCAAGAAGGCUUUGCCAUGGGAGGAAGAGGUCAUGGGCGUGCUCAUCGUGACCAUGAAGAUGAUGGGAUUGGUAAAUUCAAACUUACCAUACCAUCGUUCAAUGGGAAAACCGAGACCGAUGAUUAUUUGGAGUGGGAGAUGCGUGUGGAUUAGAUUUUUGACAACCACCGCUAUACGGAGGAGAAGAAGGUACGAUAUGCAUCCAUUGAGUUUACUGGAUAUGCUUUGAUUUGGUGGAACCAAUUGUGUCGUGCUGGAGGUCGUCCAGAGACAUGGGUGCAAAUGAAAGAUCUGUUGCGGAGACGGUUUGUUCCUGAAUAUUUCACAAGAACCUUGUACAAUCGACUCCAACGGUUGUGCCAAGGUAAUUCUAGUGUUGAUGAGUACUAUAAAGAGAUGGAGAUUUUGAUGAUUAGGACAACGGUGAAUGAGCCCGAGGAGGCCACAAUGUCAAGAUUCUUUCAUGGACUGAAUGAAGAUGUGCAAGAAAGGAUAGAGAUGAUUACAUAUCAAGAUUUGCAAGAACUUGUGCAUCAAGCUAUUCGUGUAGAGCAGCAGCUGAAGCGUCGCCAAAAUCGCAGCCAAACCUAUACAUCAAGCACUUGAAGAAGUUCAGCUCAACGAGAAGUAGACGGAAGUGUCGCUGCAGAUUUUCGCUCACACAACAAGAUGACUACAAAGGAAGCUAAUGCAUCAAAGGUUGAAUCUUCCAAUACUUCUGCCACUCGCGUUAGUAAUAUUCAGUGCCAUACAUGCAAGGGUAGAGGUCACUUCAAGAAGGAUUGUCCUAAUCUGAAGAAGGUUUUACUCACAAAUGAUGGAUAUGUCACCGAUGACUCAAGUGACAAAUCUGAAUCUGAGAAGAAAGAUGCAAAUUAUUGUACUUUUGAGACUGGAGCACCUCUGAGUUCAGAUGGAGGAGAUGGUGUUAAUCUCAUGGUUCGCAAAGUGGCUCAUGAUGAUGCUCCUAUUAUUGAGAAGGGCCAGCGACAAAAUGUGUUCCAAUCCAUUUGCAAGAUCAAGAACAAAAAUUGCAAGGUGGUCAUCGAUGGAGGCAGCUACAACAACAUCAUUAGUAGUGAUCUUGUGCAUGCUCUUGGGAUGUCAACAUGGAGGCAGCCCCAGCCAUAUUAUGUGAAGUGGCUGAAUGGUGUUGGUAAGUUGAAGAUUACGCAUCAUGCGAGGGUGCAAUUUUCAGUGGGAAGUUAUGUGGACAAAGUGGUAUGUGAUGUGGUGCCAAUGCGAGCUUGUCAUCUUCUUUUGGGAAGACCGUGGCAGUUUGAUCAUGAUGCUACUCACCAUGGGAGGUCUAACAAGUAUUCUUUCAUGCAUCAAGGAGUGAACCAUGUCUUGGAACCUAGGGUGGAUCAAGUACUCAAGGUUGAGCAAUUCCCACAAGUGAAGAAGCCCAAAAAGAAUACCUCAAAACCGAGGAUGGUUUUGUUUGAAGGAAGGGAGGAUGAUGUGGACCAGAUCAUGACCAAGGUAUCCAAGAAUGAGGUUAGCACAAAUGCAGAACCAUUAGAGCAUCCAAAGGAAGACAAGGGAAAAAACAUUAUCUUUGUUGGGAAGCUUCCGGUGCCUAUUUUGGGGGAAAUGACACAUCAAAUUUCCAGCAGCAACUUCCCACCUAAACCUAAUUAAUUGUGGAAGUCUCUAGCACUUUAUAGAGGCUACAAGAGAUGGUCUUGGAAGUCAGCUUUCAUUUAAAAAAAACUAUGCAUCAUUUGAGGUCUUGAGUCAAAAGUUGUGCAAGUUUCCAUGCAAGCUGUCCAGGAAUUUAUUACAGCGCGAGGCUCAACAAGUUUGCUCCUGCUACAGCUUGGGGCUCACGAAUUUACCCUUCUUUUUGAGUUGUUUUCACACCUAACUAGUGGGUGCUUCUUGUAUAAAUACUCCCCGGCUGUUCCAUGUGAGGGGGGAUGAGAUUUCUGAGUUUAUGUUUGUAGACAGCCGAUGAUGUUGUGUUGUGCUGCGAGCACUAGUAUCGUCGAGUGUUAGCUCGUGUGUGUGGAUUGGAGGGCCUAUCCUCAAUUCAUAUAGGAUCCUUGUGGUUCCCUCUUGUGAUUCUUCAUAGGUUCACAAGCUUCAUGGUUUGGGUUGCAUCCUUGUAAACCAGCUAGUUAUCCGCUGUAAUUUACCUGAGAGUGUUUCCUCUUGUUCUUCCCCCUUGAGAGAAACAAAGUUUGUUGAAACAAGUAUCGAGUGAGUUUGUUGCUGCUCCUUGUGAGUUCUUUGGCACCGUGAAAGAUCAUUUCCGAGGCGUCCCGCAUCAGGAAUCCCAAGGUAGACGAUCGGGAAGGUGGUGACCGCGCACGUCAGCGUCGAACCAACAACAUCAGCCACGGUAUCAUCACAUUGAAUAGGGGUGGCAGAGCACUUGAGAAAAUUGGUGCGUAAGCCCGAAGCUUCAUAGGGAAGAGGCCAACCUUUCCUGCUUGGUGUUGUAAAUUUGUACAUGACAUCUCUUCUUGUAGAUAGAGUUAAUGCUUACCAAAGCUCCUGGAUUGGAUUUGUAAUCUCCAUUAGAUAAAUAGGUAGGUAGGAAAGUGUGGUUUUUCCUUUUUCUUGGUUCCCUUUGUAAACAUUUUUUGCUAGCUUUUGUUUUGAUGGAAUAAAGGACUGGAGCUGUUGCUCCAUAGUAGUUACAAAAAUUCAAGAUUUUUAUUGAUUUUUCACUAGUAUGAUUACACUCCUUCACAAAGGAGCUCUUUUUUUUUGAAAAGGAGGAUGUACCCCCGGCCGCAUCUGGGCUAUGCAUGUAGCCAUAAAGGAGCUCAUGCAAUGCAUGUUGGAGAUUUAUUUCAAUAGUUCCAUAACAUGUUUUGAAUGCUGUUGCUAUCUAGUUCAGUUAGAUGCUUAUUAUCCAGACCAACAAAAGUUCUUUAGUAAGGGUCUCUACAAGAAUAUCUUUCAUCCUAUUCUACUAGCAAAACCGAUGUAGAUGCUGGUAGUGACAUGGAAAAGAAACCAUAAUCUUUUUGUAUUGAUAUAUAAGUAAAGAAACUGAAAUUUGCAACUGCAAAUCAGGGGAUCUUAAUGUCAAAUACUGAAUGCUUCCACAACUAGUUGUGUGACAUAUUCAUUGCAGUGCCAAAUAAAGAAACUUUUCCAUGAAUUAAUAACAUCAAGACAAUGGUCCGCAUGUUUUAUAUAAUAAAUAUCACACAGGUUUUGUAUAUGUGUAGCCGGCUCUAGAAUUUACAUAUGCAUGCUCGAGAAUCUAUGUUCGUACAUACAUACACAGACCAUAUAGAAUGAAAAAUAUGCUCUGGUCGUCCAGCAGAGUCGUGGACAAAAGUGAAGUUCACAAAAGACCUUCAUACAUAGGCCAUUGUUUCAACUCGUAGUUUAGGCCUUGCCAGACUCCUCGCAACCCGGUGGCCUGAAGGCAAUGAAGCUGACGCACUGCACCUGGCGUAGGUUGUCGAAGCCGAUGACGCGGACAUAGGCGUCAGGGUACUCCUUCUUGACCUCCUCCACCUCGUUGAGCACCUGUGUAGCGUCGGUGCACCCGAACAUAGGCAGCUUCCACAUUGUCCAGUAUCGACCAUCGUAGUACCCGGGGGAGCUGUUGUGCUCACGGAAAACGAAGCCAACCUUGCUGAACUCGAGGCAGGGCACCCACUUGGAGCGGAUCAAGUAGUCGACCUGCUUCAGGAGGGCCUCCGUGGAGAGGGGUGGCAAGUAAGACAGAGUCUCGAACUUCUUGAUGCCCUCAAUCGGCCACACCUGAAUGAAUAGAAUGCGCAGAUGCUCAAUACUUGGUGCUAAGUCAAUUGUACCAACAAUGCUAGAAAAAUCUGUUGAUAAGCCAAAAAUUGCUCCUGAUGGGCAGGUCUCAUAUGUAUUGUUCGUUUGUCCACAAUGAAGAAAGCUUAAGGGUAGCCCUUAAACUGAUGGGCACUCUGGAGGUACUAAGAUAAUUUUAUCUAGUCCAUGCUGCAAUAAAGAGUAUUUCCAUUCACUAAGUUAUGAGUUGAUGGCUUUUACAUACGGAUCCCAGCUUAUGGACAAGGCUGAAUGAGCAUCCAAAGCCAAAUGGUUUCCAUAGGCAACAAACCAAACAGAUAAUAAGGUUUCGGAAUAAUCUAUUGACCAAAUUAUGUUAUACAUUGGGGAUGUUCUGUAAGUGAAUUACUUGUACUGACAAAGAAACUCAUAUCAGUUUAAUUAGUGACCGACAUACCUGCAUGCACCUGAUCCUUCCGCCGUUGCUGACGCUGCUGAGGCCGGCGCUGCUGGAGCGGCGGCUGACGGGCAGGCCGGCGGUCGACUUGAGACCCUGGAAGGGUGCGACGGAGGUGGCCGAGGAAGCCAUCACAGUGGGGGCCAUGGUGUUGGAGGAGAGAAGGUGGCAGGCUAAGCUUGGCCCCCAUUGCUGGGUCACCACGGUAUAUAUAGCCAUAUAUGGCCAGCUCCUAUCUUUAAUCAAGAUGUGGAAGGGGUGGCUGGCGUUCGUUGGUUGCUUGGUUUCCUUAUCUCUCCGGAUUAGUGUAAGAGGCAUGGCCGUUGGAUGAGUUGUGUGUGCCCAAAAUUUCAGUCGUCCAUGUCAUUGUGUGAUUGCCACAAUCCUUUUUCCAGCCUUGCAUUACUGUAUUAUUCUUUUCGUUUCAUCUUGCUAAAGGUAACGCUUGAAAGGUGCACGAAGAACUCCCUUUGUUGAUUUGCGAUUUAAGUUCAGUGGCACAGGCAUAACGAAUGUUAUAGUACAUCCUUUAUCCACUUUUAUAAUACAAAACUUGUCAACCAGUUAUGCUUGCUUCUAAUCUUUGGUACUUCAUUUUAUAACAUUUUAUACAGGUAACUAACGUAUACUUGCUGCAUGUAUGAUGUGUGUCAUCAUGACCUUUAUGUACUUUAUUCACAAUUAUUCAUUGGAACACAAAAGUGUUGUACUAUUUUCUACACCUAAUCAUUUACAUGCCUUGGAGGAUUUUUAGUAUAGGAAAUGCUAUUUAACUGGCUGUCCAGGCAAGGUAUAACUUUGUUUUAAUCUAUGAGCUAAAGUUUUAGAUCCCUCUGUUAUCCAUUUGCUCAGUUCAUGCCGUCCCCAGUGAACUCAUAAAUUACAUAUGGUGAGUGAAUAUAGACCACAAAAAAUGGUAGAUGUAUGUUCAUUCAUUUCAUGAUGAUGAAGCAACCUGCAAAAUGAUGGAAUCGACCAUGACUACUCAGUGAUAUGGCAAUCAUGUAGGACGAUCAUCGUGAUCAUCCUCCCGAGUCGUCCCCGUGCGGCGGCUGGGAGUACCCCAGAUCCCGUCGCCCCCGACUCCCCCUCUCGUCCCCUCCUCCCUCACCGCCGCCCGAGGGCGCCGCCGGGCAAAGCCUUGCCGUCGCCGGCGGCGGCAGGGACUAGGUGCCCUCCCGCUCGUGAGGAGCUGGCGCGGACCAGCGCCCCCGGGCUGGAGCGUGGCGUGCAUCUGGAUGUCAUGACGGGGGCUGGCGGCGCUCCUGCGAUCCCAUACCUCAUGGCAGGCGGCUUCAAGAUCUGGGGCGACACGGUUGCCAGGGUCGGCGGCGGUGGCGUGGCCGGAUCUAGGACCAGGUGUGAGCUUGGUCUCCGGGUCACGAUCGGCGCGAUGGCAAGUGCGACAUGUCGGCAGCUGGACGGAUCUGCGGGAUUCCAUCCUUGUCUAGUCCUUGACAACUCGAGCAACUCCGAGGGAAACCCUAGAUCCAUGGGAUCAAGCGAUGGCAGUGCUUUUGCGUCGUAGUCCCUCUUCGGGACAUCAUUUUAGAGUUUGCUAUGGUUGAAGGGACCAGCGAGGCAUGCGGCGUACGCCCGGUGUCGCAACUACCGAUGAAAAUUACGCCAACUACGGUCAUGGCGGACGAUGGCGGCGUCUUUGAUGUCGUUUCCUUGUCGAGACAUCGUCAUUGCAGUUGGCAUCAUCAUGCUCGGGAUGCUCCGGGGGAAACCCUAGAUCUGGGUCUCCCGGAUCGGACGAUAAUAGCGUUCUUAGUAUCGCUUUCCCUCAUCGGGGCAUCGUUUUGGAGCAAGUGAUGGCUGGAGGUGAUAAGAGGAGGAGCGGUGCUUCAUCAUACACAUUGGUGGUGUCGGAUCUCGAUGGCAUGGCACCCUGGAAAUUAGGCGUUUGAUGUGCGAUGAUGGACUCGCGUAGGAGGUCGACGCUCUCUGGCGUCGUGGUGGCAUCGGCGGCAGCUAGACCGGGCAAGGUACAUGCAGUAGUACAACUCUGAAGAUGGAUUGGUGGCAGGUGGCUGCGGCGGCCUCAUACCCGGCAGGCGUCCUGGUUGAGGAGCACGCUGGACUGGUGGGUGCCCAUGCCCGGCAGGAGUCCUGGUUGGGACCUCAGGUCUUAGAUGUUAGGUUUGGCUGCGAUGUCUCUUUGGUAUUAGGCCCAGACUAUCAGCGCCCCUUCAUCAACUGGAUUGGAUUAGCGACAGAUGUUGCUUAGACGGUGGCUUUAGUCUUAUUGUUGUAUGGUUUUGUAAGGUCUUGUGCUAAUAAUUAAUAAAAUGAUUGUAUGCAUCGCCCAGAUGCAGAGGCCGGGGGUCCUUCUCCUUUUCUAAAAAUCUAGUCAUUUAAGGUAGAUGUCGUGAUCUUCUUGUGUGACUGUCUCAUAGAUUUGAGCUGCAAAUCGAAUCUUAUAUUCUUCCAUUUUUUUUGAAUUUCCUGCAUGUAGUUAAUUAUUUUUUAUGAAUCCUUAAUGAUAAUUAACAUGGCCCAGAUAUUCACAAAAUAUCCAUAACUAUCAUGAACGAAUCAAUAAAUUACUAUUGCAGAAUGAAGAAUGAACCUUCCAUAGACCCCUCCACUUGGGCCCGUCGGUAGAGAGAUUCAUCACUCAUGGGCCACAAAAUGCGAGCCAAGUAGGACGACCUUCACUAAUGGGCCCUUAAGUUGGGCAUCAAUGGAGGGGCACCCAUGGGGCCCAAAGAUCCAACUGAAUGGACAGUCCAUCUCUACUGACGGUCAUACCGGAAUUUCCUAACGGACGCACAUUGUGUCAAGUUGCCACUGUUUCGCACAGAUGCCAGCGACUGGCGACCGAGAUGGGCCGGCCCAAUUACGAGCCCACAGAUGCGCUACAGUGUCCGGUUUUGGGAAACUUCUAGGAGGUUCCUGAGCGGUUUUGGGAACCUUCUAGAAGGUUCCUGAACCAGUUUUCCCUGGUUUAUUCUGUUUCUUUUUAUUUUUCUUUCAAUAUUGUUUAUUCUUUUUCAUUCUUUAUUUUUAUUUUUUCGUUUUGCCGUUUCUAUAUUCCAUUUUUUAUUUCUUUAAUUCCUUUUCCUUCUCUUUUUUCCUUCAGAAUUAAAAAAUAAUAAAAAUGUUCAGAAGUUAAGAAAAUUUUAUUGUUUAAAAAUUUUGUUCAUAAAUUGAAAAAUGUUCUUCUUUUCAAAAAACCUUCGCAUUUUUAAAAAAUGUUUGGCAUUUAAAAAAUGUUCCGCUUUCAAAAUAUUGUUCACAAAUUACAAAUAAUGUUCACUCUUUCCAAAUUUUGUUCAGAGUUUGGACAUGUUUGCAGACGUAAAAAUGUCCACCUUUUCCAGAAAUGUUCAUAUCUUUUUUUUCAAAAUUUGUUCACAAAUUCAAAAAUUCCUGUUUUUAUAAUUUGUUCACACAUCCAAAAAUUGUUCACACCUUUUAAAAAUUCUCAAAAUUUGUUCACAAAUUCAAAAAGCUUUCCAUUUUUAUAAUUGUUCACAGAUUAAAAAAUUGUUCAAAUCUUUAAAACUUGUUCGUGAUUCUAAAAAAAUGUUCAUAUCUUAAAAGAAAUCACAAAUUCGAACAAAUUCCUGUUCUCAAAAUUAGUUCACAAAUUAAAAAUGUUAUUUUUUGAAAAUUAUUCACAAAUUCAAAAAAAGUUCGCAUUUUGUCCAAACUUGUUCGUGAUUUGUCAAAAAAUGUUCGGAAUUUAAAAAAAUGUACCCGUUCUUUCAAGAUUUGUUCACAAAUUAAAAAAUUAUUUCCCUGUUUAAAUUUGGUUCACAAUUCAAAAAAUCAUGUUUUUUAAACUUCAAUUUUUUGCACGUGUCUAACAAAAUAGGUCAGAGUUUUGAAAAUUGUUCCUUUUUAAAAAAUUGUCCAGAACUGCAAAAUUGUUCCUGUUUUUAAAAUUCGAAUAAUUGCGACCAUUUGUUGAAACUCGUGUGCAUUUUUGCCAAAAACAUUUGGACUUUUAAAAAUAUAUUCAGAAUUAACAAGAAAAGAUUUAAAAAGGAAAAAUAAUGUGACCUGCCGUUGUGACCAGUACUAGUCGUGGUGGCUAGCUAGCUUCGUAUAAAAAAGCACGAUCGCGAGCUCGAGUCCUAGCUCUCGCUUCGAGUUUUUCGUUGCCUUUUUAACACUGCACGCUGCCUGCGUGGGCCGGCCCAGUCGGGCGCCUAACCUGUGCGAUCGCUCGACAUUCUGCCGCAGAAUGCGGCAGAUAGGAAGUCCCGGUCAUACCACACCACCCGUCAAUGUUGGGCGCCCCGUUAGUGCUGAAUUAAGGUAUUUCUAUCUGCUAGAGACGAAGUGGCCUUAUAUGGGCUUUCUCUUUUCUCCUAAACAAAACCAAGCCACCUCCCCCAAUCCAUUCCUCCCCAACGUCAUCACCACCCAAUGUUUUUGUCUCCUUACAUGUGUGCCCCCUCCUUCUUCCACAUUGAUCUGGUCCAACGCUACCGUCUCAUCCCCGCGAUCAUCGUCACUACUCUUCGAUUACUCGUGAUGGCGCGGGUUGUGGCUUCCCACUUGCUCUCUCGUAAGAGUGGUUGGGUAAACCCCAAGUGUAAGGAUGAAGUAACCUAGUAAUAAGCAUUUUCCCCGAUAGGUUUAUCAAACCAGUAGGAAUUUCUUCUACAACCCAAAUCCUCGGUACCUGCACACCAAACACAAAAUAAUCUUGCCCCAAACGUUUCAAGAAGGUUGUCAAGCUUCUUGUCCUGCUAGUUACAAGGAUUAGUUGUUAGUUGAAAGCAAAUAUCAGUUGCUAAGUAGCCUUAGUGUGGUUUGUACCUUCAGAUCUGCCAUGACACUGUCAACACUAUACUCGCCAUGCUUAGGGUUCAUCCUUUUUAUAUACACCAAGAUCAACCUAGGUGCUUCGCGUCGUACUAGCACUAAUCCAACCAUCAAUAUAAAUGAAAUGCCACCAUAAUUUCAAAGCUUAGUUGUUCAAAUACGAAUAUGAUGUGGUACUAAUAUUAGUUUAAAAUAGACACAUGUAGUUGGUCAGCCAAUGUUCCUUGUUGAGUUUCAAAAUACAUGUACACCACUUAUAGAGAGGCAUGAGUGAAUACUAUUUAUUUCUGCGAUCUCGUCCAUCAUGGAUGGGCAACGAACAUUGCAUUGUAUAGAAAGAAGGGUUAUAUAUAACCACCUUUUACAUAGAUGACGCUUUGCCUACGUGCUUUGUGUUGAAGUAGCAACACUCCACCUUUCAAGCUAAACAACAUGACACUCAUAAUUUCAAAGCUUAUUUUGUCAAAUACGAAUUUGAUAUGAUACUGAUAUUAGUUAAAAUGACACACAUUAAUUGUCAGCUAAUGUUCCUACUUCAGUUUUGAAAUGCAUAUCUGCCCCUUAUAGAGAGACAAGAGAGGUUUCUAUCUCUCUAUCCGCUCUUGUCAUCAUGGUUGGGGGGUGAACUUUGUAUAUCGUAUAGUUUGAAGCUGUCAUCUACCAACAAUCAUCACUUCUGGAGAUCUCAACUAGGAGCCUUUUUUGAGUAGUAGGGCCAUAUUAUAUUAAUACACACACCAAAUUACAACUCACAUAGCAUCUCUCGGCAGACUUCCAGAGAUAGUACGCAGGGGUUUAUAAGGAGUCACUAUUGGGGUAGAAUCGGCAAUGCAUUUGUUACACCCCGAUUCAGAGAACCGGAGGUCCCCGUGUUCCAGCCCAGAUAUCCAUUCGUCUGGAACACGACUAUAGCUUGGUACAGAUAGACCAAAAUAAAUAAGUACUUAUGUACAUUAAGGAGACAUGUCUAAGUGUGAGAAGCUCGAGGGCUUUAUUCUACGAGUGGCUUAAGGAAGUACUAAAGACGAAAAUAAUACUAAUGACACAACAGAAGACGGGGUACCAGUGGGGCUCCAAUCUAAAGAGACACUGCUGGUACACGAACUCUUAGGGGAACUCUUCUAUCGGCUCUCUAGUAUCUAGCAUGAUAAGUCAGGUGAGUACUUAAUUUGAAUGUACUCGCAAGCUCACAAACAAUCCAAAGCAAGCAAGAACGGAGCAAAUAAACAUAGCAACGAAGUAAGGACUAGUAAAGCUACUACUAUCAAGACUACUCCAUAGACUUCUUGUCUGCUCGUUUAACAUCUACUGGACUUCUUCUUGAAAUGAGUCCUGCUCAAACGACUCAACAAUAUAAGUUACCUGUUACCACAGUUACUAGAGUUGAAAGUAAAGGAAUAUGGGUACUUGGUCAAAUAGUGUGACCUAACACAAAUGGUGUCCCAUUGUCGGGGACUCGGCUAUUUGAAUAGUUUCAACACACACUCUGUAGAGGUCACACACUUUAAUUUACCCACACCAUAGAUUCUUUGUCUAAUGAAUCUCAUUCAUAGCAUGGCACUCUAACUAUUCCUCCGACCUCCCGCAGGCUAGCCCUGGGAGAGAGGAUCUGGGUCCUUGCCACUCUGUGUGGCACCACUUGUAUUCGCUUAGGAAUAUUUUCUAUUGAGCUCAUCCACAGACCCAGGCUCUCUUGACUGAAUGGCAACUUCCAAGCCAGAGGAAGUCUACACAUUCCAGCUUCCCUCUUCAGAGACACACAAAAGAUACAUACCUAGAAACGGAAUAAGGCCCUCCCAUUCGGCUAGAUGUGGCUAUACUGAGGUUGUUCCGCUUUGUGGCAUUUGGAUUGGCUAGCUAUUUAAAGUUGGGUUAAGAAGGAAAGUAAAACCGUAACUUUGUACUAGCUAUUCAAAUCCACAACUUGUUAUCCUACUAGGGUGAAGUAUUCACGAGGAUUCAUCAUCCUAAGUAGAGGCUUUCCCCGAGAUCCUUUGUGAACAUUGAUACCUAUUUUGCUUAUGAUUCAUGUUGGCAAAAUAAUUACCGGUUACGAGUCAUAGUUAAACUUCUAUUCCACUAGGACCAAAUAAAGGUAUCCUUGCUAGUGACUCACUAUGCUAUUUCAACCACAACAAACUUGACAUAAGCAAAGGGAAGCAAUAAAGAACACUGAAAGAAAAGUAAUGCGGGAAAAGAAAUGCAAGUUGAAUCCAUGGCCUUGCAAUGCAAGUUGAACCUAUAGUGUUAUAGCCAUGGCUCACGCUCAUGUAUUGCAUGGGGCUGAAAAUCUUGAAGCGCGUUAGAAGUGUUAAGCUUCAUGCACUAGCCAACGCAGCCAAAAGUCUGAACUGAUGGAAAGGGCUAGUACAAUCCACAUAUACUAUAACACCCUCUCUCACGUGGGACGGGGAAGACAAGUCAACACAUGCAACCGGAAGAGAGCGACGGCACGCGAAACUCAGGUAUGACUCAAGAGGCCUAUACGUGGACACAAAGGAGGGCUGUCAGCAAUUUUUAAAUAAGUUGCACAAACCAGGACUUGAACUCAAGACCUUAACUCCAAUACCAUGUUAAGCUUCAUUGACUCACUGAAAAACCAGCGGCAGUCACCACAGAGGCAAAACGCUCAAACAAGGCGCGGGGGGCUUGCUUAAGGCCAUAGAGAGAGCGACGAAGACGAGAUACCAUGCCAUCAGGAACAGAAUACCCAGGUGGUGGCUGCAUGUAUACCUCCAUUUGCCUGGUUUGACACCGGGGUGCUCAUGAUUUAUAUAUAUGCAAUGAAGGCGGAGUCAUGCCAUGCUAACAUGAUAAAAUGAGUGGGGAUAACAUUCGUUAAUGAUCGUAUAUUUUGAAAAAGUAAUGAUUAUGUUUCUUAUAUUCAUGGAAAUUAUUAUGUUGAUAUUGUUACUUCAUUGUUUCUCAAUAACUAUAUCAUAAAGAUAUUACAUGAUACAUAUGUUUGUUGGGGAACGUAGUAAUUUCAAAAAAAUUCCUACGCACACGCAAGAUCAUAGUGAUGCAUAGCAACAAAAGGGGAGAGUGUUGUCUAUGUACCCUCGUAGACCGAAAGCGGAAACGUUAGAACAACGCGGUUGAUGUAGUCGUACGUCUUCACGGCCCGACCAAUCAAGCACCGAAACUACGACACCUCCGAGUUCUAGCACACGUUCAGCUCGAUGACGUCCUUCGAACUCCGAUCCAGCCGAGUGUCGAGGGAGAGUUCCGUCAGCACUACGGCAUGGUGACGAUCUUGAUUUUCUACCGUUGCAAGGCUUCUCCUAAGCACCGCUACAAUAUUAUCAAGGAGGACUAUGGUGGAGGGGGGCACCGCACACGGCUAAGAGAUCAAGAGAUCAAUUGUUGUGUCUAGAGGUGCCCCCCUGCACCCGUAUAUAAAGGAUCAAGGGGAAGGGGGCGGCCGGCCAGGAGGAGGUGCGCCAAGGGGGGAGUCCUACUCCCACCGGGAGUAGGACUCCUCCUUCCCUUGUUGGAGUAGGAGAGAAGGAAAGAGGGGGAGAGGAGGAAGGAAAAGAGGGCUGCACCCCUUGUCCAAUUCGGACCAGAGUGGGGCUGUGCGCCUCCUUCCUUUCGGCCUCUCUCCUCUAUUCCCGUAUGGCCCAAUAAGGCCCAUAUACUCCCCGGCGAAUUCCCGUAACUCUCCGGUACUGUGAAAAAUACCCGAAUCACUCGGAACCUUUCCGAAGUCCGAAUAUGGUCGUACAAUAUAUCGAUCUUUACGUCUCAACCAUUUCGAGACUCCUCGUCAUGUCCCCGAUCUCAUCCGGGACUCCGAACUCCUUUGGUACAUCAAAACUCAUAAACUCAUUAUAUAACUGUCAUCGAAACUUUAAGCGUGCGGACCCUAUGGGUUCGAGAACUAUGUAGACAUGACCGAGACACGUUUCCGGUCAAUAAACAAUAGCGGAACCUAGAUGCUCAUAUUGGCUCCUACAUAUUCUACGAAGAUCUUUUAUUGGUCAAACCACAUAACAACAUACGUUGUUCCCUUUAUCAUCGGUAUGUUACUUUCCCGAGAUUUGAUCGUCGGUAUCCAAUACCUAGUUCAAUCUCGUUACCGGCAAGUCUCUUUACUCGUUCCGUAAUGCAUCAUUCCGUAACUAACUCAUUAGCUACAUUGCUUGCAAGGCUUAUAGUAAUGUGCAUUACUAAGAGGGCCCAGAGAUACCUCUUCGACAAUCGGAGUGACAAAACCUAAUCUCGAAAUACGCCAACUCAACAUGUACCUUUGGAGAUAGCUGUAGAGCUCCUUUAUAAUCACCCAGUUACGUUGUGACGUUUGGUAGCACACAAAGUGUUCCUCCGAUAAACGGGAGUUGCAUAAUCUCAUAGUUAUAGGAACAUGUAUAAGUCAUGAAGAAAGCAGUAGCAACAUACUAAAUGAUCAAGUGCUAAGCUAACGGAAUGGGUCAUGUUAAUCACAUCAUUAUCCUAAUUAUGUGAUCCCGUUAAUCAAAUGACAACUCAUGUCUAUGGUUAGGAAACAUAACCAUCUUUGAUUAAUGAGCUAGUCAAGUAGAGGCAUACUAGUGACAUUAAGUUUUGUCUAUGUACUCACACAUGUAUCAUGUUUCCGGCUAAUACAAUUCUAGCAUGAAUAAUAAAAAUUCAUCAUGAUAUAAGGAAAUAAAUAAUAACUUUAUUAUUGCCUCUAGGGCAUAUUUCCUUCAGUCUCCCACUUGCACUAGAAUCAAUAAUCUAGUUCACAUCGCCAUGUGAUUUAACACCAAUAUUCACAUCUGUAUGUGAUUAAUACCCAAUAGUUCACAUUGUCAUGUGAUCAACACCCAAAGGGUUUACUAGAGUCAAUAAUCUAGUUCACAAAUCUAUGUGAUUAACACCCAAAGAGUACUAAGGUAUGAUCAUGUUUUGCUUGUGAGAGAAGUUUAGUCAAUGGGUCUGUCACAUUCAGAGCCGUAUGCAUUUUGCAAAAAUUCUAUGUCUACAAUGCUCUGCACGGAGCUACUUUAGAUAAUUGCUCCCACUUUUAAUAUGUAUCCAGAUUAAGACUUAGAGUCAUCUGGAUCAAUGCCAAAACUUGUAUUGACGUAACCCUUUACGACGAACCUUUUUUCACCUCCACAAUCGAGAAACAUAUCCUUAUUCCACUAAGGAUAAAUUUGACCAAUGUCCAGUGAUCUACUCCUAGAUCACUAUUGUACUCCCUUGCCAAACCAGGACAGAGUAUACAAUAGGUCUGGUCCAUAGCAUGACAUACUUUUAUAGAACCUAUGACUGAUGCAUAGGGAAUGACUUUCAUUCACUUUCUAUUUUCUGCCGUGGUCCGGAUUUGAGUCUUACUCAAUUUCUUACCUUUGCAACAUAGGCUAGAACUCUUUCUUUGACUGUUCCACUUUGAACUAUUUCAAAAUCUUGUCAAGGUAUGUACUCAUUGAAAAUAUUAUCAAGCGUCUUGAUCUAUCUCAAUAGAUCUUGAUGCUCAAUAUGUAAGUAGCUUUACUGAGGUCUUUCUUUUAAAGAACUCCUUUCAAACACUUCUUUAUGCUUUCCAGAAUUUUUUUAUAUCAUUUCUGAUCAACAAUAUGUCACUCACAUAUACUUAUCAGAAAGGCUGUAGUGCUCCCACUCAUUUUAUUGUAAAUGCAUGCUUCACUGCAAGUCCAUAUAAAACUAUAUGCUUUGAUCAAAGCGUAUAUUCCAACUCCGAGAUGCUUGCACCAGUCCAUAGUUGGAUCGCUAGAGCUUGCACAAUUUGUUAGCACCUUUAGGAUUGACAAAACCUUCUGAUUGCAUCAUAUACAACUCUUCUUUAAUAAAUCCAUUAAAGAAUGCAGUUUUGACAUCCAUUUGCCAGAUUUCAUAAAAUGUGGCAAUUGCUAAUAUGAUUCGGACAGACUUAAGCAUCGAUACGAGUGAGAAAAUCUCAUCGUAUUCAACACCUUAAACUUGUCAAAAAACUUUUGCGACAAGUCGAGCUUUGUAGAUAGUAACACUACUAUCAGCGUCUGUCUUCCUCUUGAAGAUCCAUUUAUCUUCCAUGGCUUGCCGAUCAUCGGGCAAGUCCACCAAAGUCCACACUUUGUUCUCAUACAUGGAUCUCAUCUCAGAUUUUAUGGUCUCAACCCAUUUUGCGGAAUCUGGGAUCAUCAUCGCUUCCUCAUAGUUUGUAGGUUCAUCAUGGUAUAGUAACAUGACCUCCAUAAUAGGAUUACCGUACCACUCCGGUGCGGAUCUUACUCUGGAAGACCUACGAGGUUCUGUAGUAACUUAAUCUGAAGUUUCAUGAUCAUCAUCAUUAGCUUCCUCACUAACUGGUGUAGGAAUCACUGGAACUGAUUUCUGUGAUGAACUACUUUCCAAUUCGGGAGAAGGUACAAUUACCUUAUCAAGCUCUACUUUCCUCCCACUCACUUCUUUCGAGAGAAACCCCUUCUCUAGAAAGGAUCCAUCUUAGCAACGAAUAUUUUGCCUUCGGAUCUGUGAUAGAAGGUGUACCCAACAAUUUCCUUUGGGUAUUCUAUGAAGACGCACUUCUCUGAUUUGGGUUCGAGCUUAUCAGGUUGAAAUUUUUUCUCAUAAGCAUCGCAGCCCCAAACUUUAAGAAACGACAGCUUAGGUUUAUUGCUAAACCAUAGUUCAUACGGUGUCGUCUCAACGGAUUUAGAUGGUGCCCUAUUUUAACGUGAAUGCAGCUGUCUCUAAUGCAUAGCCCCAAAACAAUAUUGGUAAAUCGGUAAGAGACAUCAUAGAUCGCACCAUAUCCAAUAAAGUGCGGUUACGACGUUCGAACGCACCACUACGAUGUGGUGUUCCAGGUGGCAUGAAUUGUGAGACUAUUCCACAUUGUUUUUAUACGAAAGCCAAACUCGUAACUCAAAUAUUCUCCUCCACGAUCAGAUCGUAGAAACUUUAUUUUCUUGUUACGAUGAUUCUCCACAUCACUCUGAAAUUCUUUGAACUUUUCAAAUGUUUCAGACUUGUGUUUUAUUAAGUAGAUAUACUCAUAUCUUGCUCAAAUCAUCUUGUGAAGGUCUGAAAAUAACGAUACCCGCCACGAGCAUCAAUACUCAUUGGACCGCAUACAUCAGCAUGUAUUAUUUCCAAUAAGUCACUAGCUCGUUCCAUUGUUCCGGAGAACGGAGUUUUAGUCAUCUUGCCCAAAAGGCACGGUUCGCAAGCAUCAAAUGAUUCAUAACCAAGUGAUUCCAAAAAUCCAUCUUUAUGGAGUUUCUUCAUGCGCUUUACACCGAUAUGACCCAAACGGUAGUGCCACCAAUAAGUUGCACUAUCACUAUAAACUUUGCAUCUUUUUGGCAUCAAUAUUAUGAAUAUGUGUAUCACUACGAUCGAGAUCCAAUAAACUAUUUUCAUUGGGUGUAUGACCAUCGAAGGUUUUAUUCAUGUAAAUAGAACAACAAUUAUUCUCUGACUUUAAAUGAAUAACCAUAUUGCAAUAAACAUGAUCAAAUCAUAUUUAUGCUCAACGCAAAAGCCAAAUAACAUUUAUUUAGGUUUAACACUAAUCCCAAAAGUAUAGGGAGUGUGCGAUGAUGAUCAUAUCAAUCUUGGAACUACUUCCAACACUGAUCGUCACUUCACCCUCAACUAGUCUCUGUUUAUUCUGUAACUCUUGUUUCGAGUUACUAAUUUUUUAGCAACCGAACAAGUAUCAAAUACUCAGGGGCUACUAUAAACACUAGUAAGGUACACAUCAAUAACCCGUAUAUCAAAUAUACCCUUGUUCACUUUGCCAUCCUUCUUAUCCACCAAAUAUUCAGGGCAUUUGCGAUUCCAGUGACCAUUUCCUUUGCAGUGUAAGAACUCAGUUUCAGGCUUUGGUCCAGCCUUGGGCUUCUUCACGGGAGUGACAACUUGCUUGUCAUUCUACUUGAAGUUCCCUUUCUUUCCCUUUGCCCUUUCUUUGAAACUAGUGGUCUUGUUAAUCAUCAACACUUGAUGCUCUUUCUUGAUUUCUACCUUCGUCGAUUUCAGCAUCACGAAGAACUCGGGAAUCGUUUUCAUCAUCCCUUGCAUUAUAGUUCAUCACGAAGUUCCAGUAACUUGGUGAUGGUGACUAGAGAACUCUGCCAAUCACUAUCUUAUCUGGAAGAUUAACUCCCACUUGAUUCAAGCGAUUGUAGUACUCAGACAAUCUCAGUACUUGCUCACUAUUUGAGUAAUUCUCCUCCAUCUUUUAGGCGAAGUAUUUGUCAAAGGUCUCAUACCUCUUGACACGGGCAUGAGUCUGAAAUACCAAUUUCAUCUCUUGAAACAUAUUAUAUGUUCCAUGAUGUUUCAAAAACGUUUUUGUAGUCCCGGUUCUAAGACAUAAAGCAUGGUGCACAAAACUAUCAAGUAGUCAUCAUAUUGAGCUAGGCAAACGUUCAUAACGUCUGAAUCUGCUCCUGCAAUAGGUCUGUCACCUAGCGGUGCAUAAAGGACAUAAUUCUUCUGUGCAGCAAUGAGGAUAAACCUCAGAUCACGGACCAAGUCCGCAUCAUUGCUACUAACAUCUUUCAACUUAGUUUUCUCCAGGAACACAUAUAAAACAUAGGGAAGCAACAACGCGAGCUAUUGAUCUACAACAUAAUUUGCAAAAUACUACCAGGACUAAGUUCAUGAUAAAUUAAAGUUCAAUUAAUCAUAUUACUUAAGAACUCCCACUUAGACAGACAUCUCUCUAGUCAUCUACGUGAUCACGUAAUCCAAAUCAACUAAACCAUGUCCGAUCAUCACGUGAGAUGGAGUAGUUUUCAAUGGUGAACAUCACUAUGUUGAUCAUAUCUACUAUAUGAUUCACGUUCGACCUUUCGGUCUCCAUGUUCCGAGGCCAUAUCUGUAUAUGCUAGGCUCGUCAAGUUUAACCUGAGUAUUCCACAUGUGCAACUGUUUUGCACCCGUUGUAUUUGAACGUAGAGCCUAUCACACCCGAUCAUCACGUGGUGUCUCAGCACGAAGAACUUUCACAAUGGUGCAUACUCAGGGAGAACACUUCUUGAUAAUUAGUGAGAGAUCAUCUUAAAAUGCUACCGUCAAUCAAAGCAAGAUAAGAUGCAUAAAGGAUACACAUCACAUGAAUCAACAUAAGUGAUAUGAUAUGGCCAUCAUCAUCUUGUGUUUGUGGUCUCCAUCUCCGAAGCACCGUCGUGGUCACCAUUGUCACCGGAGCGACACCUUGAUCUCCAUCGUAGCAUCGUUGUUGUUUCGCCAUCUAUUGCUUCUACGACUAUCGCUACCGCUUAGUGAUAAAGUAAAGCAAUUACAGGGUGCUUGCAUUUCAUACAAUAAAGCGACAACCAUAUGGCUCCUGCCAGUUGCCGAUAACUCAGUUACAAAACAUGAUCAUUUCAUACAAUAAAAUAUAACAUCACGUCUUGACCAUAUCACAUCACAACAUGCCCUGCAAAAACAAGUUAGACGUCCUCUACUUUGUAGUUGCAAAUUUUACGUGGCUGCUACAGGCUAAGCAAGAACCGUUCUUACCUACGCAUAAAAACCACAACGAUAGUUCGUCAAGUUAGUGCUGUUUUAACCUUCACAAGGACCGGGCGUAGCCACACUCGGUUCAACUAAAGUUGGAGAAACUGACACCCGCCAGCCACCUGUAUGCAAAGCACGUCGGUAAAACCAGUCUCGCGUAAGUGUACGUGUAAUUUCGGUCCAGGCCGCUUCAUCCAACAAUAUCGCCGAACCAAAGUAUGACUUGCUGGUAAGCAGUAUGACUUGUAUCGCCCACAACUCACUUGUGUUCUACUCGCGCAUAUAACAUUUACGCAUAAAACCUGGCUCGGAUGCCACUAUUGGGGAACGUAGUAAUUUCAAAAAAUUUCCUACGCAUACGCAAGAUCAUGGUGAUGCGUAUCAACAAGAGGGGAGAGUGUUGUCUACGUACCCUCAUAGACCGAAAGCGGAAGCGUUAGAACAAUUUGGUUGAUGUAGUCGUACGUCUUCACGGCCCGAUCAAUCAAGCACCAAAACUACGGCACCUCCGAGUUCUAGCAUACGUUCAGCUCGAUGACAUCCUUCAAACUUCGAUCCAGCCAAGUGUCGAGGGAGAAUUCCGUUAGCACGACGGCGUGGUGACGAUCUUGAUGUUCUACCGUCGCAGGGCUUCUCCUAAGCACCGCUACAAUAUUAUCGAGGAGGACUAUGAUGGAGGGGGGGGGCACCGCACACGACUAAGAGAUCAAGAGAUCAAUUGUUGUGUCUAGAGGUGCCCCCUGCCCCCGUAUAUAAAGGAUCAAGGGGGAGGAGGCGGCCGGCCAGGAGGAGGCGCGCCAAGGGGGGAGUCCUACUCCCACCGGGAGUAGGACUCCUCCUUCCCUUGUUGGCGUAGGAGAGAAGGGAAGAGGGGGAGAGGAGGAAGGAAAAGGGGGCUGCACCCCUUGUCCAAUUCGGACCAGAGGGGGGCUGCGCGCCUCCUUCCUUUCGGCCUCUCUCCUCUAUUCCCGUAUGGCCCAGUAAGGCCCAUAUACUCCCACACGAAUUCACGUAACUCUCCGGUACUCCGAAAAAUACCCGAAUCACUCGGAACCUUUCUGAAGUCCGAAUAUAGUCAUCCAAUAUAUCGAUCUUUACGUGUCGACCAUUUCGAGACUCCUCGUCAUGUCCCCGAUCUCAUCUGGGACUCCGAACUCCUUCGGUACAUCAAAACUCAUAAACUCAUAAUAUAACUGUCAUUGAAACCUUAAGCGUGUGGACCCUACGGGUUCGAGAACUAUGUAGACAUGACCGAGACACGUUUCCGGUCAAUAACCAAUAGCGAAACCUGGAUGCUCAUAUUGGCUCCUACAUAUUCUACGAAGAUCUUUUAUCGGUCAAACCGCAUAACAAUAUACGUUGUUCCCUUUGUCAUCGGUAUGUUACUUGCCCGAGAUUUGAUCGUCGGUAUCCAAUACCUAUUUCAAUCUCGUUACUGGCAAGUCUCUUUACUCGUUCCGUAAUGCAUCAUUUCGUAACUAACUCAUUAGUUACAUUGCUUGCAAGGCUUAUAGUGAUGUGCAUUACCGAGAUGGCCCAGAGAUACCACUCCGACAAUCGAAGUGACAAAACCUAAUCUCGAAAUAUGCCAACUCAACAUGUAUCUUUGGAGACACCUGUAGAUCUCCUUUAUAAUCACCCAGUUAUGUUGUGAUGUUUGGUAGCACACAAAGUGUUCCUCUGGUAAACGGGAGUUGCAUAAUCUCAUAGUUGUAGGCACAUGUAUAAGUCAUGAAGAAAGUAUACGCCAACUCAACAUGUACCUUUGGAGACACCUGUAGAGCUCCUUUAUAAUCACCCAGUUACGUUGUGACGUUUGGUAGCACACAAAGUGUUCCUCCGGUAAACGGGAGUUGCAUAAUCUCAUAGUUGUAGGAACAUGUAUAAGUCAUGAAGAAAGCAGUAGCAACAUACUAAACGAUCAAGUGCUAAGCUAACGGAAUGGGUCAUGUCAAUCACAUCAUUCUCCUAAUGAUGUGAUCCCGUUAAUCAAAUGACAACUCAUGUCUAUCGUUAGGAAACAUAACCAUCUUUGAUUAAUGAGCUAGUCAAGUAGAGGCAUACUAGUGACAUUAAAUUUUGUCUAUGUAUUCACACAUGUAUCAUGUUUCCGGCUAAUACAAUUCUAGCAUGAAUAAUAAACAUUCAUCAUGAUAUAAGGAAAUAAAUAAUACCUUUAUUAUUGCCUCUAGGGCAUAUUUCCUUCAAUGUUAGCUAGCAUUACACAUCAAAAUUUUUGUUUUUAUCAUUUACCUAUUCGAGGAUGAGCAGGAAUUAAGCUUGAGGAUGUUGACAUGUCCAACAUAUCUAUAAUUUUUUAUUGUUUCAUGCUAUCAUAUGAUCAAUCUUGGAUGCUUUAUAUGUAUUUUAUACUAUUUUAUAUCUUUUUGGACUAACCUAUUAUUUUGAAAAAAAAUUGAAUUGUUUGGAUUGCUUACCACAUGUGUCACGUGGUUUGGGACUAACUUUUUAACCCAAUGCCUAGUGCUAGUUAAUGUUUUUUUUGCUUGUUUUUGGCUCUUCAGAAAAACAAUACCAAAUGAACUUCAAACAUGAUGAAACUUUACGGUAAUUUUUUCUGGACUAGAAGAGGCCCUAGAAGGUUCGGGAGGAGGCUAGAAGAUCUACGGAAGAGCCACGAGCUCACAGGGCACGCCCCCGAGCUCAUGGGCCCCACGCAGCUCCGUUUGACCUAAUUUCAACUCCAUAACUUCACAUAUAUUUCCAAACCAAUAGAGAGCCACCCGAAACACUUUUUUUCCACCGCAAGCUUCUGUUCUUCCGUGAUCCCAUCUGGAGGCCUUUUCCGGUACUCUGCCGGAGGAGGAAUCGAUCAUGGAGGGCUUCUAUAUCAUCCUUGCUGCCUUUCGAUGAUGCAUGCAUAGUUCAUGACAGACCUACGGGUCCAUAUCUAGUAGGUAGAUGGCUUCAUCUCUCUCUUUGAUCUUCAAUACAAUGUUCUCCUCGAUUUUCUUAGAGCUUUUUUAUCCUAUGUAAUCUUUUUUUGCGGUGCGUUUAUUGGGAUGCAGUGAAUUAUGGGUUUAUGAUCAAAUUAUUAACUGAAAGUAAUUGUGUCUUUUCUGAGCUUUAUUAUGCAUGAUUGUUAUAGCUUCGUAUUAUCCUCCGAUCAAUUCGUUUGGUUUCGCCAACUAGAUUGAUUUAUCUUCAGUGGGAGAGGUGCUUUGUAAUGGGUUCAAUCUUGCGGUGUCCUCAUAUAGUGACAGAAGGGGAAGCAAGGCACAUAUAGUAUCGUUGCCAUUAAGGAUAAAACGACGUGGUUUAAUCAUAUUUCUUGAGUUUACUUUGUCUAGAUCAUGUCAUCUUGCUUAAGGUGUUACUCUGUUUGCCAUGAACUUAAUACGAUAGAUGCAUGCUAAAUAGCGGUCGAUUGGUGGAGUAAUACUAGUAGAUGUAGGCAGGAGUCGAUCUACUUGUCACAGACAUGACUAUAUACAUGAUCAUUGCCAUGAAUAUGUCAUAACUAUGUGUUUUUCUAUCGGUUGUCUAACAGUAAUUUGUUUACCCACAAUAUGCUACGUGUUCGAGAGAGAAGCCUCUAAUGAAAACUAUGGCGCUAGGUCUACUUUUAUCAUAUUAUUAAAACUAAAAAUACCUUCAUGCAAUUUUAUACUUUUUUUACUUUUCUUUUUAUCUAUCUAUCACUAUCAGAAUUAAUCCUUGCAAAUAAUGAGUUCAAGGGGAAUGACAAGACUCUUGCCGCGUUGGGUGCAAGUAUUUGCUUUUGUGUGUGUAGGUGCUGAAAAAGGGAAUUUGCGUGGUUCUCCUAUUGGUUUGAUAACCUUGGUUCUCACUGACGGGAAUACUUAUCUCUAUUGUAUUGCUCCACCCAUCCUCUUGGGGGAAAUCCCAACGCAGUUUAGAAGUAGCACUACUCCUCCUUCCUCCUCCAUAGACGCUUGGCGAAGCCCUGCCACAGCUCCACCAUAAAAUCCACCACCACGCCAUCGUGUUGGCCUAGAUCUCAUCUACCUAUCCCUGUCGCUUGCUGGAUGAAGGAGACAUCACCGAGCCAUACGUGUGCAUAUCCCUGAGGUGUCAUUCGUGCGGUGCUGGAUCGGAUUGGAUCACGAAGAGUGUACGACUACGCCAAGCACAUUCAUUAGAACGUUUCUGUUUUAGGUCUAGAAGGGUUUGUAGACUUUUCCCCCUCGUUGCUAGCAUCUAGUUGAUUAGAUCUCGGAUGUUUUCAUUGUCUCGUAGGAAAAAAAUUGUUUUUCAUGCAUUGAUUCUCAUCACCGACCUGCUUCAAAAGAAGCAGGUAGGAGCCCAGGCGGCCCGAGCUCAGCAGGUUGCCGGGUGGGAGGUCCCUAACAGGUGCAUCCAAGAAUGCAACAACCUCCAAGUAGAGAAGGCGUCCCUAACCGAGAGGACGAGACAACAAGAGCUGGAGCUGGAAGAAGUUAAGUCUCGCCUGGUCGAUGCCGGGAGCGUCGCGGCGGGCCCUUGAGAUCAUAGCCAGUGAGUCUGUCCAUGCUUCAACUCAUAAACUAGGUGGAAAUUUUAUUUGCCGAUCUGACAUACAAAUUCAUUAUUUCCAGCAUCUUUUCCCGACCUGCCAGCCAAUGCUGUUGGAGCGUCCCUUAGGGAGAAACUGCAGCAGUUUGGAGAGUUAAACAAGAUUGCGAGGCCGGUAAUGGAGGGUAUUUUCUUGGCCCUAUGGCCUGGAAGAAAGGUUGUCGGAAAACCAGUUUGACCUCUGCCGCCGCCUCCAGGAGGGGCAUGCUCGGAUUGCCCUGUGAAAGGCGUUAGUGGCCUGAGAAGAUGCUCGUCAAGCGUGGGCCAUGCUCCAGACCCACUAUCCGGGCUUGAACAUCUGCCCUAUUGCCGUAGUUGGUCCAAAAGGACCUGACGGUAAGGAGAUUAUGCCCUAUGCUAGGAUGUCCGAGCAGGAUUGUCGUUUGAAAAGAUUAUUGAAUAGGCUAGGAGUGUUACCCUGGAUUGUCAAGGACGAAACGUUGAAUAAAAACUUCUCGAAUUUCGCUACCACCAUGUUUAUUUUUUUCUAUACCAACAACAUGAUAGGUUUGCUCCGACCUGUUAGCAUACGCUUGCAUUAACCGGCCUUUGGCUUCAACCUCAACAACCAAAUGUGGAGGCCUUAUAAUUGAUGUUAACGCAAUGAGUAGGGAUCACCAUGCAACUAGGAUGCAAACAUAUCUAUGAAUAUAUGAAAUAUCUCGCAAGGAUUAAGUGGGGGUGUGUCCAACUUGUUUGCUCAUGAAGACCUCAAGCAUUUGAUAAAGCUCAUCAUCGGGAUAUACAAGGAAAAUUAUACAAUAUAAAUUCCCCAAGCUAGUAUAAAACAUGAAGCUCAUGAAACUUUAAUUAGAUGUAAAUUGUCCAGACCAACAAAAGUUCUUUAGUAAGGGUCUCUGACGAGAAUUUAUUUCAUCGAAAGUGUCCUACUCAGCUUGAGCUCAUAUGAAUUUUUUUAUUGCCGUGAAAAAGAUGAAUGCCAUUCUAUGAUGAAACCUUGCAAGGAUUUAUAACAUUUGUCAAAUUAAGCCACACACAAAAAAUCAGAAAUUUUUGAAUUCUCUCUAAAUAUUUUCAGAUUUUAUUGCUCACCCGAGCUCAUAUGAGCUCGAGCUCAGUUAAUCCGUGUCCAUGUUUCAUCCUACUCUACUAGCAAAAACCAAUGGAGCAGACGGUAGUGACGUGGAAAAGAAACCAUAACAAAUUUUUAGUGAUAUAUAAUUAAAGAAACAGAAAUUUACAAUUGCAAAUUAGGGAAUCUUAAUGUCAAAUACUGAAUUCUUCCACCCACUAGCUGUGAGACAUAUCCAUUGCAGUGCCAAAUAAAGAAGCUUUUCCAUGAAUUAAUAACAACAAGACAAUGGUCCGCGUGUUGUAUAUAAUAAAUAGAGUCCUGCUUCGGUACAACCCCCCUCGCAAUAUGUAUAAAGGGUAAUAUGGACUUUUCACAAUCUGUAUCUACUUCUGUACGUAACAUAUACGCCAGGCAGCUUACUUGGGCCGGCCCAUUUGCGGUGGCAUGCGAUGAAAAAUAGCGAAAAAGGAUCACACAAACUGGGAAUCGAAACCGACGACCACUUCAAAAUUUAACUGCGUCCACAACCACUGCGAUAGCAUGCCUUUGUUGAAUGAUCUAAAGUUGGAAACAAUAAAUAAUUGACAGGCUGGGAAUUUUAAAAAGAUUUCAGUAACACUUUCUGAACUGGCGUUUUUUCCAUAAUUUCUUUCUAUUUAUUUUCCUUUUCCUGCUAUUCUUCUUUCUUUUUCAAAAAUGUUCGCGCUUUCAAAAUGUUGUUCCAAAUUUCAAACGGUUCAUUAUUUCCAAGUUUUGUUCAUAAACUAAAAAUAUUUGCAUUUUUGAAAAUUGUAUUGUAAUUUGAAAAAAUGUUUGUGACUUUGAAAAAAUGUUCAGAAUGUAAAAUGUGAAUAAUGUUUUGAAAACCACAAAUAAAAUUGUGAAAAUGAACAUUUUCUGAGAGCACGGACAAAAAAUUAAAUUCCAAAGCAUUUUUCAGAAAUGAGACUAAAUAAAUGAUCUCAUAAAAUUAUUCUAAAUUUACACGAUUAUUUUUUAAAAUUUGUCAGAAUAUUUUUGAAAAUGAGAACAUUUUCUAAAUUCCGAACAAAUUCCAGUAGUCGCCCGACAAGAGCGAUGCCGUUGCUUAGUUGGGCAAGGCCUAAAGUUUUUUCUUUUCUAUUUUUUCGUUUUAUUCUCUUUUUUGUUAAUUUAUCUUUUCACCUUUUUGAACUUUAUGGUUCUUUUUUUUAACCUGCUCAAAAAAUUGAAAUACCAAAAUAAUAGUUUUAAGGAACUAUUUUAAAUUAUGAUUUUAAUUCUUUUUUUGUUUCAAUAUUUCUUAAAUGCUUUUUAAAAAGCAUCUGUUGUUUUCAAUUCUAUUAUUUAGUAUUUAUUGAUUAUUUUAGAAAUUUAAAAUGACAGUUUGAAGUAUCUAUAUAAAUUAUGAUUUUAAAUGACCCCAACAUUUGCCAGCUGGUGGCAUGGCCAUGGUAGGCAUCCAUGCCCCAAUAUUCUUUCAUGGCCUCGUAUGACCAAUUCAAUGCACCAUGACAAGUUGUUUUGGUUUUCGACAAAUUUUGUAUUUUUCUAGAGUUUUCUCGAUAAGAAAAUGCAAAAAAAGGCCGGACGUGUUGCAACUUUCAUACUGUGUCAGAAAUUGUUCAAACCUGGCAUGGAUGCCUAUGAGGGGCAUGCCCAUCUGGUGGCAAAAGUUGGGGCCAUUUUAAGGAUGUACUCCCUCCGUCCGAAAAUACUUGUCAUCAAAAUGGAUAAUAAGGGAUGUACGUAGAACUAAAAUACAUGUAGAUACAUCUCCUUUUAUCCAUUUUGAUGACAAGUAUUUUCGGACGGAGGAAGUAUAAAUAGACCAUGUUGAACAAACUGUGUUCUCGGGCAGAAGGAUUCGUCUGAGAGCAUGUUAGUUCUCGACAUCCUUGAAAUUAAUCCAAUUUUUUUCAAGGGCCUCGUAUGACCAAUUCAAGGCAUCAUGGAAAGUUGUUUGGGUUUUCAACAAGUUUUGCAUUUCCUGGAGUUUCUUGGUGAAAAAGUAACAAUUAAUGAUAGAACAUGUCGCAACGUGCAUACGGUGUCGGAAGUCAUUCAGACCAAGUAUGGAUGCCUAACAUGGGCAUGCCCACUUGCUUGCAAAAGUUGGGGGUAGUCCUGAUAUUUCCAAAGAAAUACCAUGUUGGAUGGAGAGUGUUCGAAUAGGCUAGAAGGAUCUGUUUGCGAGCUCCAUUUCUCAUGGCCUUGUAUAACCAAUUCAAGGCACCACACCAAAUUGUUUUGGUUUUGUCCAAUUUUGCGUUUUCUGAAGUUUUUGUGGUUAAGAAGGCCGAUAAAUGACCGGAUGUGUCAACACUUGAAUAUGGUGUAGAAAAACGUCCAAACUAGGCAUGUGCCUACCAUGGGCAUGCCUACCUUCUUGCAAAAGUGGGGUUCAUUUUAAAGAUGUUCAAAAAUAGACUAUGUUCAACGGAGAGUGUUCGAAUAGUGCAGAAGGGUCCGUUUGAAAGCUCGUUGUUUACUGACAUCUGUCAAAUAACCCCAAAUAUUUUUCAUGAGCUUCUAUGACCAAUUCAAGGCACAAUGCCAAUUUGUUUAGAUUUUUGAAAAGUUUUGUAUUUUCUAGAGUUUUCUCAUUGAAAGUAGGCCGAUAAAUGGUCGGACGUGUCACAACAUGUAAAGGGUGUCGGAAGUCAUUCAAACCUGGCGUGGAUGCCUCAUAUGUCCAAGCCAGGCUCUUGCAAGAAGGUGGGAUCAUUUAUCAAUAGCCUAAAAUAUACCAGUUAGAUGAGUUUAUUUCUAAUUCCCUUCAUUAUCACUCAACAUAAACAUUUUAUUUUUUCCUAACAAUUUCUUGAAAUUUCUCAACAAUUUUGGAACUUCAAAGUGUGUAUGAAAAAUUUACUAACUUGAACACUUUUUUCCAAAAUUGUUAACAAAUUACGAAAGAAUGAUGAAAAUUUCGAACAAAAAAGCAAACCGCGUACUUCUUAAAAAAAUUGUCAACUUUUUUGAAACACAUACAUUUCUUAAAUUUGUGAACAACAAAAUUCGAAAACUAGAACAUUUUAUGAAAUUCCAGAAUAUUUUUUAUAAUUUAAACAAUAUUUGAAAACAAAAUCAUUUUAUGUUAUGCCAAACAUUUUUUCCAAAAUUUGAACAAGUUUCACAAAGAUUAAUAAAGUUCAAAAGUAGAAAAAUGAAUUAACAAAAAGAGAAAAAAAAAGAAACUAACUGCAAUGAAAAAAAUGCUUAGGCCCUAGAAAAUAAGAAUGUUUCCGGAAAAUUUAAGUAUAUUUGGAAAAAUAUUCGUAAAUUUUAAAAAUUGUUUGUGUUUUUGAAUAAUGCUCGCCAAUUUGAAAAAGUUUUGCAUUUUAAAAAAAUGUUCAGAUAUUUCAAAAUUGUUUAUGUUUUCAAGAAAAUGGUCACAAAUGUGAUAAAUUAUUCAUCUUUUCAAAAAAAUCUGCAGUUUCAGAUAUAUGUUUACAAUACUGAAAAACUGUUCUUAAACUUUCAAAAAUAUUCACAAAAUCAAAGUAUUUUUCAUAAAAAAGGGUUCGGGAAUUUGAAAAAAAUGCGUUUCCAAAAGAAGUCCAAAUUUUGAAAAAUGUUUCGUAUUUUUAAAAAUAUUCCAAUAGAUGAAAAAACACAUUAGGUUUUUUAGCUAUAAAAAAUGCUUUAGCUAGAAUGUCCUGCCCAGUUGUGUUUUCCAAAAGAAGUCCGUGCACCAAUUUUGAUCUGCUAGAGUAUUUCUAGUAAAAAAAAAGCUCCUACAGUACGUCUGUUCUAGGUAAUAAACAACUACACUUCAAAAAUAUCAGCAAAUCCAGAUGGUUCUGGUGGCUAUUAGCAGUUUCCCAACCGCUGGAGGUCCUGUGUUCGAUGCCCAAUAGGCACACUAUGUUUUGGAUUUUUGAUCGGUGCUACCGCACAUACUCUCUCUAAUGGGCCGGCCCAAAAUAGACUCAGAACAUGACAGAUCUUCGCGACGUAUUUUCUUGAAAGACCAUCCUACUCUUUAUUAUGAAAAGGUAUAGACAGAUCUCGUCCAUUGAUGUAUUCGGGGGUUGUGCCGAAGAAGAAGAUAUAGACCUAUGAGGAAUUACGUAUGCAUGCUCAAGAACCUAUGUUCGUACAUACAUACACAAAAUCAUAUAGAACAAAAGGUAUGCUCCGGUCAGAAAGCAGAGUCGUACAGCAGAGUUUUGGACAAAAGUGAAGUUCACAAAAGACCUUCAUACGAGAUAGGCCAUUGUUUCAACUCGUAGUUUAGGCCUUGCCGGACUCCUCGCAACCCGGUGGCCUAAAGGCGAUGAAGCUGACGCACUGCACCUGGCGCAGGUUGUCGAAGCCGAUGACACGGAC
This 119827-nucleotide long non-coding RNA is filed under the name Triticum aestivum (bread wheat). Its description in RNAcentral is "long non-coding RNA (TAES_LNC021807)". The stretch from base 117185 to 117319 matches the Rfam family "MIR1120/MIR1122 microRNA precursor family". The record is from RNAcentral. Lineage: Eukaryota; Viridiplantae; Streptophyta; Magnoliopsida; Poales; Poaceae.